RNAcentral lists this long non-coding RNA (132586 nucleotides) under Citrus x clementina. RNAcentral describes it as "Citrus clementina (C. clementina) long non-coding RNA (CCLE_LNC002297)". Lineage: Eukaryota; Viridiplantae; Streptophyta; Magnoliopsida; Sapindales; Rutaceae. The record is from RNAcentral.
UCUUUUAUCAUGUGCAUGCUCAGUGAGAAUUUGACUUACUAGAACACAAGUUUGACUCUUCAUUUAAAUGUCUCUUGUAUCAUAUCCUUCAGUGUUGAGUGUGUUUCCAAUAAAAUUGAGUAGGGGGAUCCUUAAAUACCGUUUCCUUUUUUCCAAGGGCCGUGCCAAAUUGCUCUAAGUGAUUAUCAAUGAAUAAUGAAAAUAAAAUUUUUAUUAAAGCAAUUUUUUCCUUAAAUGGUGACUAAUAGUACCCCUUUUUUUGGAAAAGAAAGUCAAAGCAUGCCCAAAGAAUCAUUUACUUUCCUCUAAUGUAUUUUCUAAUUCGUUUUGCGCCUUGAAUGUCCGUUUUGGUAUGUAUUCUCAUUCCAUGUCGAAUCUUAUCCAUAUGGACAACCCCAAUUACAAAAAAGUCUAAUGGAUCUAUUGAAGUUCAUAUGAGGUUUGUGCUUUAGAUUUAGACCUCUCUCUCUCUCUCUCUCCCCCCCUCCCUCUCCCUCUCCACUUACCUGUCUUUCACUUACCUGUUUGCAUGCAUGCCCAUGCACAUACUUGCAAGAUAAUACACGGUCACUCGUACUUGUGUUUUGGUUGAGCUACUGGCUGCUAACCCCCUGUAAUUCAGUUUGAAACUUGCCACCCUUGUGCUUCACUCAAAUGGUUGGUUAGGGUGAGAUCUGUAUUGUUUUCCUGGUCUCUUUCCAAGGUUAUCUAAAGGGAUUUGGCAGUCUGAUUCUUUAGGGAAUAUCAUUGCAUAAGAUAUCUAUUGUUUGUCAAUGAAUAAUUUCUAUUAACUAGUUAUCUAUAUAAAUUGGUAAAUUUUAACUGCAUAAUUUGCAUGCAAUAAGAUUUUAUAAGAAUCUUGUUUUCAACUCAUGACUUAGACUAAUGUGAUAUGUUGAGCAUUAAGCUACAAGAUCUGCACAUCAAAGUGCUUCAUGAUGGUAAGGAGAAAGCAUCUUUUUCUGCUUCUUCAUGUGAUUUAAAGUUUCCAAGGCACUUAUCCUAUAAAAUAUCUUUCAAGACUUUGGAAAUGCUUUUAUGUAUGACUGAGAGAAACUUGUUGGGUUGGUUUUUAGCAACAGACAGAGUUAUGGACUUUGUGUUGACUUGUUAUUGAUUAAGACAGUACAUCGGCUGAUCUAUUGGCAUCAAGCAGCAGAUGCAGAAAUUAUGGGUGGCAUAUCAUUGUAUCCAAAUAACGUACUACAUUGAUUUUUCUGACUUUCUGUUGGUCUCCGAGUGAAAUGCAGGCAUUUGCAGAUGAACUGGGGAUUCCUUUCCUGGAGACGAGUGCCAAAGAUGCAAUCAAUGUGGAGCAGGCUUUCUUGACUAUGGCUGGCGAGAUUAAGAAAAAGUAAAAUCACUUAACUCUUUCCUUCUCGCCUUAUGAUUGAUUCUGUGAUCCAUUGCCUAUUUGCAAAUGGUGAUUGUUGAAUUAUGCUGACUGUUCUUAUUCAACAAUCACCAUUAUUGCUGGUUAUAUGCAUUGUGAUGAAAAUUCUGCAAUGAGUAACUUUUUACCUAAUGUUUUCUGUUGGAACAAAUUACUCUGGUAGAAAAGCCCUACAGGGUUUGAGAAAUCCCAUGAUGUGACGAUUGUGAGCAUUUUAGACACCGUGUAUGGAUUUAUUUAUGACUAUAAAAUGUUAAGAUUGUUUCUAGUUGUGGUUUGUAGUGUAUAAAAGGAUUCAAAAUUUGACAUCUGUCUAAAUCAGAUUAAUAACAUGAUAAUGUACAUAUGCAAGAUGUGAGGAAUUGUUUUAUCUCACCCCUAAACUUUAAGAAAUUGAAACAUUAUCAUUCAAAAUAUUUAACAUUUCCAGAAUUGAUAGUUGUCUAUUUGAGCAGUGACUGGUGGUUAUCAUGAACUGAUGUGUGGUUGUGGUGUCAAAUCUUGGUGAAACCUGUUGUCCUAUGCCUGAUUAACAUAGCUAGUCUCUGAAAUAAUUUGUUGAUUCACUAAUUAUGAGUUCAAAUUUGAUGCAGAAUGGGCAACCAGCCUGCUGCAAACAAAUCUUCUGGAACAGUUCAGAUGAAGGGACAGCCAAUCCAGCAAAACAGCAACUGCUGUGGUUAGCCGAGCAUGUUAUUUUACUACUACAUGUUAGCUGACUGAUUGUAGACAGUUUUAACUAUGUUGACUGCAUUAUCUUAUGAAUCUUUUAAUCUGGCAAAUAUUUAUUUCCUGCUUUAAGUUCUUUCCCGUUUAUGACAAAUUUAAUUUCUUGCUCCAUUGCAUUCCAAAUUCCUGUCAAUUUAGGAGGGAAAAAGAAAAGAGAGACGAAAUGGGAGAAAAUGGUCAAAUUUGUUGGGGGAGAGCUGUUCAAGUAGUUUUUGUUCUCGUUUAUUGUCGUGACUAGAGCUGGUAAAAUUUGACACGACCCGAUUACCCGACACGAACACGACAUAAAUAAAUGGGUAUGGGUCGUCAAAUUUAACACGAUUAUUAAAUGGGUUGGGUCCGAGUCAACACGAUUUUUUUCGGUGUUGGGUUUGGGUUAAAAUUCUUGACUCAUUUACCCGAUCAAUGAUCUGAUUAUAUUUUUUAUUUUAAAAUAAUUUACAUAUUCUUAUCAUUAAAACUCAAAUAUUAGAGAUUUUUUUUUAUUCUUUAAAAGGGUGAAUUUAAAUACAGUGUUUUAUUUAUAAAAUUCUAAAUACAUUUAGAGCUUCAAUAGUGUAAAUGUGUAAAAAUUAAUAGACAUGUAUAUUUUAUAAUAUUGAUAUAUAAUAUUAUAUAUAUAAUUAAAACCUCAAUAGUGUAAAUGUGUAAUAUAUUGGUAGAUAUGUAUAUUUUAUAAUAUCGAUAAAUUAUUUAUGUAUGUAUGUACAUACGUAUGUAUGAUAGUGUGUAAAUAUUUGAUAUAACUUUUAUUCAAUAUAUAGAUAUUAAACGGGUUAUUGGGUAACUCGAUUAUUUUUUCGUGUCGGGUUUGAGUCUCAAUAUUUUGACACGAUUAUUAAAUGAGUUGGGUUUGAGUUGACUUAAAUUUAACACGACACGAACACGAUCCGAUGACUCAUUUUGCCAGCUUUAGUCGUGACCCUCUUGUCGCUUAUCUAGGACCUGGAAGUUCGGUCAUAUCGGAUGGUUAAAGUUACCGAAACGACAUCAUUUUGGGUGAAAUAUCAUAUUUAUGUAACACUUUUGAUAAUAUUUUUAUGCAACAAAAAAAUGUUCGUGGUACCCCUUUCAAUUUUUAUUUGUUAUGGAAUUUGGAGGUAGUGUACAUGUAUGAAGAUGACGUAAUAAAAUUGUUUUGAUAAGGUCGGUUUACUUCACUAACCAUUAAUGCGCAAAGCCACCUAAUGACCCUAAAAAAUCCCAUACAUAAUUAAAGAAUUUCAAUUUUAUAUGUACAAAAAUAAAUGACUCAAAUAUAUUAUUUGAUAAUUUCAAAAACAAUAAUUUACUCUAAUAAAUCUCGUAGCAAAUAUAUGGUUUGUAUUGCAAGUCUUUUCGAGACUAAUUCAAAGAGAAAUUACGAAGAACAUAUAAUUGACCUUUAUCUAUCAUAAAGAAUUCUAAAUAAAUUCAUAUACGCAUCGUAGUUAAUUACAGUCUUGAUAUUUCAUUUGGAUUUUGUUAAUUUUCUGUACAGUUGUGCUGUGCGUACAAGUUUUGUUUAAUGAAAUCGGUAGGUGAAGAGAAUAUUUAGAAUCAUACAUCAAAGUAAUGAUCAAUAUAAAUAUUGAAUGUCUCAAGUUAGAUUAUACAAAGAUGAAAUAAUGCUAAUAUAGUAAAUUCAAUCAUAAUAAUUUGACUUCCAUUAUAUUAAUUAUGUCCAAUCGUGCUACUUUAAUAAAGAACCCUCGAGCAUUUAUAUGUAUACAACAAACAAAAUUAAUUACAGAACGAUCUUUUACAAAGUCUGACCGGUUAACUAUCCAUCAAAUUCUGUAAUGUGUUACUGUUGAACUCUCAUGUCAAAUAUGGAUAAACAGCGCUUUGGCUAACAAUGAGAUAUAUGCGAGCAUAAGAGCUCCGUUCUCUGUUUUAAUUGCGUUUCUCUUUGUGGUUGUCGGACAAACUAUAAUGUGAAUUUCUAUCUAAUGGGUGUCCUAAUGCUUUUAGUUAGUGUGGGAUUGUUGAUUUAUAUAUGACCUUCAGUAUCCAAAAUUUAGAUGAUGAUAACCUUUAGUACUUUUAUCAUAUUUCCUUUCGUGUUGGUGUUAGUAUCUUAAUUUUGUGCCCAAUGGUAAUUACAAUAUAUACCUAAUUUGAAACUUCUAUAAUUUUACAUAUAUAGAUGCAAAUUCAUUUUUAAGAGUGCAUUUAAUCAAGCAGUCCAGGCGUUUAUACUGAGUAAUUGGUUCAAUAUUAAUACAAAACUAUUUUAAGUAACAUGUGGCAUAUUCUAAUUCCAGUGAGCUUCCAACUCAUAUUCCCAAUUCAAAAGAAAAGUUUUCAAUUUUCUCCAGAACGUUCUACAAAACGUUUCUUCUAGUCUCUACACUGCUAGAAUUUUCUCUAAGUUUCUUUUGCAAAGACUUUUAAAGAACUAUCCAGAUACCGAGCUAUAAUCCAGUCUAAGCGUAUAUCUCUCUCACUAUUUCACCUCCUUCAAUUUCACCAUAUCAACAAACACUUAGCCUCGAAACAAACACUCUCAAAAAGCUAGCUUAGCUACCCAGAUGGUGAAAUCAAGAAUUCUUGCAAUUACAAUGUCGUUUCUUGUUAUGGCAACAACAUUGAUGAUCAUGGCAUCACAAGCAAACGCUCUGAUGCCGUACACACGAUCACCUUUCUUUGACAUGAUGUCUGCAAUUACAGAAGAUCCUUUCAGGGUUCUUGAACAAACCCCUCACAAUCCCCAAAAGGAGCUGAUCAUCAUCAAACUCUAGCCCUGGCGAGAGCAAACUGGAUGGAGCACCAACAGCACACGUGAUCGCGCUCGACAUUCCAGUGAUGAAGAAAGAUGAAGUGAAGAUUGAAGUUGAAGAGAACAGGGUACUGAGAGUGAGUGGGGAGAAGAAGAGUGAUGAUUAUUAUAAGGAGGGAGUUGAAGGAGAGAAAUGGCACAGAGUUGAGAGAACAUUUGGCAAGUUUUGGAGGCAGUUCAGGAUGCCUAUGAGUGCUAACUUGGAACAUGUUAAGGCUCAUUUGGAAAAUGGUGCUCUGAGGAUCAAAGUGCCAGAGCUUGCUGAGGAGAAGAGGAGGCAGCCUAAGGUUAUUAGCAUCAAUGAAGAACCUGCAGGUAAUUCUUCCGGUGAAGAUAUUAAGGCCACCAAGGCCCAAAUGUGAUUGAUUAAAGAAAGAAGUGCUUGCUUCGCGCUAUUUGUUUAUGAUCUUUUCUUAGUUUUGUUGUGGGAUGUUUCUCUCUGGACAUUAUGUUUAUUGUAUUUUGAUGGGUUUUUUAAGAUGACUUGCAUGUAUUAACAAUAAUAAAGUGUUUUUUUUUUAUUUUUAUAAAUCAGUGUCCUAAGUUUGUAAAAGAAAUUAAUACGCUUGGUUUAUUGUUAAUAAAACAUAAAAAAUAAAAAGUCUUUUUCUUUGGCGUAUAUUAUGCAUUUUAUGACACUGUCAUAUUAAUGCGUCAAUUUUGAUGAAUCCAAAUAUUCAAAAUUAUAUUUAUAAAUAUUAAUAGUGAUGGCACAUAAACAAUUAAUUCAAGAACUCGCCCAAAAUGCAUUAAUUUAAAGAGUAUAAAUAACAUUACAAUACAGUCUAGCCCUUACGUGUUUAAUUAGCAAUUAAAAACUACUUUAUAUUGUAAAACACCAUUAAAAGAAUAUUUGUCAAAGUCUGAUGAAGAGAAUAUACACGCACACGUAUAUAACCGUACAACAGAAGAAUAAAUAAAAGAAAAUAAAGUUUCAACAACUGAAUAAUGCAAACUCAUUUUUUUUAAAAGCAUUUUAUUGUUUAAUUAAAAAAUUCGAAAACCCAUUAUAUACAUGAUAAAGACUCACCGACGCCGAACCAUAUUAAUUUAAAUUAGUUUUCAACUGAGAUUUGAAUUUUAAAAUUACAUACACAAACACGCCCAAUUUUUUUAAAAAAAGUACUAAUAAUAAAAUAUUUCAACCGUCCUCUGUUUAGCCGCCAAAAACCGAUUUACCAUUUAUUACAACGAAAGGUGUACAUAGACGGAUAAAUAAUGCUAAUCUACCAAGUCCAAUCAUAAUAAUUUGAUUAUCAAUAUAUUAACCAUGUCCAAUCAUAAUAUUUAAUAAUCACCAAACUUACAAUUCGCAAGUUAGAUUAUACGUAUGAGAAUCUAGCAAGUCCAAUGAUAAUAAUUUGAUUUUUAUUAUAUUAACCGUGUCCAAUCAUACUAUUUUAAUAAAGAUCACUCGAAUAUUUAUUUAUCCAACGGGUAAAAUUUCAAAACAAUUUUUGCCAAAGUCCUCCUUGGCUAAUUAAUUCAUACAUUAAUACAGUUCUCUGCUGAAUAAUGCAAACCCGCUACGUUAUUCUACCAUUUCUUUUUAAAGCAUUCCACCAUUUAAUAAAAAAAAUUCGAAAACCCAUUAUAUACAAUACAAAAAGCCCACCGACACCAAACCAUAUUAAUUUAAAAUAGUUUUCAAUCGAGAUUUGAAUUUUAAAAUUACAUACACAAACACACCCGAUUUAAAAAAAUAAUAAUAAUGCUAACAAUAAAAUAUUUCAGUCGUCCUCUAAUCAAUCAUAAAAAUCCAUCCACCAUCUAUUAGAACACAAGGUAUAUGGGUUAACAAGUCCCAAUAUUGUCCUCCAUCCUUUCUGCACUUCUCUGUUAUCAACGGACAACUCCAGAUGUAUAAUUGCAAAAGUGAGGAAGGCAGGCCCUUCUUCGGAAAGUAUUUGAGCUUGGGACAACCCGAGAGUGUCAAUGAAGUGAGGUUUUGAAGAUCAACAAUUGAAGAAGAUAGGCGUUCCAGAUUUGGAAAAUUAGAAAUCUCCAGAGAUGUUAGAGAGGCAGGAAGAGGAAAUGACACCGUGUCGUCAUCACAUCCUUCGAUAUGUAGACGUCGCAGAGAGGAGAAUCUGUGAAAUCCCCGUCCCCGCUCAAUCAUUGACUUCCAAAUCUCCAUAUUACCCCAAAUUUCAAGUGACUGAAGGUUGGUGGGAAGGCCAUCUUCUUCAAGGCUUGGAAGCGCACCUCCUUUUCCUAUUGUUAAUUCUUGAAGAGAGCUCAGAUUGUGCAAUCCCUUGGGUAAGGCCUCUAGUCUCUUACAAUUAGAUAUCUCCAGCCACGUGAGUUUCGCACAAGGCAAUCCCCCUUCGGGAAAGGACACCAGAUUUCCACAUUCCUCUAUGCUAAUCCGUCGAAGCUGGCGGAGAUUAUGUAAACCACUCGGUAAAAUUUUGAGAUUUUCACAAUGAUAAAUGAAGAUAUCUUCAAGAGAUGUGUUGUUGUCCAACCUUUCUGCUAUUGACUCCAGCUUUGGACAAUCCCAAACAGAAAGGGACUUAAGAGACGGAGGUAGAUUGCCAACUUCAAGGGACUCAAGCGUGGCAGGUAACUCGUUUUUUGAAAAUAUACAUGUCAGAGAUCGACAAUCGUCAAUUGAUAAGUGCUCAAGAAUAGAUGACGUAUACCUACUGUUGCUGCUACUCUGGACGCCCUCUUCCACUGUCAAAGUCCUUAUAUUAUCGCAACACCAGAUCGUCAACUCCUUAAGGCUCGAUGGUAGCUGGACAGCAGCAAUAUAUGUCAACGAAUGGCAAUACGCAAUUAACAAGAUCUCGAGAGACGAAUUGGUGUCGCACAUCCAUGCCUCUGGUAACGAUUUCACUGCAUCACAAUACCCAAUCUCAAUUUUCUUCAACUUGGAAGGCAGAGCAACCUCAGGAAAGGAAACAAGGGAACUGCACUUGUAGAUUUUUAUCUCUCUCAAGGAACUGAGGCUGAACGAUGAUUGUGGCAGCUUCACAAGGCCUUCGCAUUCGCUCAAUCUUAGAUAUUCGAGUCUGCAUGACAACCCGCAGAGCUGCUGUUGUUGGUCUUUCUCUUCCUCCGCGACCAAGGAUUGAAUUUUGGGACAGCUGUCAAUCCUCAGUCUUUUGAGAGAGCAAAUGUCUUGCAGUAAUUCGUUAUGGCUCUUCCAUAUACAUGUUUCAUUUUGAAUAUUAUUUAUCUCCAAUUCUUCCAGUUUUGGUAUUCGCGGCUUCAAUGGCCCUGCGAGAAACACUUGAUUUGAUGUAUCUCUACAAACCACUGAAUUCUGUGAGCCGAGAUGAUCAGUUGCACUUCUCCACACAACCUUUUUACAUCCACCAAUUUCCAUUUUGCAAAGAGCUGGAAGACUCGUAACUGAAACUGACAAUUCUUCACAUCCUCGAAUAACAAGCAUCUCCAAUGCAGGAAGGUGCUCUGGAAAUGUUCCUUGCAGCUUAGAACAUCCUAAAAUGCAAAGCUCUCUCAAUUUAGGAAACCCUUCAACUCCCUGACUGGAUCCAUGAGGAAUCCACUCUUCCCAUUCUUGCAUGUCUUCAAAACGAAGAGUCUCCAAGCAUGGAAAAGGAAUUUGAGAGUCAUUCCCAUAGAACUCUGAACCCAAACUCUUUACUCUACUCAUUCCACGCACUGCAAGAUGCUUUAGAAAGGAUAGUUGCCCGACUGACGGCAAGGUAGUACACACGCCGCAAUCUUCAAAUUUAAGUGUCACUAAAUUUGAGAAUGAGGAAUCUCCUAACCAUGUUGGAAAUUUUGUACCUCCAUAGCCACUGAUACAAAAUUGUUCCAGAUUUUCAUGAGGUUUUAGCAUGCGAGGACAUCCUUUUCAGUUUCUGCCUCCCUUGAAGACAAACCAUUGGUACUCCGUGUCCAUCGAAACUUUAACACUUUAAGAUUCUUCUUUCCAUCCAACCGAGCCUCCUUUGCAUCACCAAUGUCUUUUACAUUCCCUAAAUUUGAAAUUUUAAGUGUCCCCUGAAGAUGUAUCAAUGACUUUAGCUCUCGUAACCCAGAACCAUUGUCUUUUCCCACAGCAAAAUUACUCAACGUCUGAAGACAAGUCAGCUUACCAAUUCCUACUGGCAUUUCCUCCAACGAAUCUGUAUUUGAAUUAUUGAGAUGAUGCAAUUUGAUGAGGUUUCCCGUGGCUGCACACAACUUCUUCAGUCGCCGACAGUCUUCCAACAGAAGGGUGUGCAAAUUGUAAAGCUUGCUGACUGAUUCAGGCAGAGUUUUAAUCUCAGUUCCAGACAGGUUAAGGUGCCUUAAAUACCUCAAAUCACCAACUGAAUCCGGCAGCUCGGAGAUGUGAUAUCCACGCAAAGAGAAGACCCUCAACCGUUGGAGUUUGAACAACUUAGGAAGAAUGCUAUGAGCCAAGUAUCCACGCGAACUAUUUGUCAACAUUACUGGUAAAAAAGUUCGCAAAUGUUGGAUAUCGUACAAGCCCUCAAACCUUUUAACGCCAUCACAUGCUCCACCAAUGUACGAUAGAUGACGAAGAUUUUUGGAAAAACUUUGUUGCUUGUUAACCUCUGAGGUAUACUCCAUUGUGAAGUACAUCUCCCCUGCAGCCCAAUGAGCAAGGUCGUUGACAAGGUCGUGCAUCACAAAUCGUGAUUUAUUGUUGCUUGAUUGCUGAAAAAAAGAUCUUGAACGUAGCUCUUGAAAGAACUUUCGACCUAGAUCUUCAUUAGGAUUCCCGCUCUCUUUGUGAUCCAAGAAACCCGAAGCACACCAUAAUAAAAUUAUCUCCUCCUCUUCAAAUUCAUAAUCCUUUGGAAACAAUGAGCAGUAUGCAAAGCAUUGUUUCAAAGGUGCCGAAAGAUAAUAGUAGCUCACUCUAAGCGCCGGUAUAAUGUCACAUCUCUCUUCUGGUAAAUCCCAUAUCUUGCAACUGAGCACACCUUCCCAAUCACUCCGGUCAAGUUUACCACGCAAGAGACCACCAAGAGUUUUCGCAGCUAAGGGCAAGCCGUUGCAUUUGAUCACUAUCUUCUUGCCAAUUUCCUCCAAUGACUUGUUUGAACUGAAAUCUCUUGUCCCCAAAGAGUGUUGAGCGAACACAGACAGACAAUCAUCAUUUGACAGCUUUUUCAAAUGAUAAGCCCGAGCAGUCCCCAUGAUGGCUGCAACCUCUUGAUUACGAGCUGUGACAAUAAUCUUACUCCCCGGUGCGCCAGCUUCAAACGGACGGCUCAUGUCAACCCAGUCAUUGUAAUUCUCAUUCCAAACGUCGUCUAAAACAAGCAAAAAUUUCUUUUGAGAUAACUUCUUCUUCAGCUCCUCUUGAAGCAAAUUUAAAUCACUGUCAUCAGUAGUCUGCUUAGUAAUGGAUCUUAGAAUUGUUUUUGUUAGCCUGAUAACAUCAAAAUCAUCAGAGACACAAGUCCAUGCCUUGAGAUCAAAAUGACCCUGCACUCGAGCAUCAUUAUAGACAAGCUGAGCGAGAGUGGUUUUGCCCAGCCCGCCCAUGCCUAUAAUAGGAAUAACAGAGAAUUCACCAUCAUUUCUCAAAUCAUCCCUCAACAACAAUUCAACAAUUUCAUUCUUUUCUGUUUCCCUCCCAUAUACCUUGGCUUCAGUCACUAAAGAGGUUGUGGGUAGUCUUUGCCUGUCUUUUCUGGACCUCCCAGCUGAACUUACGUUCAAACCGAGCGAGUCUUUCUGUGUUACAAUAUCUUGAAAUCUGUCGUUGAUCUCUUUGAUUUUGGACAUUAUGGCGUAAUCGAACUGAAUCGAUUGUGGAGUAAAAGUGGUGCAGCAAGUAGGAAUGAGCUUCUGAAACUUACUUGUUCUUGUACGACUGCUACUGGGUUGAUCCUGAGCCGCAGCUGGAUCUCCAUUUCCAAGCAGCAACUUCCUCCGGAAAGCCUCAGUUUGAAACUCAUCCAGCAAGUCUUCAACAUCAAAAGCCAAGUUCUGAAGCUCAUCAAGCCACAACUUCACAGACUGAUCAGUCUUCUUCUCCUCAGCAUCAGCAAGCACCGCCUUGAUCAUCACCAACAUAUUCUUCCACUUCUUUAGGUCGGCUUGGAUUUGCUCUUGGCGUGCAAACAGCCGAAUCCCCUCUGAAGCUAACUUACUGACCAGCAAAUCAACGGACGCCGUAAGGAUUGCCUCUCCGAUGAAUGACAUUUUUUGUUCUUUUUCUUUUUUUUUGGUUUUGCAAAGAAAGAAAGGAGCAGAAUUAUGGGUUAUGGAAAGCAGAAUGAGAAAAUGGAACAGGUGAGAAAAUGGAUAAUUAAGCAGAAUGAGUUUGUGAUUGUGAAGGGUCUGGCCCAGCAAGCUUAGUAGAAAUCACGCGUUUAUACUUUAUUGACCAAUGACUAAUAAUUUGGCAAUUCACUCAUCACCACCACUUGGUAAGUCUUCUACUUAUAAAAGCAAGUUAGAAUAAACGAUUUUAAUCUCUCUUUUUAUUCCUAUAAAUCUUCGCUGUAGAAGUCUUCUACUUAUAAAAGCAAGUUAGAAUAAACGAUUUUAAUCUCUCUUUUUAUUCCUAUAAAUGUACUAUUUUUUUUUUAAUCUCAAUGCGAAGUCGUAUCAUAAUGUUAUAUUCCUGCUGGAAAACGAAAUUUUAGAUAAAACAAAUUCGACUCAUUUCUUAAAAAUAUAUAUUUAGUAGGUUACUAACAUAACUAACAAAACAUGAUUAUUACACUAAUAAAAGACAGUACUAUCACCAAUAAUUUAGCAAGUUUCGCAUAUACGUGUUUCUAGAAACAUUAUAUGGAAUCAAACAACAGUGAUGCAAAGAGCAAAGUGGAAAUCCUCUGAUUGUAUAAUAAUUUGCACCUUGAUAUUUGUAGGGUCCAGCAACAUUGACCCAGUGUGCGGGUACGUGCGGAAUAGAGGAAAAUGGAAUGCAUCCACUAUCCACUACGAACCUUCGCUUUACAAGUCUUCAAACUCAUAAACCAAGUUAAAUCAAAACGUUUAUCUCUCUCUCUCUUUUUGCCAUAUAAUUACUUUAUUUAUUGAAUUAAUUUCCAUGCUAAAAUGAACACUUAAAAGUGCACUAUAAUUUUUUAUAAUCACAAUGGUAAUUCCUACUAUCAUGUUAUUUUAAUGUCGCGUCAAAAUAAAUUAUAACAAAGUUUUUUUUCAUAUGAAUACUCUUUUCAUUUAUGAAUUUUUCAAUUUCUAAUAUUUUUCUCACUCUUUUAAUCUUAAUAUUUGUAUUCAUUUUGUUCAAACUUUUUUAUUAUUUAAUUUUUAAAGAAAAAUCUAAAAAAAGUAAGAAAAAUAUUAUACUUAGAAAAUAAUGAAUAUUUUAUGGAUCUAAUACAAUAAAGCACUUAUUUAUUUAUUUACAUGUUAUGUCAACGAAGCAAACUUGAAUAUUUUUGAAUGUUGUAAGCUUGUAAAGAAUCAAUAUAUUAUUUCUACAAAAGAAAAUAAUAUAUUAGAUAUUUAAAGCAUAAAAAAUAGAUGUUAAUUGAUGAAAUUUGAUUUAGGAAAGAUGGCUAAGAAAACAGUGGUGUAACAUCAUUUUAUUCAUGUCUAAAAAACCUAAACAUGACCUCUAUUUAUAAAUACACUUAUACCCUAUUAUUUGAGUUGUCAUUCUUUUAUAAUACUCCUUCACCAUUAGAUCAAACAAUCGAAUCCCUACUAUAGCUAAUUAACUUAUUGACCAGUAACUUAAAAGAUGCCAUAAGGAUUGCCUCUCUGAUGAUUGGCAUUUUUUUCUCUUUUUUUUUUUUUUUGGUGGGUGGGAAGAAAGAAACCGAAUUAUGAGUUUAUAGAAAUUAAAGCGAAUAAGAAAGUGAAUUACAGCAGAAUGAGUUUGUGAUUGUGAAAGGUCGAGCAAGUGUAGAAAUCAAGUAGGCAAAACCCACCACGAAAGUUAAAAAGGAAAAAUAGCGUCCACCACAAAUAUAAAUUUGGAGGAACUCAUGAUCAUUUAUUUGCUUUACAUAUUAAAUUAAAUAAAAGCCAAACCAAGAAUCUCACCUUUGCUUAACAUGAUUAAUUAGGCACUACUUCAGGAAUAAAACUUAAAACAGAAUCCUGAAACAUAUUUCCUUUCCAACUUUUGUCAAAUUGUAAGUCACUUAACGGGUACUAAAAUCAUGAAAAUCAAUCUGAGCAUGGCAAAAUAAGUGACUAUCAAAUCCUAAAAACUUAGAGCCUAAAAUCCACGAAUCAUAAAAGAUACAAUUCGACAAAGAGAUUAUAUUAGAAACCAAAUUAAAAUUCAACCUGAAAAGAAAUUAUAUGAAAUCACUUAUCAAUAGUUAUGGGAUUCAAUGCUGAACUGAAUUUUUAUUAAACAUUAAAUUAAUGUAAAUUAAUGACUGUUUGACAAAUUUGAAUGUUAUGCAAAAACUUAGCUCGGGAUUGGAUAUUUAUAUGGAGUUAAAAUUGUGGGUUUUGAUAAUUUCUUAGAUAUGGGAGUUACAGUAAGUUACCAAAUAUGGAUAGUUAUUAAGAAUAUAAAUGAAAUAAAAUAAAAAUAAGUGGUUACUUACUGUAUCAUCUAUCAAAAAAAAAAGAUAACUUGCAUCAACCGUUGUGGUAUUGACACCUAUCUUGAGCUAGUAAAAGUGGAAGUUUCCCAAUUGAAAGAAAGUGACGGGAAGAUGCUGUGGUGUUGAUACUUAUCUUGAGCUAGUAAAAGCGAAAGUUUCCCAAUUGAAACAAAGUGAAUGGAAGAUGCUAUGCUUUAAUUAUUAUUAUUAUUAUUGACGUGUUCGAGAAGUAAAACCAUGAAUGCGAUGAAGUAUAAAUCAGAAAGCUAUGGCCCGGAAUUCAUUUUCACAUUUCAAAAGUUUGAAGAGAGUUUAUCCAUUCUUCUAAACUAAGAAAAUCAAUAUUCUUGCUUUCUUCAAGCGUUGAAUAAAAAAAAAAUUAUUGAAUAAGGAGGAAAUUAGAAUGUAUCGCUAACCUAAAAUAAAUAAAAAAAAAUCUCUUUUAUUACUAAAGUACACUAUUUUUUUAAUAAUUGUAUUGACAAUGACAAUAUACAUCAUCGAUUAUAUUCUUGUUGUGUUGAAAUAAGAUAUAAAAAAUUUUGGAUCGAGGAAUUCGACUCAUUUAUUAAAGGUACAUAUUUAAUAUAGAGUAAUGAUAUAAUCAUAUACAAAUUUAUCUUGUACAAACUGAUGUGACAUAAUAAAAUUAGUUGAAUUAAAUAUCUCUUGAUUCAUAUAAUUUAUUUCUAUUAUUUUAUAUUUUCAUUCAACCAAUGAAUUAAUGACACAUCAGUUUGUAUAAGAUAAAUUUACAUAAAAAAUUAUGAAUGUCUCAUUAGGACACAUGGCUACCAACUAUUGGAUGUGUACGUUACAUUAAAUGUAACAUAGCAAGAUCCUUCUUUAAUAUACUAAAAACAAAAAUUAACAUAACACGAUUAUUACACUAAUGUGAAAUGAAAGCCAGUACUCACCAGUUCACCAACAGUAAUUUAGCAAACUUUGCAUUCUCGUGUUUGACAGUUUGAGGCAGUGGACAUUGGUGAAUUAACCAAAGGAAGACGUUCUUUUAUAAUUCGGGUAACGCCGGUCUGUCCUGGAAGAAGCUAAAGACACGACAGUGUUUUGGUAAGACUGGAAUUUUCUGGACCGUUAGAUUUCUUUAUCGUGUGUCCAUAGAUAGUGACAUUUAGUUGACUAUUUUGACAUCUACCAGCCCGUGGCGUUUUGUUUUCGUUCGCCUGGCGUUUUCAUCGCUCUAUCGUCUUCGAUCUUUUUAUGUAGGGAUGAUAAUGGAUUGGAUCUGAUCUAAGAUACACAUGAUUCAAAUGAAUCGGUUUAAAAUGAAUUUAGAUCGGAUUUGGAUAUCGAUGUGCAGAUUUGGAGCAUAUUUGAAUAUAUCUUAAUAUCUAAAUCCAUAUACAUAUCCACUCAUCUUUUAAUUUUAUUUUAUUUUAAAAUUUUCUUAAUAAUUAUGGAAUUAUAAUGGUAAUAAAUUUUAUUCAUAGCAUAUUAGUAGUAUUUACCAUGCAUUUAAACUCUUAAAACUUAAAUAUUAGUUUUGUAAAUUUAAAAGUCAGUCAGCCCCAAAGCACAUAUAUGCAAUAUUCAAAUUACAAGUCAAGUAAUAUAACCUGGUAAUUUAUUUUAUUAUAUUGGCCAAAUAAUUUUUAAGGAAUAUAGUUAUUCAUAUAUUUAAUCAAAUAUGGUCAUAAUAAAAAUAAUAAAAGAUUGAAUAUAAAUCAUAUUUAAUUUAUACGUCAUUAUCUAAUGUUGUAGAAAUGAUGGUAGGUGUAUCGCGGAUAUUAGAAUGAUGAAAGAGACAAUAGAAUAUUAGAUUGAUCUUGCUCCUGCAAUUACUUCUAAAUGAUAUUUUAUUAUCUUUCUUAUUUGUUGUUUUGGUGUCUUGGUGUCAAAGUAUAAGCUACAAUAUUUAUUAUAUUUUUGAGAAAAAUUAUAUAAUUUAUUUGUUAUCAAUACAUUUUAGCCUUCAAUUUUCAAUCUAAACAAUUAUUACUUUUUUAUUACUGAAUUUUAAAAUUCAUGACGGAUCUAGAGCAGAUUUAGAUUUUAAUUUUUUUUUCAGAUUUAGAGCAGAUAUAAAUAUUUAUUUCGUUUUUAGAUCUGAAUAUAAAGCGAAAAAUAUGAAUUCAUGACGGAUCUAGAGUAGAUAUGGAUCUUAAUUUUUAUUAUGAAUUUGGAUCUACUCUAUUUUAGAUCCAACCCAUAUCUAAAAUAGAGUAAAUUUAACCCAUAUAUGUCCGGUUACCAUCCCUAUCUUUCUGGCAACAUGGGUAUAUGUGUAUGGUAAACUGUGCUAGUGAAGAGUGUCGACAUGAUGCUGUCACCUUGCUUUAAUUAAUUGCGGUUUAUAAAAUAGAGUGCUGCUAUUCACCCCGAUUUUUAACCCCGAAACGCGCCCCGAAUUUAAAACGCACCGUUUUGAUAAAAUUGAAAACGGUGCGUUUAACCCAUGUUUCUUCCUUUCCUUUCUUUUGCCAAACCACGGAAACGGACCUUUGCUUCCUUUUCGUUUAAUCCUAUCAUCUUGUGGUCACUGCCGCUGCUACUUCCUUCAAGAUCGAGCUCUCUGCCACUGCAGCUUCAAAGCCGUCCGAUCAAUCGACGAUCCGACACCAGGGCCCAUCAACUGGCGCGUCUGCCUCAGCUUCUUCUUCGUCCUCUCCGGCGUACACGGAAGAGCAAAUCGCGAUCGUGAGACAGAUUAAGAAAAUGAAAGAUUAUUACGUGCGUUGAUGGCUCUGAUGGGUUUAAUUUACGUGCGUUGAUUCAGUUGUUGCCUGUGAUUUUGAUAAUUCUCUUGUAGUUUUUGCCGUCUUCUGAUCCAAUUUAUGCCUUGUCGAGGUCUUACCCUUAUGAGUACAAGUUUACAACGGAAAGAGGGGUGAAUUUUUAUGUGAAGUCUAGCAAAUUUGAGCAAGACUAUCCGUUGGGUAGUGUUCAGAGAGUGAGGCUGGAAAAGCAAGUUGAAAAGGAUUACUUUACUAUUCUUGCACAAAAUUGCCGGUUAGAGAUUCAGCGGCAAUAGUGGGGUUUUAUAAAGGAGACUCCCCAUUGUGACAUGUGGCAGAAGUUUCAGUAUUCACCAGCUUGGUAAAUCUGACAAUAAUUCUAUAGUAAUAUGCAUAAAGGUUGCUUGAUUGUGCUGCUAUGAUAUUCAUUAUUCAGAUAGGAGUAGCAACCGUGUUACUGAAAUCUGGUUCAAUGAAACAAGCUGAAGCAAAACUGAAGUAAUUUUCUCCCACAUUCAAUUAAUGCAUCUUCAAAUCUUUCAUAAAGUUGAUCCUCUCCUCAGUCUGCAAAGCGGAGUGUUGUGGUUCACGCUUGCGCAAAUAGAAGAAGAAAGAAAAUGUUCACGUGCUGCACAGGUGGAACUAAAUGGGAAAGCAAUCAAAGCAAAAAAGCAAAAAAGCAAAGAAGCAAUUAACGCAAAAGGAAAACAGUCAAAGCAAAAAGGAAAUCAAAGCAAAACGCACCGUUUUGACAAUAUUCGGGGCGCGGUUUCGGGGUUUAAAAUCGGGGUAAGUAGCUUUACUCUAUAAAAUACGCCUAAAAAAAAUGUUCACGUGUUUGCAGUUUCAGUCUGCAAAGCGGAGUGUUGUGGUUCACGCUUGCGCAAAUAGAAGAAGAAAGAAAAUGUUCACGUGCUGCACAAGUGGAACUAAAUGGGAAAGCAAUGUAGAAUUGAUUAUUGCUGUAUGUUGGGCGAUUUGGUACUCCAGAAACUGUUUUAUUUUUUAUGGCAAAGAAGAGAAUCCUUUUAUUUCAGUGGCACGAGCAGCAGCUAUUGUAGAGUCUUUCAAGAGGGUUAAAAUCUCAAAAGAUCAAGCAAUCUCAAGGCAUGGGCAAAUCAGUCAGCAAACAUGGACAGCUCCCCCAAAUGGCUGUUUUAAGGUGAAUGUGGACGCUGCAGUAAAAGUUUCAGAGCAAAAGGCAGGCUUGGGAGUAGUUAUAAGAAACUCCAGGGGAAGGGUUGUGGCAGUAGCAGUUCAAAAUGUUCCAUUUCGAGGCAUUGUAGCUAGUAUGGAAGCUGAAGCUGUUUUGUUUGGAAUUGAAACUGCUCAACAGGUGGCUUGUGUGCCAAUGGUCAUUGAGUCAGAUUCAAAGGAGGUGGUGGAUCUUUCAUUAAACAGAAAGGAAAGCAAGACAGAAAUAGAAUGGAUUAUUGCAGAAAUCCAGACAAAGCUUAGUGAUCCAGAGCCAAGCAUCAAUCCAAUUUGCUCCAAGGGGCUGUAAUAUAGCUGCUCAUUAUGUAGUAAAGAAAGCUUUAGAAGUUGAAAAUCAGUGUAUUUGGCUGGAAAAUUUCCCAGUUCAUGUUUCGUUGUUACUGUCAAAGUUCUGUUAAUGAAAAGCUUUACUUCCUUAUCAAAAAAAAAGAAAGGGGAAGCAAUCAAAGCAAAAAAUCAAAAAAGCAAAAAAGCAAAGAAGCAAUCAACGCAAAAGGAAAACAGUCAAAGCAAAAAAGAAAUCAAAGCAAAACGCACCAUUUUAAUAAUAUUCGGGGCGCAGUUUCGGGGUUUAAAAUCGGGGUAAGUAGCUUUUCCCUUAUACGAUAAAACUUAUCUUAAAAUUAGGCGACAAGAUUAUGAAAAGGAUAACUUAUAAGACUAUUAGUACAGAAACAGAGGAAAAAUAAUAUGCUGAAGCAGCGAUUUGCCUAUUUGAUUUUUUCGGAGAAGAUUGAUAUUUAAAUUUCAUUGUUGAUUCAACCAACCAUAAAUAAUUUAUCUUUUAUUCAACAAAUCAUAAUUAUAAACCAUCUUUUAUAUGAUUUUUUUUUUAAAAUUCCAAAGGAAAUGGUAUUUUGAAAUUGCGCAGUAUUUGAUUGAUAUUAUGUUUUAUAUUUUCCUAUCAACAAAAUUAUUGAUUUUGCAGGGAUCACAUUCAUGCUCCCACCUUUCUCACACAUGAGGCGUUAAUUAUUAUUUGAGUUUUGACUGGGGAAGUGGACGUCUCUUCUGAUUUGAAGAAUAUGGAAUCUACCCGUGCGGAAUUUUUUUUUUUCUCUCUCUCUUCUGAUUAGCAGAAUUCGCCAACGAAAAUGAUAUUUUAAUAUGUGCAUUUAUGGAUAAGUUUUCUUAUCUAAAUUCCUGCUGUACAUUGGAUAGAAUAAAUACAAACAAUCUUUUAUAUAUAAAAAAUUUUGAAAAUUCCAAAUGAAAAGAUAUUUUGAAAUUGCGCAGCUCUGGCCAGGGAUCACCUUUUUUCCUUGCUAUUAUUAUCUACAAUAUAUUUAUUUUUGCAAUCCGCAUGCAUGCUUGGUUAUGAUCACCCACGUGAUCGGUAUUACGUUUCUUCUGAUUUGAACAAUAUGGAAACUACCUGUGCAAGUUUUUUUUUUUUUUUUGGGCGAAUUUCAGUUGAAUGUCAUUUAUAAUUCUUAUUUCAAUAUAUUUAUAAAUAAGUUUAAUAAUAUUAAAUUUUCACUUAAGAAUGACCGGUGGGAGGGUUAAGCAGAUAUGCCUGAUUUGGGUGUUGGAAUAUUUAUAGUGGCCCAUGUGCCACAUUAUUGAAUUAGUAAUAAUUUAAAAUUUAAAUGAUAAAAUAAAUAAUAGGCCAAAAUCUUAUUGGUCAAUUGGGAAAAUCUAAUUGUCCACUUUGAUGGAAAGCGGAAAUAAGAAUUUUAUUGAAAUUGAUCAUCUCUUUAUAUAUAUAUAUAUAUAUAUAUAUAUAUAACGUUAAUUUUCCUCCGUCAAGAAAGUGAAUCACUCUAAAGGAGUCAAGAAAUAGAAAUUAAUUUUACUAAUAUUUAAAAUUUUACAGUGAGAUUUGAUCAAGAAAAUUGCUAUGGAUCAAAGUAUGUUUUCUCUCAAUGAUGAUGUGAAAAUCAUAAUAUUCUAUGAUCUUAAGCAUUGAAGUUUAUGAAAAUUAGGGUUUAUUUGUUUUAUAAGAGUUGUAAAAAUUCUCAACAAUUGGUAGCAGAACAUGGUUUAAGAAUUCAUGAUUUUCCAUUAAGAUCUGUAAUAACCCUUUCUUAAUUUUCAAUUAUCCUUGUGGGUACAUGUCAAUUUGGAUUAUUAUUCCACAUAUACAUAAUGUAUAAAGAACAUUACUGGCAUAGAAAUUUUUUGCACCAAAAAAAAUAAAAAAAUCCAAGAUGUUUUUGACUGUUGGCGGCACAAUACAGAAAGGUGAAAUUAGGUUAUCUUUUGGAGUUUUUCAUGAGACACCCUAAGGUUGUUUUGGUUUAUGUUUUUGGCCAAAGUUUAGAAUUUUGUUUCAUUUAAGUCCAAUUGAAUUUGCAACGGCCACCACAUGCUGUUUUUCGAGUCGAAAUUUAGGAACAAUUGCAUGUGAAAUUUCAGUUAGUCCCUGAUAUUCUAUUUUAUUACAUUAAAGAUAUGAUUAAUUGGAUUUAGUAUGAUAAAGCCGCCGACUUUAUGCGCAUCAAGCAUUAUAAGUUUUGUUCUCAUAAUUUUGAAUGCUUUCGCUCAUAAUUUUGAAUGCUUCCUCUAGCUUCCUUUCGUGAAACGUACUAACAAAUUAAGAAAUCAUCCAAUAUCUUUAGUACAAAUCCAAAUAGUCUCAUUUUGACUUUGAGCAAGCUUUUUAAUUCCACACUCAGAGAUAAAAUUUUGUGAAUUCACAUUAUUUAACAAAAUAAUUAACAAAUUAAUUGUGAUUAUGGUUGACGAUUGUUUGAGGGAUAUACUUCGACGAGGCCAACGGUGACAAGCAGAUACCUGGUAGCAGAAUGUACUUCGACGAAGACCAGCUGUGGUGAGCAGACAGCUGGUAGCAGGGUCUCGCGAGCAAGCAUAUACCGUAAGAAUCUGGCAGCAAGGGGAGCAGGAGCAGGGAUAUUCUGCUCAUCCACGAGGCCAAUCUCCUGCUGGAAGCAUAAAGUCAUUCCUGCUACAUUCCUGCUAAGGGUUGAGUCGAGGAGACCCGGUCAACGACAGUUGGCGAGGCGUGCUCUCCAGUCCGAGAAUCAAGGCACGAAGGCCACGCAACCACCCACGACUACGGAAAUGUGGCAUCCACUUUCAAGAGGUGGGAGGAUAACGAGCGCGAGUGGAGGCAAGGCCCGAAUCAGAAGUGGCCUAUAAAAAGGUAGCCAACGAAGGUAAAAGGGUUAGAAUUUUCGCUAUUUGAACUAAGAAAAGAGAACUCUAAGAAUUGAGAUUAUAGAAAAGUCAUAAGAUCCGUGGCAAGCGUUCCCAGAACCUUCACAUCUGACUUGAGCGUCGGAGGGUUUACGCCGGGAAAACAACCGGCGUGCUCUGACUCGUUUCUGUGAACGCAGGGAUACUUGGAGAAGAAAGCAUACGAGGAGAGAUCUUGAUCGAGGUGAAGUUGAUCGAGCAGAUAUCCUGGUCGUAGGACGGACAUAACCGGAAUCUCGCAUCAACAUUUUGGCGCCGUCUGUGGGGAGCUGAGCAAAAAGCUUCUGUUGAUAGCAAGAAGAGAAGGGAAGCAACUGAAAAGCAAUGGAGACAGGAGGAAGUAGUGCACAAGGGGGUGAUAUGAGGCUUAACGAUUCCGUGACGCUGAGGGAGAUAGCCAGUGAAGCACGGGAAAAAGCCAUGUUCGACCGGAUGGAACGGAUGGAAAAGCAGAUGGAGCCCUUGACAACCAUCCUGCAUGAUCUGCGGAGUGAACGAAGAGUAACCCAGGAGGAGAGGGUGAGAGGUGGUGGAGUGGCACUAGGUCCCGAUAGUGCGAGGAGAAGUCAAACCACCGGGAGAUUUGGUGGUGAGAGAGGUAACAUACCUCUACGGGGGGAAUUUCUUAGAGAGGAAGAGCAGUCCCCGGCAAGACAGAUUUUUGACGAAGACGACGGGGUGGCGAAUGCAGAGGAAACAAAGUUGAGGCAACACUUGCACGAUGUAGUGCAAGAGCGGGAUCAAGUUGCAGCACGUGACCCUGGUCGUGCAGUGCAGCUGGAGGAGGAAGUGCGUAGACUAGCGCAGAUAAUUGACGAUAUGCAAGGAAGGAGCAGAGCUCCUGGUUGGAGGAUAAUGCUGGACGGAGAAUCACCGCUUGCAGCAGAUAUCAUGAGGGCAGUUAUUCCGAGAGACUUCCGUCUCCCGGACCUUAGAUAUUCGGGACGAACUGAUCCGCUAGUGCACAUAGAACGCUUCAAUGACAUAACGGGGGUACAAGGAUUAUCUCAAUCCCAAAGGUGCAGGGUGUUCCCACUAUCCCUUGAGGGACGUGCACGAGAAUGGUACAGGAAACUUCCUCGGGGCAGCAUUAAAACCUUCGAGCAGAUAUGCCAGGAGUUUGCAGAGCAGUUUCGUGGAGCAAUGGCACCAGAAGAUGACAUGAUGGAGCUAAAAAGCAUGAAACAGGGGGAGCAAGAAACCCUUCGGGAAUUCAUCAAGAGGUUUCAUCGUGCUGUCCUCGACUUGGGAGCCUUCAACCACCCUCAGGCGUUAAGGGGAUUGAAAGAAGGGGUGAAGAUAGGAAGGCUGUGGUACAACUUGAGAAGCCCAGUUAUUCAGACGUAUGCGGCCGCAUACGAGCAGGCUAAGAGAGACAUUGAGAUUGAAGAGGAGAAGGCAGCACGGAUUAAGAUAGACCAGUUAGAAGGGUUGGGGAGGAAAGAGAAGAAGGCAUUACCGGGGAAUGGGCCGAUCAGGAGGAGGGACCACCAGGCCUCGGGUAGUGGAGCAAGAGGUUGGGUAACUGCUUACCAGUCUCAUCAGAGGCCACCACAGUAUCAGCGCAGCAGGGCGCAACCUCCUCGUUCCCCAGCUAGGGAGCCUUGGAGGAGGCAUGAUUCGGCAUAUGGUGGUCUUCAUCAACAUUCCCACGGUAGCAGAGGGAGCAGAUCAGAAGUACUGCCACCGCCCCCAACUCAGAACAGGGCAAACAGAGAAAGAGCAGUGCACCUGAUCGACCAAGACCAGGACUAUGGGCGGUAUACUUCCUUGAAGAUGUCCCUGGACGAGGUGUACGAGGCCAUAAAGGAUCGGGGGUUGCUAUACCUCCCUGCUCCAAUAACAAAGCUACCCAGCAGGAGGGAUAGGGGACGCUAUUGUAAGUUCCAUGGCACUCAUGGCCACACCACAGCAGACUGCAGAGAUCUUAAGACCCAGGUUGAAGAUUUGGUGAGAAAUCGGUAUCUGGACGAGUUUAUAGAAGGGACCUUCCCAAUGGUAGCCUCAACAAGUGAAGGAGAGCAGAGUGAUAGGAAUUUGAGGCGCGAGCAGCCUGCAGUAAGGGUUAUAGCUGGGGGCCCAACAUUGGCCGGAGAUUCCAACAGGUCGAGGAAUUUCAUUCAUUUGAAACUGUGAUAAAUUCUCUAAGGCAUGCAAAGGCUCGUCAAGUCUCAAAGCCUGUUUUAUGGCGAGACAGAAGCCAAGCGUGCCAGGAUCUGCUCGACCACGCGAAGGCGAGCAGAAUCCCCAAGCAUUGAAGAAUUUCUAAGGCAUGCAAAGGCUCGUCAAGUCUCAAAGCCUGUUUUAUGGCGAGACAGAAGCCAAGCGUGCCAGGAUCUGCUCGACCACGCGAAGGCGAGCAGAAUCCCCAAGCAUUGAAGAAUUUCCAAGGCAUGCAAAGGCUCGUCAAGUCUCAAAGCCUGUUUUAUGGCCAGACAGAUGCCAAGCGUGCCAGGAUCUGCUCGACCACGCAAAGGCGAGCAGAAUCUCAAGCAUUGAAAAUUUUCCUAGGCAUGUGACAAAACCACACGCCGAGCCAAAACCUGCUCAAACAAACGAAGACGAGCAGAGUCUCAAACAACUCAUGAUUACAACACAAGAAAGUAAUCAAAAACGUUUUUAUUAAUUUGUUAAUAAGUAACAGAGGAGAGAAUCUUCACAAACAUUAUUCAUUACAAUACAAGAAAUAUAUUAAGAGGACGGCGGAUCAGUAAGCCGAGCAGAUUCUGUUGGCUGGUCCACUUCAGGCGCAGGAGGGGUAUCACCAGCUGCAUCUGGGGGGGUACUCGCCUCACCAGCAUCAGCAGGGAUUACAUGGGGAGGAGAGUUUUCCUCCUCAAUCACAAUUGGCACCGUCUCCUCGGCAUCUUCCUUUGCAGCCUCCUCGUCCAUAUGUUGGGCGACACCAGCUGCAAGGUCGUCCAUCUUUAGAUUAGGAUGCUGCUUCCCGAGGACGGCCAUGAUGCAGCGAUAGGAAUGCCGAAGUCCCUGGUCGUACUGGUUGUCAGCCUCCUUCUCCAAGUUCUCGACCUGAACCCGAUGAGAAUCGCGGAGAGAUUCGAGCUGAGCCUCGUACAUAGCUUUCUGCCUUUGCAGAUCCUCCUUGACCUUAGUCAGCUCUUCCUCGAGAGUAAUGGCCUUUGCUUGAGCAAGAGAUUCCUGCUCUAUCAGCUUCAGAUUCUCGAGAUUCAAGUCUCCCGCUUUCUUCUCGGCAGCAUCGGCUCUGGUCGUCUCCGAUUGAAUGUCCUCCUUCAUCUUCCGGUCGUAACGGCCAACCUUGGCCUUGUAGUAGGUGGUCAUACAGCUGAGGUGGAAGGCGCUAUACUGCAUGGCCCCCACUAGCUCGCCCAGGGUGCAGCCAUCAAAGUCCUCCAGAUCCCUCUUACUCACGAGUUUAGAUAACUCAUUGAGAUAGGGGACCAUGUGUUCUGCUCAGCUGUCAGGUAAGCGAGACCGAGGCCCGACAGGAGGAGAAGAGGAAGCAGGAUCAGUGGCUGCCCCACUAGUUUCCCCGACUUUAGCAGGAGCAGGAGGUAAAGUCUUCAAGGGAGAGACCCGCUGCACGAUGUUGGCCCGCUUUGCAGUAGGGGCGUCCUUAUUCUGGUCCCUCUUUGUGGUUUGAGGUCGAGAACGUUUCCUGUUCAGGGCCCCAAUCACAGCAUCCUCCAUCUUAUGACCAGGGAGUAUCAAGCGAGACUCGAGCAAGUUGUAUGUAGUAAUCAGUUCCCGACUCGAGCAGGAAUUGGCUAGCACAGCCUCGACCCGUUUGAGCUGGUCAGGUUCGAGCGAGAAAUGAACACCCCAAGAAACUACAACACAAACAGACACUUGGUUAGAGACAAACAAAUAAAGCAAGAACAAUUAUGGAUACGAGACGUCUAAAGCGAGCAGGCAACCUGGGACCGUGAAACGGGGUGGGACGCGAUAAUCCUUCCCGUCUAUUUGCACAACUUGACCCCAAGGACCCCCAGCAAAAAAGAAUUUCCUCUUCCAAUUCCCACCACCACUAGUAGGGAGGUCGGUUAUGGGUUUCCUGGUCUUGGUACUAGAUUGGAAGUAGUACCAGCCUGCAUCUUUGGGGCUGUUCUUUAGCUGGUACAGGUGCAUCACCUCGUCAACUGUGGGCUCACUUUGGCAACAUCUGUCCCACAAUAUUAACAGACCAGAAAGCACUCUCCACCCGUUUGGGUUCAGCUGACCAAGAGAUAGAUUCAGCCCAGUAAGUAUCCGGGCAAAGUAAGGUUGCAAGGGACACCUCAGCCCAUACUUAAAGCUAUCCAGAUACAGGGUAACGUAUCCCCUAGGAGGCCGGCUAAGGAGUAUCUUUCUUUCCUGGGACCUUGAGAGGGAUUUCACCAGGGAUGCUAUACCUAAGCCGGAGGUCGUCGAGGUCAUCAAACGUGGUUGUGCACGUCAUGUAAUCAAUAGCGUAAUCCCGCGAUAGGGCUCUACCUCCUACUGUACUCCGCCCUCCUGGUCGCGAUGUUCCUGAUGGGGACACCUCACCAGAAUCACCUCCUCGAUCCUCGCUCAGGGUAUUUUCCGAGCCAGAAGAUCCCACAUCACCGCUACUUCCGCUCGAGGAGGUUGUUUGUGGGGACAUCUUCCUAGCGCUAGUACCAACACUAGAUCUAAUGGUUUCUAAGGGGAUCGCGGAAUCAAAAGCAGGAUCGGUGAGCAGACCAGGCAAGAAACGCAGCUCGUCGUCAUCAAUCUCAACGAUUUUCUCCUUACCCUUCGACAUUCCCUAAAGUUAUAACCUAAACACUACCACCAACUACUACCCCAAGCAAAAGCAAAGAGAAAAGAAAUUAUCUACGACUAACCGAGACCAAGAAAAUAGAAGAAAUACCUGAAGUAGGGACUCGGUCAGAGAGAGGCAGGGACGAAAGCUUUAAUGCCGAGGUUCAUUCGCCGGAGAGACAAGAAGGGAGAAAAUGACGAGUUCAAGUUUUGGGAUUUUGGGUUUUCUUACUGAGAAGCAAACCCUUGGGCUGCCAGCAUUUAAUGAUACAUAUUUCGAGAAACUUGCAACCGUAGGUUUAAAUUUCAAAAUGGAGGGGCAUAUUUCUGCCACAUCACCUCAUCCGCAAUUAAGUGCGACACGACUCCUGACAGCCUUUUCCAAUCCCACGCGAGCAAGUACUGUCAAGUUUCUACUGCUGGUCCACUACAUUACCCAACACCAGAAACUGGGGGACCGGUGUUUGAGGGAUAUACUUCGACGAGGCCAGCGGUGACAAGCAGAUACCUGGUAGCGGAAUGUACUUCGACGAAGACCAGCUGUGGUGAGCAGACAGCUGGUAGCAGGGUCUCGCGAGCAAGCAUAUACCGUAAGAAUCUGGCAGCAAGGGGAGCAGGAGCAGGGAUAUUCUGCUCAUCCACGAGGCCAAUCUCCUGCUGGAAGCAUAAAGUCAUUCCUGCUACAUUCCUGCUACAUUCCUGCUAAGGGUUGAGUCGAGGAGACCCGGUCAACGACAGUUGGCGAGGCGUGCUCUCCAGUCCGAGAAUCAAGGCACGAAGGCCACGCAACCACCCACGACUACGGAAAUGUGGCAUCCACUUUCAAGAGGUGGGAGGAUAACGAGCGCGAGUGGAGGCAAGGCCCGAAUCAGAAGUGGCCUAUAAAAAGGUAGCCAACGAAGGUAAAAGGGUUAGAAUUUUCGCUAUUUGAACUAAGAAAAGAGAACUCUAAGAAUUGAGAUUAUAGAAAAGUCAUAAGAUCCGUGGCAAGCGUUCCCAGAACCUUCACAUCUGACUUGAGCGUCGGAGGGUUUACGCCGGGAAAACAACCGGCGUGCUCUGACUCGUUUCUGUGAACGCAGGGAUACUUGGAGAAGAAAGCAUACGAGGAGAGAUCUUAAUCGAGGUGAAGUUGAUCGAGCAGAUAUCCUGGUCGUAGGACGGACAUAACCAAAAUCUCGCAUCAACAACGAUCAUGUUGAUAAGCAUCAUAAACAAAAUGAUUGUUGUAGAGGCUGAAAUUCCAAAAGUUUCGUUGCAUAUUUAGGGAAAUGUUGCAAGGACGAAGUAUCACUUGGCUGUAAGAAUUAGUUACCCAACAAUUUAUGGAGUUUGUUUUAGGUAAAAUAAAUAAUAGAGCAAAAUUAAGCCGACAUGGAUGUAUGUGUGUAUAUAUAGUCCUUCUCUAAUAUGGACACCUCUUGUUUUUUUUUUUUUUCUACAUAGACACACUAGUAAAAAAAAAAAAAAAACUCUUGUAUAGCUCAAGAGAUUUUAUAAGUUGAACUAAACCAAACAGAGACACUCACACAAUUGAUAAAUAAUGAUAACCCAUUAUUUUAUUUAAUUAAUAUAAUACAGAAAGAGUAACUUGCACUUAACCAGUGUAGUCGGAUUUCUUCCGUGUUGAUGGACAAUAAAGAGAUCCAGAUUGUCGUUUAUGCUCUCAUCAUUAACAAUACUGAUAAGAGAUAUUGGAUAACCCUUAGACCACUCAACCUUCCCUAAAAAUUCACAACAACAAUUGUAUUCAUUAAUACAUAUAUUAAAAUAAAAAUUAGAGAUAUAUAGAAGGAUAAAAUUAAUUUUUGUGAUUCUUGUUGCCUUAAUCUGCUCUUCACUUUCAAAAUGGGGCCUGUAUGUACGGUUUAAUACGUUCAUAUAUUAUGACAUAGAAUGUCAAAAACACCCCCUUAGAAUUCUGGGAGUUAAAGUUUACCCUUUUCCGACUAAUCCUCCGGCUGAUAAUACUUGUGUCUCAAUUAAUUAAUUAAUUAAUCGGGGAUCAGCCGCCAUAAAAGAUGACUAAACUAUCUCAUUAAUUCCCAUGAUCCCUAGUUUGGUUGUUUGCGUGUCUCGUGCGUAUGGCUAAUGAAUGCUUUUAACAAAAUGAAAAUUUUCUGUAGUGCUCACUCCUAAUCUUAAUUUAUUUCCAAUUGCCACAUUAAGAUUGUGGGUUCUAGCGCUUGGAUUCACUUAUUAAUCUUCCACCAAUAUUAAGUUAUUGUCAUGUCUUGUCUAUAAUCUGUAAUUGAGGUAAUGUAAAGUUGUAAACUAGCGGGUUGUAACGUAUAUUGGUAUUUUUUAAAUUCAUAUCCAUAGGGGAGUUUUUUUUUUUUUUUUUUUUUUUUUUUUUUUUUUUCUAAUGAGAGCAUUCACAGUUUGUUAAAAUGAGGAUGUUAUUAAAAUAAAAUUAAAAAAUAAAUAUUUUUAUUUUUAAUUAAAAAAUAUUUUGCGUUACAUAAUAUGGUAUUUAGAUAAGCACAAAAUUAAUACUCAUGUUGUUUUUUUUCUUUUAAUCUAGUUAAUGGAUGAGAUAUUAAUUAUCUUAUUAGGUAAUUUUUCGGAUAGUUUUAAUUUACCUUUAUGGUUUGGGAGAGACUCCUCCAACCGUUUUUAGAAAAGCGACGAAUGCCGGUAAAACUAAGGGGUAGUUAAGAAUAUGGAGAUAAAUAAUCUGUUGAUUAUGGUAGAAAAGGUCUAUUUUUCGGCUAUUUUAAACGAAUUUUAUGACAACAUUAGCCCCUAAAUAGUUGCUAUUGACAAAAUGACAUUCAACUGAACAUGGCCUGAGAACCUGGAUAAGGAGCUUCCAUGUUCUUCAAAUUAGAAAAGAUAUCUUCUAACUUCUGGUGAACCUUAAUCGAAACUGAAGUUGCUUUUGUUUCUGGUUUGAUAAUAUGCUGCUAAUGUAUUUAUGUACGAGUCUUCUUAUAGUACAGUGUUGUAUGCAAUACAGCCCAUUCAACAGUAAAAAGGAAACUUGAAAUUAAAAAUUAUUUUUAAUGUAGAAAAAAUAAAAUAAAACUGAAAAAAUUCAGGAAAUUUUGUAAAUAUUUAACACAAACAAUAUUCGAGUGAAAAAAAUAUUUUUAAUUUCAACAAAAGUUAAAAAAAAAUUAAAAUAAGCAUGCUCGACUCUUUUGGUUAAAUGUCUAUAUAUCAGGUGACAUUCCAAGUUAAUUUCACAUAUACCUAAUUUUGAUUAAACUUUCUCACUAAUUGGUUUGCUUAUCUCCACUUUCCGAUCCACUAGUUUUAUUUUUAAUAUUCCCACUAAACUCGUUAAUUACUAAUCUUUUUCAAAUUAUUUUUUCUCUAUUAUUGUAACUUCAAAUCCUUAUAAAUUACGUAUUGGAGACAUGGAUACAAUGUUUUGACAUAGUAGACUUUUGGCUUGUCUGGAGAAAUUUAGGGUAGAUUUUUAUGCACUAAGGCUCUAUUUACUAUUGAGAUUUUGGAACUUUUAAGCCACACUAGAAAUUUUGUAUUGUUUUGAAUGAGUUGUAGUCUUUGAUAUGUGAUUGGUAUUAAUCAGGUGUUGUGUUUACAAUAGUUAAAGGCAUAUUGAAUCAAAACCCACUUCUAAGGGCUUGAUUGAGUGAUUUUUAAGUAGGUUUCUAGUUUGCUAGCCACUCAAGUUCAAAUAUUGGAACCACAAAACUUUAUAGGCAAGUGAGAGAACUUAUGUCCUAAAAGUUGAGGGGUUCAUAUCGAGUUUUACUACCAAUAAAAGUUGGUGUUAAUACUUUAAAUUUCCUCCUAUUGAUGGAUAGGGGUACUUAGGGGUUUACAUUCCCUCCUAUUAAUAGACAGGGGUUAUUAGGAAUAUUAAAAAAAAAGUUCAAAUAUUGAAAAAAUAGGUAUGGGUUAUAAAAUGCAUAAUAUAAAGACACAAAAUCAAGAUAAAAAAUUAAAAAUUUAGAACCAUGAGAGCGUGACUUGUAAGUUUCAAAGAAGCAUGUGCAAAUAUAUGCAUUAUCGAUGCCCAUUAGGAGUGAACAUUAACAUCAGAUUAACUCGAACUGAACCUAAAAUUUAUUUUGAGUUCAAUUUGAUUAUGGUUGAAGCUUCCAACUGAGUUCAAAACUUAAAAAUGAUUGGGUUGUAUUUCUGUUCGAAUUUAACCCCAAAAGACUAAUCAAUCCAAUAGAGUUAAGUAAGCAAAUUAAGAAAAAAAAAUCCCAAAAAAUUAAAACUAACCCUAACUAAAAUAUUCGACCGCGGCCUCCUCGUUUUCUUUGCUAUUACUAUAAUUUUUUUUAACCAAUUUUCACAUUCAUCAACAUAGGCUGACACAUUUUGUAGAAAAUAAAAUUAAAUAAAAAUACAAGCUCACGAAAUUCCUUUUCCGAUGUGGGAAUCUAUCUACACCUUUCACGUGCCUUUUUUUUUUUUUUUUGGUGGUGGGGGAUUCACUUGCUUUUGUUUGCAUUGCCUUAUUGGAUAAAAGUUUGUAGAACAUCGUCUGUUUGGUUAAAGCCGAGCAUGAGUGAAGAAAAAUUAAAAAUAAAUAAUUUCCCAUUAAUUUACAACAAGUAUUAAUAAAGUGCAUGAGAAAAGACACCAAGAUAUGCCUUUUUUUAAAUGAAAAUAAAUGUGUUAAUUAGUCAAUUUAAAUGGUAUGACAUUUUGAAAUGAUAGAAGCGAUCUAAAGUUUAAAUCUUACUCACACUUAAUUUAGGGUUGGGGAUCAAUUGACGUAAUAUAUAAUAACAAAUUCGAAAGACAAUUAAAAAUUAAAAGAAAAUAAAAAAGUGCUUUCUUUUUUAUGAUGGUAAUUUGUUUAGAUGGUGAAAACUCUUAAGAGUGGUAUUAUCAAUACAUAGUUUCGAGCAUUGCCAACGUGCAUAAUAUUUAAUUUCCUUUAUAUAGUUAUAUCUCAACUAACAUUUAAACAGAAGUAAGUUGUAAAAAAAAUGAACCAUUGAGAUUUGAGAGAACGAAAAACUAAAAAAAAAGUUAAAAAAUUACAUCUCAAUAAAUUUACUUGAGAACUACUUUACUGAUUAGUGAAGAGAAAACACAAAGAAUAAUGAUGUAUCUCAAUUAAUAGGAAAGUUUUUGUAUUUUUCGUUUAUUCAAGAAUCACGAAACUUUAUUUAAACUUGUUAUUUCAUUGAUAAUAUAUUAAUAUUGAACAAUUAAUGUAGGCGACAAUCCUUUCCAAUUAUGCCCAUAUAUUAAUUAACGACCACCAAAAAGUUCAAGGAUACUAUAGUAAUUUAAGUCAACAAUUUCUGUGCUUGAAAUCAGCCAAUCAAACUCACUUUAGAAUAAAAUGAGAAAUCAAAAUCACAUUCUCCAAUUCUACGAUUUCAAUUCAUUUUGUUUUUUCAACUGAAGAAUUGGUUGUAUCUCGUUUUAUUUUUUUAUAAAGAUAAAUAUAAAAUAUAAAUGACGAGGAGACUGUAAAAGUAAAAUUAAAAGAAGAGCACGAGUUUUAUUGAAAAUGACUCUUUUCAUCAUUUUGCUGGAGUCCAUGUAUCUACAUAUAAACUAAAGAAGCACAUUUGUUUGUAUUAGCUUUUUUAUUAUAAUAAGUCAUUUGUCAAUGAACUUAUAUCAAUUUUUACGAAAAUAAUAGGUGUGUGUUAGUUUAUUCAAAUGGCAAAACCUCUUGGGAUAGAGCUUGUAAUUUAGUGGCUCAUGAAUUAUCUAAAUUGACACUACCGAAGCCAAAUUAUUGUAUUUGGUUAAAAAAGCUCCUACUAUGCUUCAACUUUAUUAUCCUCUGAUGUUUAUUAAUAAAUAACAAUUUUAUUGAAAAAAAAAGAACUUUUGAAAUGAUACAAAAGAUUUAGGAUAUGAAUCUCACUCGAAUUUAACUUGAGGUUGGCAUUGUUAACAUAAUAUUUGAAGAUAGAUUUUUUAAAAAAAAUAAAAAAUUUUUGGUUCAAACUAGUUAGUUUUAACUCAUAGUGAGAUUUAAACAAAAGCAGAAUAAUAAAUCUUGAUAUCCUGACUCAUGAAUAACGUAUAGAUAAGAUAAUAAAAUCUAUUGUAUUGAAAAUAAGAAGUCUGAAGUUUGAAUUUCGCUCACAUAAGUAGUACGAGAAUCAAAUUAUUGUUAGAUUAAAUUAAUUAAAAAAAUCUGAUAUCCAAAAAAAAUAUCAACAAAAAUGAAAUAAAAGAAAAUUGAAGAGAAAAACCAUUGAGAGAACGAAAAAUUAACACUAGAAAAUUUCUAUAACUAAUUGUAUUAGUGUGCGCAAACUGCACUUAUUAAAACAUGGUUAUUUCAUUUUCGUGGAUAAUCAUUUUGACACCGGUCAAAUUUAAAAGUUUUAAAAAAUAUGGGCGAUUUUUCUUUCCAGCUAUGCCCAUUAACUAAUAAAAGAACCGCCGAAACGGUUCGGGGAUAAUAUAGUAAUUUAAACUAACAGUUUCUGUGCUUCAAAUCAUCAUAUCAAACUCACACCUCACAAAAGCAGAGAAAUCAAACGGUUUCCGACUCUACGCUUUAAUUUCAGCUUCAUUUCUUCAACUGAAGAAUCGGUCGUCUCUCAUUUUUUAUUUAUUAUAUAAAGAUAAAUAUCUAAAUUUAAAUGCGAGAAGAGCGGACGAGGAAUACGAUUACUUGUUCAAAGUGGUAUUAAUCGGCGAUUCGGGAGUCGGCAAAUCGAACUUACUCUCCCGAUUUACUCGUAACGAGUUCUGUUUGGAGUCCAAAUCAACUAUUGGCGUCGAAUUCGCCACCCGCACUCUUUCAAGUAACUAACUUUUCCUUUUUCACUUCUCUUCAUUUUUAUUAGUUAAUUAAGAUCCAGUUAAUUUAAUUAAUUUUAUUUAAUCUUUUAAAUAAAGUUCUAUAUUGGGCUAACUUAGAUUCAUGUGAAGUUGAAGUGAUUUACUUUCGAUCUCUUUUUCGUCCUAUGUUUAUUUGUACUUACUAUUACUUUUUUUUUGGGUUUAAAUUUUCGUUUUUGAAGUGUUUACUGAAUAAAUUUCUGAGCUUUAUUUGUGUAUGCUGAUUGAUUUGUGAUUUUAAUUUUGUGACUUUUUUUUUGGAAUUUAAAUUUGAAUGCUUUUUAAGUUGAAUCUGAAUGUGUUGGGCUGCGAUUUAAUUAAGUCAUCUGUGAGCGCCAAAUUGUGAUAGCUAUAUAUUGGGGUGAAAAUUUGGGAUUUAAAGUUAUGUAUUUAAGAUGCAGUUAAUUCGCAAGUGAAAAUUAUGGGCCGGCAGAUUUUGUCAUUGGAAGACUGUUCUCCACAUGUUGAAGUUAGUGAUGCAAGUUGAAACCAAUCUGUUUACGCUUGGGGUUUCAUGUCUUGAAUCAAGGCUGUGACUUGGGGUGGGUUGAAAGUAUUAUAGCUUUAGCUAUUCCUGAAGUGAUCUGUUUAGACUCACCGUGAUGAGACCGAGUGCUGUACAGUAAAAUGAAAGGAAGUUGGAAAAUAUUUACUUAGCAUUUCGCGUUACUAAUGUUGAACUAAUAAAACCUAGCCCCUAUCCUAGUGAAUUUAUGUUAAAAAGCUAUGCACGCAUUAAGUUAGUGCGAGAGUCUGCUGAAGCAUAUGUCAGCUGUGUGUUUGGAGCUGAGUAUUCUUCAUUCCACAUUUUGGGUUUUGGUUGACCUCCAGCAUGACUCAACCCACUUGACUUAAAAGCCCUAGAGUUACAUUCUACCCAUGAUAUUUGAGUUUAUCAAGUCACCAUAUUUUAAUACUUCUCUGGAAAACAAAUAUAUAUGUUAAAUCAGGUAGGAAAAAUAAAAAGUUAAUUAUUGAGUUGUAAUGGUGCAACUAAGGUUUUGAAACAUUAAGAUCUUUAGCCAUUAUGUUACUAUCCCGUAGUUAUUUAAGUUACAAGAGAUAGUAAAAAAUAACAUCAUAUUUUAAUUACUUACACUAAUCCUACAAGUGCUGAUGGUCUAAAGUUGCUGCUGCUUGCACUGAAUCAGUGGUCAUGGGCCAGCCAAGGUUAGGUGAGGCCAACUCAUUAGCUCGUGAAACUUAAAGAAGUCUUAGGUUUGGAAAAGAUGGGGCACAGGUUACAAAAUUUUUUUGAGUUUUGGAUUGAAGGAACAAAAUUAUUGAUGUCUAGCUCACAAUACUUGAAGUCACUCUGUGCUUCAUCAUGUAAAAUGGAUUGAAUUGCUGUAAGAUCAGGUCAAAUUAAAAUGUUUAAACUCAUUUAUAAGAAACGAAUUCUCAAUUGGACCAGCCUUUCACAGAAGCUGAUAUCACAGAAGCUUUGAGUCAGAUGCAUCCAACGAAAGCCCCUGGCCAGCAGUAUUUUUCUAAAAGCUUUGGAAUUCAGUAAGCGAAGGAGUUAUAGCCACUUGUCUGCACAUCCUCAAUGAUGGAGGUAAUAUUGCUCCUUUGAAUUAUACAUACAUUGCUUUAAUCCCCAAGAUAGCAAAGCCUAGGACUAUGAUGGAGUAUAGACCAAUCAGCUUACGUAAUGUAAUUUAUAGGAUCAUUGCAAAGACUAUAGCGAAUGGGCUGAAGCUAAUCUUAGAUCAUGUUAUUUCACCAACUCAGAGUGAUGUUGUGCCAAAUAGGCUCAUAACUGAUAAUAUAAUUAUUGGGCAUGAGUGUUUUCAUAAGAUUAGGCAUUGCAAAAAUAAAAAGCAUGGUCUAGUGGUUUUGAAAUUAGACAUUAGCAAAGCAUAUGACAUGGUGGAGUGGAGUUUUUAAGAUGCACUAUGGAAAGGUUGGUUUUUCUCACAAAUGGGUGGAACUGGUCAUGAGAUGCAUAUCUACACCAUCUUUUUCUGUGCUGAUCAAUGAGGUAGCAAAAGGCCUUAUCCAGCCUCAAAGAGGCUUAAGACAAGGCUGCCCACUCUUUCCAUAUUUGUUCAUUAUUUGUGCUGAGGUUUUCACAAAUCUUUUGAAGCAAGCUGAAUCGAACCAGCUGAUUCAUUGAUUAAAAUUCAGUAGGGACCUGUCUAUUACUCAUCUUCUGUUUGCAGAUGAUAGUUUGAUUUUCACAAGAGCCAUUAAAGAAGAUUGUAUGAACCUGAAGCAACUCUUUGAUUGUUAUGCUGCUGCCUCAGGCCAGAUUUUUAAUUUCAAAAAGUCCUCCAUGUUCUUCAGCGAUAAUGCCAAGCAAGAGCAGAUAGCUACAAUUAAGGAUAUAUUUCAACUUCAAGUGGUUUCAAGACAUGAAAUGUAUCUUGGACUACCUUCAAUGGUGGGAAGAAAUAAGACCAGCUUCUUCAACGAUAUCAAGCUCAGAAUUAUAAACAAAAUCUCCAAUUGGCAAGUAAAAUUUUUCUUGUGUGGAUGGAAGGAGAUGCCUAUAAACGCAGUAGCUCAAGCAGUGCCUGCUUACGCCAUGAGUAUUUUUAAACUUCCUUUAGGGCUAUGUGAGGAUAUGCAGAAGGCCAUUGCUGGGUUUUGGUGGGGAAGUUCAAGGAAUCAUAGGUCUAUUCACCGGUUCAAGUGGGAAAGAAUGUGUCUAGCUAAGAAGAGGGGUGGCUUAGGUUUCCGAGACUUGUCUAGUUUCAACCAAGCGCUUGUGGCAAAACAGAGUUGGAGGAUCAUUCAAGCGCCAGAAUCGCUCAUAGCUAGGGUGAUGAAGGCAAGAUAUUUCAGACAUUCGGAUAUUAUGGAGGCACAAAUUAGCUCAAACCCCUCUUAUAUAUGGAGGAGCAUCCUGUGGGGGCGAAAUGUUAUUCAUAAGGGUCCUAGAUGGAGAAUCGGAGAUGGAAAGCAGGUGAAAGAGUAUCAAAGUUGCUGGUUACCAAGACCUGUAACGUCCAAACCAAUAUGUCCUACAAGUCUCCCUUUGGAGACUAUGGUUUCAGAGUUGAUUGAUGAGGACCACUGCUGGAAAGAUCUUGUAAUAAUAAGACAACAUUUUCAUCAAGAAGAUGCUGCCCAGAUACUUCAGAUCCCUCUGCCAAGACAACCAAGAUCAAACCAAGUUUUGUGGCUUUACAACAAAAAAGGUUACUACUCAGUCAAGAGUGGGUAUCAACUAGCUCUACAAAUGAAGUUCCCAACCAAGCCUAGCAGUUCAGAGGAAGGCAAAAGUGCAUGGAACUCAAUUUGGUAUUUACAAAUUCCAGAGAAAGUGAAGAUAUUUAUGUAGAGGGCUGCAAAUGACAUGCUGCCCAUAGCAGAGAAUUUAUGGAAGAAAAGAGUAUAACAAGCCCCCUGGUGUCAGAGAUGCAGGGGUUAUGGAGAGUCUAUCUUCCACACAUUGUUUGAAUGUAAAGCCUCGCGGAAAAUUUGGAAGCUCACAUCUUUUGAAGAUGAAGUGAAAGCCCCAAAAUGUAAAGAUGUCCUAAGCUUGCUGUUGGCUUUGGCUGAAGGACGAAGCAAGACUGAAAUGGAGCUGAUAGUUGCUUUGUGCUGGAGGGAGCAUAUGGCACUCAAGGAAUCUUUUUAUUUUCAAAAGCAAAAAGGAAGAUUCUCAAUUAUCAGUAGCUGGAGUUGAGGCAAUUGUUCAGUCUUAUAAAAGAAUUCAAAUGCCGCAUAUGCAAGCAAUAUCAUAUCAAAGUUCUGAAUCCCAGAAGCAUUGGAAGUGUCCCCCUGCAGGUUGGUUCAAGGUGAAUGUUGAUGCAGCUAUAAAGUUAGACCAACAAAGAGUAGGUCUGGGCAUUGUAAUCAGAAAUUCAGAAGGCAAACUUAUAGCAGCAGCCUUAAAGCCAACAAAAUGGCUUGAUAAAGUGGAUUAUGCAGAAGCUGAAGCAACUAAGUUCGGGCUGGAAGUAGCUGAAAACGCCGGAUGUUCACCUUUGAUUGUUGAGACUGAUUCACAGGUAGUAGCAGAUUUAGUCUUAGCUAGAAAAAUAACAAAAGCUGAGAUUUUUUGGAUUGUAUCCGAGGUCCAAGAGAUGUGAAGAGAUUAAAACAUGUCAAGUUACAGCACACACUAAGAACUUGUAAUGGUUUUGCUCACGCACUUACUAAGUUAGCUUUAGACUAUUCUGAUUUUGUAAUAUGGGUGGAUAGCAUACCAGCCCAUCUUUUGUAUCUAUUCACAGAGUUGAAUGAUUGAAAGUAAUACUUUCAUUUAAAAAAAAAACAUACAAGGAUCUAAUUAUAAAUAUAUAAUCCAAGAAAACAGUAAUAAUAAUGAAUCUCGUAAACAAUAAUUAAAUAAUAGCAAUAAUAAGUGGACAGAGCUAAGCCACUCGGCCUUUGGCCGAGUUGGAGAGCAGCAGUUCGAACCCCCACAAUGUAUUGUGGGGGUAUUUUCUUCCUCAAUUAAAUUUGAGUGAAGGCAGUCUGUUUCAUUGUCCCAGUGUGAGGAGUAGAUAUCCCUCGAAUAUUUGAGAGGGUUAAAAUUUGGGCAGUGCUCUAUUAGCAUUGAUGUAUGUUGGUCUCAGUUAUAGUCUGAUUUGUAAAUAUCAGUUAUAUUCUCAUGUAAUAUGAGUUGUAAUAUGAGCAAUAGUCUCAUGUAAUUAAAAAAAAAAAGUGGAUAAAGCUAUGAGUUGUAAUAUGAGCAAUAGUCUCAUGUAAUAAAAAAAAAAAAGUGGACAAAGCUAAGUUCCAGAGGAGUUAUAGUCUUAUUUAUAAAUAUCAAUUAUAUUUUCAUGUAAUAUGAGCAAUAGUGUAAUAAAAAAAAAAAAAAAAAAGUGGACAAAGCUAAGUUCCAGAGGUGAAAUAGGAAAUUCUCCCGCACGACACAGCACAAACUUACUUUACCUUUCAUUUUCUUUUCUCUUUCUCGCCCUCCAAACAGAGCAAAAGGACUGUCGCAAGAUUCUUCACUUCCAUCCAAAAUCAUGAGCAACGAAUAGUGAGCCUCCCUGUUUCCUUCCUUUUUUUGAUAUUAACAUUGUUAACAUCUACUCAUUUUAAUUUGACAAUACUUCAAUUUUUUUUAUUUUUUUGCCUUUUCAUUUUUUUUUUGUUGAAGCAAUUAUCUGUUCAAGCUGUUGCUUAUCGGAGACUCGUCCGUCGGAAAGUCCUGCCUGCUGCUCCGAUUUGCUGUCUGUUGACUUUUCCUUUCCCUUCUUAUUUUCUUUUUUUUAUAUUAAUUACUUCCUAUUUUAGCUUUUUGUUCUCUGAAUUUGUGUUAUUAAAAUGAUAAUUUAGAUGAUUAAUAAUUGUUAUUCUUGUAAAUUUCAGUUUUCAUUACGCUAAUUGUUAGUUUUUAGGUUUAUUAAUGUAAUUUUUUUUUAAUUUUUCAGGAUGAUUCUUAUGUCACAGCUACAUCAGUACCAUUGGAGUUGAUUUUGUGAGUCUCUCUUCUAUAUAUAUGUAUAUAUGUAUGUAUAAGUUAUAAUAUGAGUCUAUGUUCGUGUAUGUAUGUAUGUGUAUGCAUAUGUGGAAAGAAAUGUUGGCAGACUUCAGCAUUUUACUUUUUUUUUUAUUUUGGCAGAAAAUAAGAACUGUGGAGCUGGAUGGGAAGACGAUCAAACUGCAGAUUGUGAGUCAAAAUUUCCCUUUAUCUUGUAUUGAGAGAAAUUCGAUUUGUCUUAUUUAGUGAAGGUUAUGUUCAAGAACCUUGUCUUAUUUUCUUUGUUUGAAGAGUGAUAUGUUGAAAUGAGUGUAUUUGUCUUAUAAACAUCAUUUAGGUAAUGUCUGAUGUUUGAUUGUUUUUCAUCUGUUUAGUGGGACACUGCUGGACAGGAGCGAUUCAGGACUAUAACUAGCAGUUAUUACCGAGGAGCCCAUGGAAUCAUAGUAAGGAGCCUUCCCGCUUCUUGGUUUAAAUCAGAAAGUUUGUGAUUUACAUGUGACAUCUUAACAACAUUGUACUUUUCAAAAAAAAAAAUAAACAACAUUGUAUGUGUUUAUUAACUUAUUUUUCAUCUUUCGUUAAGCAGUACAUUUUCCAAUAAAUCUGUAUACAAGAUGAUGUAGUCCAAGAAUGGGAGCGAUAAUAUGAUGCAAAUUGUCUAAUAAAUUCUUAUGACAUAUGAUGUUGUCGGAAGUAAAAGUCUUGCAAUGCUCUCUUUUAAGAAAGAAUAAGUGGUAAUUUUGUUUUUCCAAUUUUUUAAUUGAGCAACUGUGUGAGAUUAAUUAAAUGUGUUGGGAUUUCAACAGAUUGUCUAUGAUGUAACUGAGAUGGAGAGCUUCAAUAAUGUCAAGCAGUGGUUGAAUGAGAUUGACAGAUACGCAAAUGACAGUGUAUGCAAACUUCUAGUUGGGAACAAAUGCGAUUUAGUUGAGAACAAGGUUGUGGACACACAGACAGCCAAGGUAUAUUCGUGACUUCUGUCGCCUGAACUUUGAAUAUAAUUUUAAACUCUUCUCAAGUGCAUUUGCUUGAUAAGUUUCUGCAUACCCAGGACACUCAAACUUUGGACAGUUUGUAUCUCGAGCUGGAAUCUUUUUUGUCAAUACGACUUGUUAAAAUAAGGAUUAUUAUCGUUUGAAUCCUUCAAGAAUUGCAAUAAAUCUAAAGUCCGUAAAAAAUAUGAUUUCAUCAUUUUACUAUUAUAUCCAGACAAAAUCCAUUAUUUUACUACAUUUUAUGUAGCACGGAUAGUUGACCUGUUGGCUGACUGAUAAAAUAUCAAUUUUGCACUUUAUAUUAAUUCUUUUUUGGUUAAAAAAUAACACACAAAGUAUUACAAUAUUAUAAAUUCAAAAUAGAAAGUAGCUACAAAUAAUUCCUAUUAGCCUAUUAAUAUAAUAUUUGAUACCUCUAUUUGUGUUAUUUUUUUCCAAGGGUGAAAUUGGUAUUUUUUUUGUACUAACGGAAAUGUAGUAAAAUGAUAAGUUUUGUAAAGAUAUAGUAGUAAAAUGAUAGACUAAAAUACUUCUGUAGUUGUUUGAUAUAUUGUAAUUCUUAAAGUAGUCAAUUGAUAAUAUUCCCUAAAAUAAAUGUUCGUAAUAUGUUCUCAUUUUAAUGCAACUGAUUGUUUAAUAAAAUUGUAUUUCUUUGUUAAUCUUUUAUCAUGUGCAUGCUCAGUGAGAAUUUGACUUACUAGCACACAAGUUUGACUCUUCAUGUAAAUGUCCCUUGUAUCAUAUCCUUCAAUGUUGAGUGUGUUUCCAAUAAAAUUGAGUAGGGGAAUCCUUAAAUACCUUUUCCUUUUUUCCAAGGGCUGUGCCAAAUUGCUCUAAGUGAUUAUCAAUGGAUAAUGAAAAUAAAUUUUUUAUUAAAGCAAUUUUUUCCUUAAAGGGUGACUAAUAGUACCCCCUUUUUGGAAAAGAAAGUCAGAACAUGCCCAAAGAGAAUCAUUUAUAUUCCUCUAAUGUAUUUUCUAAUUUGUUUCGAGCCUUGAAUGUCCGUUUUGGUGCGUAUUCUCAUUCCAUGUCGAAUCUUAUCCAUAUGGACAACCCCAAUUACAAAAUGGAUCUAUUGAAGUUCAUAUGAGGUUUGUGCUUUAGAUUUAGACCUCCCCCCCCAACUUACCUGUCUUUCACUUACCUGUUUGCAUGCAUGCCCAUGUGCACACUUGCAAGAUAAUACACGGUCACGCGUACUUGUGCUUUGGUUGAGCUAUUGGCUGCUAACCCUCUGUAAUUCAGUUUGAAACUUGCCACCCUUAGUGCUUUGCUCAAAUGGUUGGUUAGGGUGGAUCGUUUUCCUGGUCUCUUUCCAAGGUUAUCUAAAGGGAUUUGGCAGUCUGAUUCUUUAGGGAAUAUCAUUGCAUAAGAUAUCUACUGUUUGUCAAUGAAUAAUUUCUAUUAAUUAGUUAUCUAUAUAAAUUGGUAAAUUUUAACUGCAUAAUUUGCAUUCAAUAAGAUUUUAUAAGAAUCUUAUUUUCAACUCAUGACUUAGACUCAUGUGAUAUGUUGAGCAUUAAGCUACAAGAUCUGCACAUCAAAGUGCUUCACUAUGUUAAGGAGAAAGCAUCUUUUUCUGUUCUUCAUGUGAUUUAAAGUUUCCAAGGUACUUAUCCUAUAAAAUAUCUUUCAAGACUUUGGAAAUGCUUUUAUGUAUGACUGAGAGAAACUUGUUGGGUUUUUUUUAGCAACAGACGGAGUUAUGGACUUUGUGUUGACUUGUUAUUGAUUAAGACAGUACAUCGGCUGAUCUAUUGGCAUCAAGCAGCAGAUGCAGAAAUUAUGGGUGGCAUAUCAUUGUAUCCAAAUAACGUACUACAUUGAUUUUUCUGACUUUCUGUUGGUCUCCGAGUGAAAUGCAGGCAUUUGCAGAUGAACUGGGGAUUCCUUUCCUGGAGAUGAGUGCCAAAGAUGCAAUCAAUGUGGAGCAGGCUUUCUUGACCAUGGCUGGCGAGAUUAAGAAAAAGUAAAAUCACUUAACUCUUUCCUUCUUGCCUUGUGAUUGAUUCUGUGAUCCAUUGCCUAUUUGCAAAUGCUGACUGUUCUUAUUCAAUAAUCACCAUUAUUGCUGGUUAUAUGCACUGUGAUGAAAAUUCUGCAAUGAGUAACUUUUUACCUAAUGUUUUCUGUUGGAACAAAUUACUCUGGUAGAAAAGCCCUACAGGGUUUGAGAAAACCCAUGAUGUGACGAUUGUGAGCAUUUUAGAGACCGUGUAGGGGUUUAUUUAUGACUAUAAAAUGGUAAGAUUGUUUCUAGUUUUGGUUUGUAGUUCAUAAAAGGAUUCAAAAUUUGACAUCUGUCUAAAUCAGAUUAAUAACAUGAUAAUGUACAUAUGCAAGAUGUGAGGAAUUGUUUUAUCUCACCCCUGAACUUUAAGAAAUUGAAACAUUAUCAUUCAAAAUAUUUAACAUUUCCAGAAUUGAUAGUUGUCUAUUUGAGCAGUGACCGGUGGUUAUCAUGAACUGAUGUGUGGUUGUGGUGUCAAAUCUUGGUGAAACCUGUUGUCAUCUGCCGGUUAACAUAGCUAGUCUCUGAAAUAAUUUCUUGAUUCACUAAUUAUGAGUUCAAAUUUGAUGCAGAAUGGGCAACCAGCCUACUGCAAACAAAUCUUCUGGAACAGUUCAGAUGAAGGGACAGCCAAUCCAGCAAAACAGCAACUGCUGUGGUUCGCAGAGCAUGUUAUUUUACUACUACAUGUUAGCUGACUGAUUGUAGACAGUUUUAACUAUGUUGACUGCAUUAUCUUAGGAAUCUUUUAAUAUGUCAAAUAUUUAUUUCCUGCUUUAAGUUCUUUCCGUUUAUAACAAAUUUAAUUUCUUGCUUCAUUGCAUUCCAAAUUCCUGUCAAUUUACGAGGGAAAAAGAAAAGAGAGACGAAAUCAGAGAAAAUGGUCAAAUUUGUUAGGGGGAGAGAGCUGUUCAAGUAGUUUCUGUUCUUGUUUAUCGUCGUGACCCUCUUGUAGCUUGUCUAUGACCUGGAAGUCCGGUCAUAUCGGAUGGGUAAAGUUACCAAAACGGCAUCAUUUUGGGUGAAAUAUCAUAUUUAUGUAACACUUUUGAUAAUGUUUUUGUGCAACAAAAAAAUGUUCGCGGUACCCUUUUCACAUUGUGUAGCGCAUGAUCGGAUGAGAGCAGUCUGGAUUCUGGCAUCACAAGCUAAUGCUUUGAUUUGCUUAGUUUUUUUUUUUUUUUUGUUUCUGAUAUUUUCUUGGCAUUGGGUGGCAUAUUGUUUCUCUUUUGAGUUUCCCUUUUUUUUUUUUUUUGUUAUGGAAUUUAGAGAUAAUGUACAUGUAUGAAGAUGACGUAAUAAAGUUAUUUGAUGCUGCUUGUAUGAAGAUAGUGUACAUGUAUGAAGAUGACAUAAUUAAUUUGACUUCCAUUAUAUUAAUUAUGUCCAAUCAUGCUUCUUUAAUAAAGAACGCCGGAGCAUUUAAAUGUAUACAACAUACCAAAUUAAUUACAAAAUGAUCUUUGACAAAGUCUGACCGGUCAACUAUCCAUCAGAUUCUGUAAUGUGUUACCGUUGAACUCUCAUAUCAAGUUUGGAUAGACAGCGCUUUGGCUAACAAUGAGAUAUAUGCGAGCAUCAAAGCUCCUUUCUCUGUUUUAAUGGUGUUUCUCUUUGUGGUUGUUGAGCUCUUAUCUCUGUUUUAAUGGUGUUUCUUUUUGUGGUUGUUGGACAAACUGUAAUGUGAAUUUCUAUUUAAUGGGUAUCCUAAUACUUUUAGUUAGUUUGGAAUUGUUGAUUUAUAUAUGACGUUCAGUAUCCAAAAUUCAGAUAAUGAUAACCUUUAGUACUCUUGUCAUAUUACCUUUCGUGUUGGUGUUAGUAUCUUAAUUAUGUACCCAAUGAUAAGGACAAUAUAUACCUAAUUUGAAACUUCUAUAAUUUUACAUAUAUAGAUGCAAAUUCAUUUUUAAGAGUGCAUUUAAUCAAGCAGUCCAUGUGUUUAUACUGAGUAAUUGGUUCAAUAUCAAUACAAUACUAUUUUAAGUAACAUGUGGCAUAUUCUAAUUCCAGUGAGCUUCCAACUCAUAUUCCCAAUUCAAAAGAAAAGUUUUCAAUUUUCUCCAGAACGUUCUACAAAACGUUUCUUCUAGUCUCUACACUGUGCUAGAAUUUUCUCUAAGUUUCUUUUGCAAAGACUUUUAAAGAACUAUCCAGAUACUGAGCUAUAAUCCAGUCUAAGCGUAUAUAUCUCUCUAUAUUUCACCUCCCUCCAUUUCACUAGAAGAUCAACAAACACUUAGCUUUGAAACAAACACUCUAAAAAAGCUAGCUUAGCUACCCAGAUGGCGAAAUCAAGAAUUCUUGCAAUGACAAUGUCGUUUCUUGUUAUGGCUGCAACAUUGAUUAUCAUGGCAUCACAAGCAAACACUCUGAUGUCGUACACACGAUCACCUUUCUUUGACGUGAUAUUUGCAAUGACAGAAGAUCCUUUCCGGGUUCUUGAACAAACCCCUCUAACAAUCCCAAAAAGAGUUGAUCAUCAUCAAACUCUAGCCCUGGCGAGAGCAGACUGGAUGGAGCACCAACAGCACACGUGAUCACGCUCGACAUUCCAGGGAUGAAGAAAGAUGAAGUGAAGAUUGAAGUUGAAGAGAACAAGGUACUCAGAGUGAGUGGGGAGAGGAAGAGUGAUGAUUAUUAUAAGGAGGGAGUUGAAGGAGAGAAAAGGCACAGAGCUGAGAGCACUUUUGGCAAGUUUUGGAGGCAGUUCAGGAUGCCUAUGAGUGCUGCCUUGGAACAUGUUAAGGCUCAUUCGGAAAAUGGUGUUCUAAGGAUCACAGUGCCAAAGCUUGCUGAGGAGAAGAGGAGGCAGCCUAAGGUUAUUAGCAUUAAUGAAGAGCUUGCAGGUAAUUCUUUCGGUGAAGAUAUUAAGGCCACCAAGGCCCAAAUGUGAUUGAUUAAAGAAAGAAGUGCUUGCUUCACUUGAUAUGCUAUUUGUUUAUGAUCUUUUCUUAGUUUUGUUGUGGGAUGUUUCUCUCUGAACGUUUUGUUUAUUGUAUUUUGAUGGGUUUUUUAAGAUGGUUUGCAUGUACUAACAACAAUAAAAGUGUUUUUUUAUAAAUCCGUGUCCUAAGUUUGUAAAAGAAAUUAAUAUGCUUGGUUGUUAAUAAAAAAAUAAAAAUAAAAAGCCUUUUUCUUUGGCGUAUAUUAUGCAUUUUAAGAAAUUUUUUUUUUCACACUCCAAUUCAUAAAGAUAUUCUUCUUCUGUCAUAUUAAUGUGUCAGUUUUGAUGAAUCCAAAUAUUCAAUAACUGAUCAAUUAUAUUUAUAAAUAUUAAUAGCGAUGGCACAUAAAUAAUUAAUUCAAGAACUCGCCCAAAGUGCAUUAAUUUGAAGAGUAUAAAUAACAUUGCAAUACAGUUCAGCCCUUACGUGUUUAAUUAGCAAUUAAAAACUACUUUAUAUUGUAAAACACCAUUAAAAGAAGAUUUGCCAAAGUCUGAUUGAAGAGAAUAUACACGCACACAUGUAUAUAACCGUACAGCAGAAGGAUCAAUAAAAGAAAAUGAAGUUUCAACAGCUGAAUAAUGCAAAAUCAUUUUUUAAAAAAGUAUUUUAUUGUUUAAUUAAAAAAUUCGAAAACCCAUUCGCCUUAUAUAUAUGAUAAAGACUCACCGACACCGAACCAUAUUAAUUUAAAUUAGUUUUCAACUGAGAUUUGAAUUUUAAAAUUAUAUACACAAACACGCCCAUUUUUUUUAAAAUACUAAUAGUAAAAUAUUUCAUUUUUCAUCUAUUACAACAAGAGGUAUAAUCGCAAAAGUGAAAAAUAUUUCAUUUAACAAGUCCCAAUAUUGUCCUCCAUCCUUUCUGCACUUCUCUGCUAUCAACGGACAACUCCAGAUCCAUAAUCGCAAAAGUGAGGAAGGCAGUCAUCAUCUGUUCAAUUAUCAAAAAAUCCUUUUACCAUCCAUUUUUUUUUUUGAGAAAAGAAGUGGUUUUCAUUCAUUCAAAGAGUUAAAUAACUCCAUAACUUCUGAAGGGUACAAGUCUACCCAUACAAAAGUUUUACCUUUCUCUAAAGCUAGCUGCUAUAGAGUGAGUAAUAACAUUACAUGAUCUUGGUGUUUGCUGGAUUUUCCAUGCAUUGAAGCCUUUCAAGCUACUUUGCAUUUCUGCAACUAACCAUUGAAUCUUUGUUCUGCUGCUCUUCCUGUUGUUGACAAAAUCUACUGCCUCCUGGGAAUCCGAUUCUACAAUGACUCUUGCCAAACCUUUCUCUAUAGCUACACUCAGGCCCCAAUUCAUUGCCUCAGCUUCUGCAAAUGUUACAUCACUGUGAAGCUUUGUACUCUUGACAGCAGCUGCGAUAACAUCUUUGUUUGCAUCCCUUAUGAUUAUCCCCAAGCUUACUCGGUGCUCCUCUCGGUUUAUGGCAGCAUCUACGUUAAUUUUAACCCAACCUGAGGGUGGAGGGCUCCAACAUGUUUGAGUUGUCAUCUGGUCCCCAGCCUUGAGAAUUCUUCUUGGAGCUUGAAUCCUUUUGAAAGAAUCAACAACUGCCUCUGCUUUGGCUGCUGUUAUGCAAGGCUCAUCUCUUUUUCCCCGAACAAAACAUGAUUUCUUGCACUCCAAAUUACCCAACACAGAGCUAUUACCAGAUCAGCAUUGUUUUUACCCAUUCUUCUCACUGCUUCAUGGACAAAACUGAGGAUGUCUUGGUGAGCUAUAUUUCCAAUAUCAACUGCAAAUUUGGUGGUUUUCCAUACUGUACGGGCUAAUUUGCACUCCAUCAGGGCAUGGGCAGUUGUUUCCAUCUUAGUUCCACAUAGUUGGCAGGUUGGCUGUGGUAAUAGUUUCCUCUUCCACAAGAUCUCAGUGGUUGGGAGCAAAUUUUUUGUUGCCCUCCAUACAAAAAUCUUAAUUUUUUCUGGUAAAGACAAGGUCCAAAUGACUGACCAUUGGUUUGUCUUUUGAUUUGAGCAGCUCGGGAUGUCCGGGAAUUUCUCUCUCAAUGCCACCUGAUAUCCACUCUUCACAGAGUAGAUCCCUUUUUUAUCGUAGUGCCAAACUAUUUGAUCCUCCAUGGGUCGGUUGGGGAGGGGAAUUCUUAAAAUCAUCUCGGCAUCUUCUUUUUCAAAGUGUUGAUUAAUCAAGCCUUCAUUCCACUGGUUAGCAGCAUUAAUCAAAUCUGAGACUUUUGAAUCGAUGGGUAGAGAUGGAGAGGAAACUGGUUUGAAGGUUGUGGGCCUUGGCAUCCAGUUUCCUUUAUAAACCUUGACUUGCUCUCCAUUCCCGAUCCUCCAUCUGAUCCCUUUGUGAAUCACUUGUCUCCCCCACAAAAUACUCCUCCAUAUGAAUGAAGGCUUACUUCCCAGCCUUGCAUUUAAGAACUGACCGUUCUUGAAAUACCUAGCUUGCAGGACUCUAGCCACCAGAGAGUUAGGAAAUUGAAUAAUUCUCCAACUUUGCUUAGCUACUAGCACCUGGUUAAAGCUUGCAAAGUCUCAUAAUCCCAGCCCUCCUCUUUGCUUGGCUUGGCUUAAUUUCUCCCAUUUUGCCCAGUGAAUCCCUUUUUUUUCCUUAUUGCUGCUCCACCAAAAUUUGGCUAUUACUUGUUAGAUAUCAUUACAAGUACUUAAGGGGAGUUUGAAGACACUCAUUGCGUAUGCCGGAACCGCCUGAGCCACUGCCUUGAUAAGAACUUCUUUGCCCCCGCAUGAGAAGAAUUUAUGCUGCCAAUUGGUGAUUUUGCUGGACACUCUCAGCUCGUGUUUCCGCUAAAAAACAUGGAGGAUUUGUCGUAAUUGAAGAGCUGGCCUGAUGCAGCUACAUAGGCCUCAAAUAUCCUUUUCAGAUGCAAAAAAUUUGCUUCUGAGGCAUUUGUGAAGAUGAGACUAUCAUCGGCAAACAAUAAGUGGGAUAUGAUGAUAUCUUUGCUGAAUUUCAGACCAUGGAUUAGGCUUUUUUCUUUAGCUCUUUUACCAUCCAUUUGAACAUACACAAACACGCCCAAUUUGAAAAAAAAAAUAGUAAUUAUAAAAUAUUUCAAUCGUCCACUGUUCAGUCACCAAAAACCAAUUUACCAUCCAUUUCAACGCCUAAUUUGAAAAAAGAAAAUACUAAUAAUAAAAUAUUACAGUCGUCCAUCCUUUCACAAAUCAAAAAUAUCACCAAAAACCAAUUAACCAGCUAUUUCAACAUAAGGUAUAUGGGUUGACAAGUCCCAAUAUUGUGCUCCAUCCUUUCUGCACUUCUCUGCUAUCAACGGACAUCUCCAGAUCCAUAAUUGCAAAAGUGAGGAAGGCAGGCCCUUCUCCGGAAAGUAUUUGAGCUUGGGACAAUCCUCGAGAUACAAUUCAGUGAGGUUUUGAAGAUCAACAAUUGAAGAAGAUAAGCGUUCCAGAUUUGAAAAUUUAUAAAUGCUCAGAGAUGUUAGAGAGGCAGGAAGAGGAAGCGCGGUCCCUAAUCUUUUGUCCUCUAGUGGAAAUGACACCAUGUCGUCAUCACAUCCUUCGAUUGUAAGAUGUCGCAGAGAGGAGAAUCUGUGAAAUCCCCGGCCCCGCUCAAUCAUUGACUUCCAAAUCUCCAUAUUACCCCAAAUACGAAGUGACUGAAGGUUGGUGGGAAGGCCAUCUUCUUCAAGGCUUGGAAGCUCACCUCCUUUUCCUAUUGUUAGUUUUUGAAGAGAGGUCAGAUUGUGCAAUCCCUUGGGUAAGGCCUCUAGUCUCUUGCAAUCAAGUAUCGUCAGCCUCGUGAGUUUCGCACAAGGCAACCCCCCUUCGGGAAAGGACACCAGAUUUCCACAAAUCUGUAUACUAAUCUCUCGAAGCCGGUGGAGUUUAUGUAAACCACUCGGUAAAAUUUUGAGAUUUUCACAAUAAGCAAUGUAGAUAUCUUCAAGAGAUGUGUUGUUGUCCAACCUUUCUGCUAUUGACUCCAGCUUUGAACAUCCACAAACACGAAGGGACUUAAGAGACAGAGGUAGAUUGCCAACUUCAAGGGACUCAAGCGUGGCAGGUAACUCGUUUUUUGAAAAUAUACAUGUCAGUGAUGGACAAUAGCGAAUAUUCAAGUCCUCGAGAAGAGAUGAGGUGUACCUUCCACUGCUGCUGCUACACUGGAUGCCCUCUUCCACUGUCAAAGUCCUUAUAUUAUCACAAUUCUGGAUGUCCAACAUCUUAAGGCUCGGUGCUAGCUGGACUCUAGCAAUAUAUGUCAACGAAUAGCAAUAUGAAAUCCUCAAGAUCUCGAGAGAUGAAUUGGUGUCGCAUAUCCAUGCCUCUGGUAACGAUUUCAGUGCAUCACAUUCUCUAAUCUGAAUUAUCUUCAACUUGGAAGGCAGACCAACCUCAGGAAAGGAAACAAGGGAACUGCAGUUGUAGAUUUCUAUAUCUCUCAAGGAACUGAGGCUGAACGAUGAUUGUGGCAGCUUCACAAGGCCUUCGCAAUAACUCAAUCUUAGAUAUUCAAGUCUGCAUGACAACUCGCAGAGCUGCUGUUGUUGGUCUUUCUCUUCCUCCGCGACCAAGGAUUGAAGUUUGGGACAACUUGUAAUCGUCAGUCUUUUGAGAGAGCAAAUGUCCUGCAGUAAUUCGUUAUGGCUCUUCCAUAUACAUGUUUCAUUUUGAAUAUUAUUUAUCUUCAAUUCUUCCAGUUUUGGUAUUCGCGACUUCAAUGGCCCUGCGAGAAACACUUGAUUUGAUGUAUCUCUACAAACCACUGAAUUCUGUGAGCCGAGAAGAUCAGUUGCACUUCUCCAAACAACCUUUUUACAUCCACCAAUAUGCAAGUUGCAAAGAGCUGGAAGACUCGUAACUGAAACUGACAAUUCUUCACAUCCUUCAAUUACAAGCAUCUCCAAUGCAGCAAGGUGCUCUGGAAAUGUUCCUUGCAGUUUAGAACACCUUAUAAUGCGAAGCUCUCUCAAUUUAGGAAACCCUUCAACUCCCUGACCAGAUCUAAGAGGAAUCCAGUCUUCCCAUUCUCGCAUGUUUUCAAAAUGAAGAGUCUCCAAGCAUGGAAAAUGAAUCGGAGAAUCAUUCCCAUAGAACUCUGAACCCAAACUCUUUACUCUACUCAUUCCACGUACUUCAAGAUGCUUUAGAGAGGGUAGUUGCCCGACUGACGGCAGGGUAGUACACACGCCGCAAUCUUCAAAUUUUAAGGUCGCUAAAUUUGAGAAUGAGGAAUCUCCCAACCAAGUUGGAAAUUCUUUACCUCCAUAGCCACUGACACAAAAUUGUUCCAGAUUUUCAUGAGGUUUUAGCAUGUCGAGCACAUCCUUUUCAGUUUCUGCCUCCCUCGAAGACAAACCAUUGGUACUCAGUGUCCAUCGAAACAUUAACACUUUAAGAUUCUUCUUUCCAUCCAAUUGAGCCUCCUUCGCAUCACCAAUGUCUUUAACGUUCUCCAAUUUUGAAAUGUUAAGUGUCCCACGAAGAUGCGUCAACAAUUUUAGCUCUCGUAUCCCGGAACCACUGUCUUUUCCCACAACAAAAUUACACAGAGUCUGAAGGCAAGUCAACUUACCAAUUCCUAGUGGCAUCUCCUCCAACGAAUCUGUAUUUGAAUUAUUGAGAUGAUGCAAUUUGAUGAGAUUUCCCAUGUCUGCACACAACUUCUUCAGUCGCCGACAGCCCUCCAACAGAAGCGUGUGCAAAUUGUAAAGCGUGUUGACUGAUUCGGGCAGAGUUAUAAUGCCAGUUCCCGAUAAGUUAAGGUACCUUAAAUACCUCAAAUCACCGAUUGUAUCUGGCAGCUCGGAGACGUAAUAUCGAUGCAAAGAGAAGACCCUCAACCGUUGGAGUUUGAACAACUUAGGAAGAAUGCUACGAGCCAAGUAUCCAGACAGAAAGCCAUUUGACAGCCUUACUGGUAAAAAGGUUCGCAAAUGUUGGAUAUCGUACAAGUCCUCAAACCUUUUAACGCCAUCAUAUUCUCCAAAAAUGUACGAUAGAUGACGAAGAUUUUUGGAAAAACUUUGUUGCUUGUUAACUUCCGAGGUAUACUCCAUUGUGAAGUAUAUUUCCCCCGCAGCCCAUUGAGCAAGGUCGCUGAUAAGAUCGUGCAUCACAAAUCGUGAUGCAUCGUUGCUUGAUUGCUGGAAAAAAGAUCUUGAGUGCAGCUCCUUAAAGAUCUUACGACCGAAAUCGUCACAGGAAUUCCCACUCCCUUUGUGAUCCAAGAAACCCGAAGCACACCAUAAUAAAAUUAUCUCCUCCUCUUCAAAUUCAUAAUCCUUUGGAAACAAUGAGCAGUAUGCAAAGCAUUGUUUCAAAGGUGCCGAAAGAUAAUAGUAGCUCACUGCAAGGGCUGGUAUAAUGCCACAUCUCUCUUCUGGUAAUUCCCAUAUCUUGCUAUUGAGCACAUCUUCCCACUCACUUCUGUCAUGAUUCCCACGCAAAAGUCCUCCAAGUGUUUGGGCUGCCAAGGGCAAGCCAUCGCAUUUGGUCACUAUCUUCUUGCCGAUUUCCUCCAGUGACUUAUGUGAACUGAAAUCUCUCGUCCCCAAUGAAUGUUGAACGAAUACAGCUAGACAAUCAUUAUCUGACAACUUCUUUAAUUGAUAAGCCGGAACAGUACCCAUAAUUUUAGCAACCUCUUGAUUGCGAGUAGUGACAAUAAUUUUACUUCCCGGUGCGCCAACUUCAAAGGGACGUCUGAGUUUAUCCCAAUCAUCGUAAUUCCGGUUCCACACGUCAUCUAAAACAAGCAAAAAUUUCUUUCCAGAUAGUUGCUUAUUCAGUUUCUCUUGAAGUGAAUUCAAUUUGAGAUUAUCUACGUUCUGGUCAGCAACAAUGGAUGUUAAGAUUGUUUUUGUGAGCCUGAUAACGUCGAAAUCAUCAGAGACACAAGUCCAUGCCUUGAGAUCAAAAUGAUCCAGCACUUGCUUAUCAUUGUAGACAAGCUGAGCAAGAGUGGUUUUGCCCAGCCCGCCCAUACCUAUGAUAGGAAUUACAGAGAAUUCACCAUCGUUGCUUAAAUCAUCCCUCAACAGCAGUUCUACAACAUCCUUCUUUUCUGUUUCUCUGCCAUAUACUUUGGCUUCCUUCACCAAAGAAGUUGUCUCUCGCCUUUGCCUGUCUUUUAUGGUCCUCCCACCUGAACUUACGUUCAAACCCAGCGAAUCCUUCUGAGUUACAAUUUCUUGAAAUCUGCCGUCGAUCUCUUUGAUUUUGGACAUUAUGGCGUAAUCGAACUGAAUCGAUUGUGGAGCAAAAGUGGUGCAGCAAGUGGGAAUGAGCUUCCGAAACUUACUUGUUCUUGUACGACUGCUACUGGGUUGAUCAAGAGCAGCAGCAGGUUCUCCAUUUCCAAGCAGCAACUUCCUCCGGAAAACCUCAGUUUGAAACUCAUCCAACAGGUCCUCAACAUCAUAAGCCAAGUUCUGAAGCUUGCCAAGCCACUUCUUCACAAACCGAUUAGUCGUCUUCUUCUCCUCAGCAUCAUCAAGCACCGCCUUGAUCAUCUCCAACAUAUUCUCCCACUUUAUUAGAUCGGCCUGGAUUUGCUCUUGGCGUGCAAACAACCGAAUCCCCUCUGAAGCUAACUUAUUGACCAGCAAAUCAACGGACGCCGUAAGGAUUGCCUCUCCGAUGAAUGACAUUUUUUUUUUUUUGUUUUGCAAAGAAAGAAACAGAAUUUUGAGUUUUGAAAAGCAAAAUGAGAAAAUUGAACGGGUCAAGCAAAAUGCGCGUAACAAGUCUUCCGCUUGUUGUUUAUUCCAAUAAAGUGAAAAUAAAAACAGAGCCCACCACCCAUUGAUAAUUUAGCAAUUCACCANNNNNNNNNNNNNNNNNNNNNNNNNNNNNNNNNNNNNNNNNNNNNNNNNNNNNNNNNNNNNNNNNNNNNNNNNNNNNNNNNNNNNNNNNNNNNNNNNNNNNNNNNNNNNNNNNNNNNNNNNNNNNNNNNNNNNNNNNNNNNNNNNNNNNNNNNNNNNNNNNNNNNNNNNNNNNNNNNNNNNNNNNNNNNNNNNNNNNNNNNNNNNNNNNNNNNNNNNNNNNNNNNNNNNNNNNNNNNNNNNNNNNNNNNNNNNNNNNNNNNNNNNNNNNNNNNNNNNNNNNNNNNNNNNNNNNNNNNNNNNNNNNNNNNNNNNNNNNNNNNNNNNNNNNNNNNNNNNNNNNNNNNNNNNNNNNNNNNNNNNNNNNNNNNNNNNNNNNNNNNNNNNNNNNNNNNNNNNNNNNNNNNNNNNNNNNNNNNNNNNNNNNNNNNNNNNNNNNNNNNNNNNNNNNNNNNNNNNNNNNNNNNNNNNNNNNNNNNNNNNNNNNNNNNNNNNNNNNNNNNNNNNNNNNNNNNNNNNNNNNNNNNNNNNNNNNNNNNNNNNNNNNNNNNNNNNNNNNNNNNNNNNNNNNNNNNNNNNNNNNNNNNNNNNNNNNNNNNNNNNNNNNNNNNNNNNNNNNNNNNNNNNNNNNNNNNNNNNNNNNNNNNNNNNNNNNNNNNNNNNNNNNNNNNNNNNNNNNNNNNNNNNNNNNNNNNNNNNNNNNNNNNNNNNNNNNNNNNNNNNNNNNNNNNNNNNNNNNNNNNNNNNNNNNNNNNNNNNNNNNNNNNNNNNNNNNNNNNNNNNNNNNNNNNNNNNNNNNNNNNNNNNNNNNNNNNNNNNNNNNNNNNNNNNNNNNNNNNNNNNNNNNNNNNNNNNNNNNNNNNNNNNNNNNNNNNNNNNNNNNNNNNNNNNNNNNNNNNNNNNNNNNNNNNNNNNNNNNNNNNNNNNNNNNNNNNNNNNNNNNNNNNNNNNNNNNNNNNNNNNNNNNNNNNNNNNNNNNNNNNNNNNNNNNNNNNNNNNNNNNNNNNNNNNNNNNNNNNNNNNNNNNNNNNNNNNNNNNNNNNNNNNNNNNNNNNNNNNNNNNNNNNNNNNNNNNNNNNNNNNNNNNNNNNNNNNNNNNNNNNNNNNNNNNNNNNNNNNNNNNNNNNNNNNNNNNNNNNNNNNNNNNNNNNNNNNNNNNNNNNNNNNNNNNNNNNNNNNNNNNNNNNNNNNNNNNNNNNNNNNNNNNNNNNNNNNNNNNNNNNNNNNNNNNNNNNNNNNNNNNNNNNNNNNNNNNNNNNNNNNNNNNNNNNNNNNNNNNNNNNNNNNNNNNNNNNNNNNNNNNNNNNNNNNNNNNNNNNNNNNNNNNNNNNNNNNNNNNNNNNNNNNNNNNNNNNNNNNNNNNNNNNNNNNNNNNNNNNNNNNNNNNNNNNNNNNNNNNNNNNNNNNNNNNNNNNNNNNNNNNNNNNNNNNNNNNNNNNNNNNNNNNNNNNNNNNNNNNNNNNNNNNNNNNNNNNNNNNNNNNNNNNNNNNNNNNNNNNNNNNNNNNNNNNNNNNNNNNNNNNNNNNNNNNNNNNNNNNNNNNNNNNNNNNNNNNNNNNNNNNNNNNNNNNNNNNNNNNNNNNNNNNNNNNNNNNNNNNNNNNNNNNNNNNNNNNNNNNNNNNNNNNNNNNNNNNNNNNNNNNNNNNNNNNNNNNNNNNNNNNNNNNNNNNNNNNNNNNNNNNNNNNNNNNNNNNNNNNNNNNNNNNNNNNNNNNNNNNNNNNNNNNNNNNNNNNNNNNNNNNNNNNNNNNNNNNNNNNNNNNNNNNNNNNNNNNNNNNNNNNNNNNNNNNNNNNNNNNNNNNNNNNNNNNNNNNNNNNNNNNNNNNNNNNNNNNNNNNNNNNNNNNNNNNNNNNNNNNNNNNNNNNNNNNNNNNNNNNNNNNNNNNNNNNNNNNNNNNNNNNNNNNNNNNNNNNNNNNNNNNNNNNNNNNNNNNNNNNNNNNNNNNNNNNNNNNNNNNNNNNNNNNNNNNNNNNNNNNNNNNNNNNNNNNNNNNNNNNNNNNNNNNNNNNNNNNNNNNNNNNNNNNNNNNNNNNNNNNNNNNNNNNNNNNNNNNNNNNNNNNNNNNNNNNNNNAUUUGGGUGGUCAUUUUUUUAUAAUAUUCCUUCAUUCAUGGUCAUUAGAUCAAACAAUUCAAUCCCUACUAUAGCUAAUUAACUUAUUGACCAGCAACUUAAAGGAUGCCAUAAGGAUUGCCUCUCCGAUGAUUGACAUUUUUUUUCUCCGUUUUUUGUUUUUUUUUUUUUGGGUGGGGGUGGGGAAAAAGAAACCGAAUUAUGAAUUUAUGGAAAUUAAAGCAAAUAAGAAAGUGAAUUACAGCCGAAUGAGUUUGUGAUUGUGAUAGGUCGGGCAAGUCUAGAAAUCAAUUAGGCAAAACCCACCACGAAAGUUAAAAAGGAAAAAUAGCGCCCACCACAAAUAUAGAAUUGGAGGAGCUCACGACCAUGCCUUUGCUUUACAUAUUAAAUUAAAUAAAAGCCAAACCAAGAACCUUGCCUUUGCUUAACAUGAUUAAUUAGGCACUACUUCAGAAAGAAUCACGAAAGAAAUGAACCCUUUUAUUAAUCUUUAGUGUCAGGAAUAAAGCUACAUUUUCUCCUCUUACCAUCUGUUCACGUUCAUUUCAAAAGUUUGAAGAGAGUUUAUCCAUUCUUCUAAACUAAAAAAAUCAACAUUCUUGCUUUCUUCAAAUGUUGAAUAAAGAAAAAUAAGGAAAAAAUUAGAAUGUAUCUACCUUCACUAACCUAAAAUAAAAAAAAUUUAAUCUCUCUUUUAUUACUCAAGUACACUAUUUUUUUAAUAAUUGUAUUGACAAUGACAAUAUAUAUCAUCGAUUAUAUUCUUGUUGUGUUGAAAUAAGAUAUAAAAAAUUUUGGAUCAAGAGGAAUCGAUCGACUCAUUAGUUAAAGGUAUAUAUUUAAUAUACUAAAAACAAAAAUUAACAUAACACGAUUAUUACACUAAAGUGAAAUGAAAGCCAGUACCCACCAGUUCACCAACAGUAAUUUAGCAAACUUUGCAUUCUCGAGUUUGAGGAAAUGGACAUUGGUAAAUUAACCAAAGGACCAAUGAAAGAAUUUUAAAUAACAAAAUGGAGACUACACAUGUUUUUUCUUUUUUUCCAUAUAAUUGUUCAGGAAAUGGAACUAAUUUUGAGACAUUUUCAAAUAAACUUAUUUUCAAAAGCAAUACAAAAGGAUUUCGUUUUAUUUUGAAACAUUUCAUGGAAUCAAUUCACAGUAAAAUAAAUAGAAAAGUGGUAAUUCUCUCAUUUUAUUAUUUUCUUUUUUAAAAGGAGAUGAUGGGGUUGGGUUGUUCACCAAAUUAUUGGUGCGGGGUCUAUUUGUUUUUGUUUUAACUUUAUUAAUUAAUUGGCGAAGCAAACAUGUAAUGAUUUGUAAAAAGAUCACUAGCAUCAGAUUACUGGGAGGUAUUAUGGAGAAGUCACGCUUAGUAUUUACAAUUCAUGUAAGAUGAAUUUGUAAGACUUAUUAAUUUCGAUGAAAAUGUAGAUUUAUUAAGUUACUAACUCAUUAAGUUAACUUGAGAUAUUAAUAUUUAUUAAUUGUGGAGAUUAAUUUAUUUAACUUGUCAUGAUUUUCAAUUAAAAAUGAAGUUCAGUCAAUUUAUGGAAAGAACGAUAAUUUUUUUUUUUCAGAUUUUUAAUUCCUAGGAUUUGAUUUUACUUUGUUUCGAUUGUCGAUGUUGCUGAAGAGGCAGUGAAAGUUUGUUGAAUGCCAUCAAAUGCUUGGAUCUUAUCUCACAAAAUGUCAAUAUCGGUUUGUUUCCCCAUAGGCGCAACCAUCACAAAUUGAAAGUAACAACAUGAUGAACAUAUAACAUAUACAUAUUUUACCAUUAAUUAUAUAAUUGCUAGUUAUUUUUAUUUGUUAUUUUUAAUUAAUUAAAAUAUUUUACUGAAUAGGAAAUUAAUUGGAGAUUAUGGAUAAAAAGGGCCUGAAGAAGUUUAAUUUGGGAAACAAUAAAAAUUAAAUUGAAAGACAAAAAUAUAGAUAAGGAUUAAUGGAAUCCGAGCCGAAAAAAUCAAAGCACAAGGAUUUUCUUAAUGUCAUUAUUUAGGCAAGUGUUUUGAUGCAGUAGAAGUUUAUAGUUUCAAUAUUCCAUUGAUUUUUAGAAAAUACCUGAAUAAAUGGACAAACUAAAUUCACGUUGAUUCAAAAGAAUGGUGCGAAUUUAGGGGUUAAGACUCGUUGAUUCCGUAAAAUACCGAGAAUUAUCUAACUCAAAUACUCACCUAGAGUUUUGAAAAUUAAAAUAUUAUUGAACUCAAAAUCUUUGCUUGUAAAAUCUUUAAUAAUUUACAUAAUUAUAUAAAGUGUGUAUAAACUAAUGUGACAUAAAGAGAUUGGUUGUAUUAAACUAUCAUGAACCCACAUAAUUGAAAAAAAUAAUUGUUAUUACUUUUUAGUUAAUUUUUUCAUGUCACAUUAGUUUGUGCAUAUUAGUUUGUACAAAACUGUUUGUAUCUCUAUUAUUAUUGUUAUAUUAAUUCUUCAAUUUUCUCAAAAAUAUGAAUAUGGGCAAGGUAUUCAUUCCUAUUUCAUCAUAAAUAAAUAAAUAAAUUUCAUUGUUUAUCUUAUCAACCAUUUGAGAGUACGGAGGUUGGUUAAUUCCAUUCGUAUGAAUUAUCUACAGGUAAAUCUUGCGUUUACUUUUUGGAUUGGAGUGGGAAUCCUGAGGAGUGGGAAUCCUUGGAUUAGGAGUGUGGAGUGAGAGUGAGAGUAGGGUGUUUACUUAGACUAAAUGAAAGUAUGGAUUGUCAAUCAGAAUCUCAAUUAUUUGUUUAUUUUGUCUUGGAUUGGGAGUAAAUUAUUUUAAAUUACAAUUUUAUCCUUAUGUAAAGAAUUAUAAUUUGUAAUUAAAAAAUUAAUAAAAAAUAUAUUUGGAAAAUAAAAUAAAUUUUUAUUAUAUUUAUAAAUUAAUAAUAUUCUUAAUUAUGUAAAUCAUAAUUUUUUAUUAAUUUUAAUUUAAAUUAUGUUAAUAAAAAUUAUUAAUAAUAGCAACACAAAUGAAAUAUUAUUAUUGAUAAUAUAGUAUAAAAUUAAUAUUUUUUAGAAUAAAAUAUUUUAUUAUUAUUAAUUAAUUAAAUAAUAUUUAUUAAAAUUAAUGUUUAAUAUUAUUAAUUUAAAUAUAAUAUUUAUUUAUUUUUAUUUUAUUAAAUUUAAUAAAAUAAAUAUGUUAUAAUUAUUAUUUUUAAUAAAUAUGAUAUUAUUUAUUUUAUUAAAUAUAAUAUUAUUUAUUUUAUUAAAUAUAAUAUUAUUUAUUUUAUUAAAUAUAAUAUUAUUUAUUUUAUUAAAUAUAAUAUUAUUUAUUUUAUUAAAUAUAAUAUUAUUUAUUUUAUUAAAUAUUAUUUAUUUAUUUUAUUAAAUUUUAUUUAUUUAUUUUUAUUAGGAAGGUAAAAAGGGAAGAGGGGGGAGUGGAUUCCCACUCCCACCUCCCCCCAUGGGAGUGGGAAUCCCACUCCCCACUCUAAAAUUAAGUGGGAUCCAUGGAGUGGGAAUCUCACUCCCCCUAUUUUAAGGUAAGUAAACACUGGAGUGGGAGGAAUCCACACUCCACACUCCCAAUUUAGAAAGUAAACACUACCUAAAGGUAUUUACAGUCAGGAUUUUUUUUUCCAUGUAACCUCAAAUGCACUAUGCAAUAAAAUAUAAAUAUAAAUAAAGCAAGCAGUUACUAAGUCUUUAGGUUGUUAGGCAGAUGCUAAGGCCUUGUCCUGAAUAAGCCCAGCAAUUCAAACUUAAGAUUACACUAUAAAAAGGGGGCGCAAAGGCAAAGAAAGUGGCACGGCAAGUGCAGCGAAGGAAGCAAAGGAGAGCAUGUCACACUGAGAUUACAUGUCUGAUAUUUGGCUCCGCUUCUUCCCUUUAAACACCUCGAAAUAAGCAUCAAGGAAGUGGUCUUGUCAUCAUCUUCUUCCAGUACAUCAAUGGAGAAACAACAUUCGAACACAUGGAAAUAAGAAAAAUCAUUAAAAUUGACUACUACUGUUGCAUAUUCAUAAUAUGACUGCUGGCUUUUCUUCUAUCUCAGUUUUUUUCAGAGCUCAACUAAGGGCAGUUUGAUGCUGUCAUUGGAUAGCAGUAGCUUGAAAAACUACAGUACUUUAGUGGUUAGUAAACACUUAUUGCUAUAAUUUGGAAUUUAGGUUCAUUUUAUCCGAUACUCGAAAUACGCUAAUGGGAAAAAUAGUCAAAACUCAGGUAAUUUUUUCAUUUCUCUUUUUAUGUUUCUAAACACAUCAAAACUCUCUCUUGAUGUUUAAAAAAAUUUAUUAACUUUUAACUUUUAUUUGUGUCCUUUCUUAUUUCAUCCAUGAUGUCGUAAAACCCACUGUUAAUCAAUAAAAAUUUCUGAAGAUAGAAUAAUGAAGGAUACAAAAAAAUUUACAAGCCUUUUGUAUAUGAUAGUUGACUAUGUGUAUCGGGACAAUGUUGUGAGCAUUAGAUUGGACAAGUUAUGAAUUUUUAUCAGUCUAGCUCAUACGCAAAAACUUUGAAAAACUUUGAAAAGAAUAAGUUAUCCAUAUAACACAAAAUCACCAUUUAUACUUAGCUCAUUUAUAUUUUUUAUGGAUAUGAAUGUAAAUUUCUGCCUUUGGAGAGUAAUAAUAAUCCAAUAUCGUCGACGUGGCCGUUGCAGUUGCCGAGUCGAUGCAAAAAGAGCAACGGCGAUUUGUUGAAGAGAAGCAACAGCAACUGAAUAAUAAUAUAACAGCAACAACAACGUUGAUUCUUCGAAAGAGAAAAGAGUCAAAUCCGGCAAAAAGGCCAAGGCAAAAGCAGCCACCGUGUCGGCGCACGAGGCUUUUUAUUCUAAAUUGAAAAAGAAAAAUUGGGUAAUUAACUUAACUUAUCAAGGAUAACAUUGUCAUAUCACAAAAAAUAUUUUAUUUUGAUGAAUAGUUACAGUUUGUAAAAUAAUUAAAUCAAUUAAGAAAAAUAAGGGCAUUUUCAUUGUAAAAUAACGUAAUUUUUUAGUGUUAGGAGUAAGUGUAGCGUUUUUAAAUUUAAAGAGGCAAGCUAGAGGAAGAUGGAGCUGUCAACUUUCAAGUAAUGUAUGCAUCAAGGUAAGUGACAGAGCUAAGGAGAAAUGGACAAGUACUAAUCAUCGUUAUAAAAAAUUAAACAGAGCAGCAUUUUGUCAGUUCUGGCCAUAUAUAUUUUUCAAGGAUUGGGACUGUUAGCACCGCUGUAAUUUUAUUUUCAAGCUCUUCUCUGUCAAAACCUAUUUUACUUUCCAAAAUAUCUUAUUCCAUUUUUUUAGUUUCUUUCUGAUUCAAGAUUUUUUUUUUAAAAAAAAAAAAUCUGUUUCUUCCAAACAACUCCAAUUACAAUUUUUUUUUAUAAAUUUUUGAAUUAUUAAAUCAUAUAUAGUUAACUAAAGAGAAUCAUAUAUACAAACUAAAUAGAAUUAAAAGUGGACUCAAAUGGCUAUUAUGUUAUUUUUUUCUAAAUUAAAAAAAAAAGUUUAGAAUCAGAGCCUCCUUGUAAGCCAUAAAAAAAAAGAAAAGAAAAGUUUAUAAUGCAAAAGUAUUUGUGAGAAAAAAAAAAAACACUUUGAUGUAGUUGCAUGAAUGUAAAGAGUUAGAUAGAGAAAUAGAGUGUAUAAUUAGAUUUAUUUUUUUCUUUAAAGUAAUCGCAAUAUAAGAGGGGUUAAGAAUUUCACAGGAGUGCCACUGAUUCAACUCUUUUUCAAGAGAAUUGAUGUUCUGGAAGAAAAUUAUGACUCUAUCAUUGCUAUUAGUUUGUCUUGUAAUUCAAUUAUUGCCGACAAGUAUUAACUGUGAUUAUUUUUAUUUUAAAAAUUAUUAUUAUUAAUGUAUUGCAAUUUUGAGCCUUAUAAUUGCAAUUAGUUUGUCUUGUAACUAAAUUAUUGCCGACAAACACUAUCAUGCUGACAAACAAUGCAUGCACGUCCUCAGUCACCCACGUCCUCUACUUGUGUGAAUGUGUAUAUAAAUAUAUCUGGAGCAUAUUAUAAAACCAGAAGCAAAAGCAACUGAAGUUUUGAAUACGGUUCACCAGAAGUUAGAAGAUAUCUUUUCUAAUUUGAAGAAUAUGGAAACUCCUUAUCCAGGUUCUUAGGCCAUGUUCAGCUGAAUGUCACUUAUAAUUUUUAUUUUAAUAUAUGUAUUUAUGAAUACAAUUGUUGUUAUGAUUUUUUCAGGUAAGAACGAAUGGUCAGAGGGUAACCCAAUAACUAUGUACAGCAUUAUUAAUGAUGAGAGCGUGAAUGACAAUCUGGAUCUUAUUGUCGUCCCUCAAUACGGAAGAAAUCUCGAUCACACUGGUUAAGUGCUAUCCUACUCUUUCGUAUUAUGUUCAAUUAAAUAAAAUGAUGGGUUAUUAAUACCUGUCAAUUAUGUGAGUGUCUCUGUUUGGUUUAGUUCAACUUAUAAAAUCUCUUGAAAUAUACAAGAGAUUUUCUUUAUUUACGUUUGUGUACCGUGUCUUCUUGAAAAAAGAAAUUAAUAAAAAAUAUCAUUGUGUGAUCCUUUUCUUUCCCCUACUGCUGUAGCAUCAAAUCCUUAGAAUUAGAUAUCAAGUGGUAUUCGAGCCGUCAAAUGAUCCGUGGCAACACGCAACAAAUCAAAUGCUGAAUUUCGCGAAGAGAUUAACAAAAUCCUUGCUAGACACGAGUCUAGCUUUGACCAAGUUGACGCCACCCUUCAAACAAUCCUUACUGAACUUCAAUCCUUGCAUCUCCACUCUCCAAUGUACUUCCCCAGAGGGGAGACCAACCCAUUUGCUACAGCUCACAUCUCUUCACGAUACUGGUUAAAAGCAUGGGGGCAUUAGUCGAAGACGCUUCUUGGGAAAACCUUUAGCGAUUCUCAAAGACUUUGACAUUGUGGACAAAGUGGUUGCAAGGGGUGGGGAUUAAUAUGUCUCCAAACGACAAGCAGCCAUGCUCACUGAUUAUGUGUGCAAUAUUCCCGUAUUUCCCAUUAUUUCCUGUACUUUAUGCAUUAUUGUUUUGUAUGUCUUUUGGUGUUUGUGGUGUAGUUAGGGAUGGUAGCGGGUAGGGUCUGGUACGGGUUUGACAUCACCAAACCCGCAUCAACAAAAAACUUUAAUUACUAGAUUCGCUGUGGGUUAUAUUUAAUUUUAUUUUUUAAACAAAGCCCAUUCACUGUGGGUUUGAUUGGUGCCUAGUAGAUAUUUUGCGAGUUCCCACAUAUAAAAUCACACUAGCAACAAAAUCUAAAAAUUUAAAUUACGUAAUUCAAAUUAUAAAUUUAUAACUGUUGCCUAAAAAUACCACAUAAAAUACUUAAUUGUAGAUUUUAUCAAUGUAAAUGAGAAAUGAAAAUAUCAACAUUAAAAAAUACACAAAAUAUAUCAAUUUAACACGAAUUUUCAAAUUCAAUUACCAAAUAAAUAAGUUUAUCACAACUCGAAGUGCUUUCAAUUGAAAAAGAAAAAAGAGAAAGAGAAAAAAAUAAAGAACUACAAAUCAAAGUAGCACCCAUGACCUAUUUCAUAGGCUCAUUCAACACCAAGAUCUUAGAAUUAAGAUCUUCAAUUCAUCCGUUACCACUAGCACCCAUUCAACGUGGUUUUUCUAAACAAAAAAUAAAGUACAAAAUUACAAUAAGCAUAUGAUACUCCAUGCUUUAAGUUAAAGAUCCUUCUAUAAUUUUAUGAAUAAUUUUUUAGUGAAAUUUUAUGAUUAAAGUUAAAAAUACAAAUAUUAAAAUAAGAAUGUUGGACGCCUUCGCAACUAUUUGCCAAUUUUUUUUUCUAUAUAAAAAUUCACCUGCAACUUAUAGCAGGUUUAAAUUUAUAAUAUCAAACUUGAUUGUGGCUCGCAAAAUUUUUGGAUUUGCGAUAAUUUUGCCACCCUAAGUGUGGUUAGUGUGUUUCCAUUGGCUCUUUAUAAAAGCCUAGAAGUUGUUUGAAUAAUGAGGGAGACAAAUAUUUCCCAAAGAUAUUCUCUUUUUCAAAUUGUUUUCAAAUAUUUCCCAAAGAUAUUCUCUUUUUCAAAUUCUUUUCUUUUCUCUAUUAUUGUAACUUCAAAUCCUUGAAAUUACAUAUUUCAAAUCCUUGACAUGAGCACAAUGUUUUGACAUAGUGGCUUUUGGCUUGUCUAGAGAAAUUUAGGAUAGAUUUUGAUGUAUUAAGGCUCGUUUUACUAUUGAGAUUUUGGAACUUUUGAGCCACACUUGAAAUUUGUAUUGUUCUAAUAGAGUUGUACCCUUCGAUAUGUGAUUGGUAUUAAUCAGGUGAUAUGUUUACAGCAGUUAAAGGCAUAUUGAAUCAAAGUCCACUUUUGAUUGAGAUUUUAAAGUAUGUUUUUAAUUUGAUAGCCACUCAAGUUCAAAUAUUGGAACCACAGUGCUUUAUAACCAAGUGAGAGAAUUUGUGUCCUGAAGGUUGAGGGCUGCAAAUCGAGUUUUACUACCAACAAAAGUUGGUGUUAAGACUUUAGUUGCCCUCCUACUUAUGGAUAAGGAUAAUUAGGACUUUACAUCCCCUCCUACUAAUAGAUAGGGGUUAUUAGGAAUAUUAAAAAAAGGUUCAAAUAUUGAAAAAAUAGGUAUGGGUUAUAAAAUUCAUAAUACAAGAACAAGAAAUCAAGAUAAAAAUUUAAAAAUUAGAACCAUGAGAGCGUAACUUGUAAGUUUCAAAGAAUCAUGUGCAAACAUAUGCAUAUCGAUACCCAUUAGGGGUGGGCAUUAAGAUCGGGUUAACCCGAACCGAACCUCAAAUUUAUUUUGGGUUCAAUUUGAUUUUGGUUGAACCUUUCAACUGAGUUGAAAACUUAUAAACGACUGUGUUGUAUUUCUGUUCGAAUUUAACAACAAACUAAGCAACCUAAUCAACUUAAGUAAGCAAAUUUUAAAAAAAUCCCAAAAAAUUAAAUCUAACCCUAAUUAAAAAAAUUCAACCGCGGCCUCCUUCUCGUCUUCUUUUCUUCUUCUUCCUCUUGCUCACCCCUAAUGCCCCAUUAAUGGAAUUCCAACAGCUAGAAACGCGUUUCACCCGCUUGCGCGUGUGAGAAAUUUUCCCUCCCAUAGGAUUGUUCGUUUCCUUGGCUUGCAUCCCGGCAGGAUACUCAAGCCGGGCAUUUUUCGGGGCCUAGCCCACCUAUAAGUUUUACCAAAGCCCAAUCACAAGUUCAUAAUGUUUAGUGGUUACUAUUGCUAUAUAUAUAUAUUUUUUAAACCAAUUUUCACAUUUAUUAAUAUAGCCCAACAGAUUUUUCCAAAAAAUAAAAUUAAAUAAAAAUACAAGCCCACGAAAUUCCUUUUCCGAUUUUGGAAUCCACCUGCACCUUUCACUUGCUAGGCUUUAACCAAACAGACGAUGUUAUACAAACUUCUAUCCAAUAAGGCAAUGCAAACAAAAGCAAGUGAAUUAAAAAUAAAUAAUUUCUCAUUAAUUUGCAACAAGUAUUAAUAAAGUGCAUCAGAAAAUAUGCAUUUUUUAAAAUGAAAAUAAAUGUGUUAAUUAGUCAAUUUAAAUGGUACGAUGUUUUGAAAUGAUAGAAGCGAUCUGGAGUUUAAGGUGGCGUUUAUUUUUUUGUUUGAAAUCUGAAUAGAGCUGAAUUAGUCUGAAUUCUGAAUAGAUCUGAAUAUCUGAAUCUGAAUAAUAUGUUUAUUUUUUCGUCUGAAUCUCGAAAAAUAAGUAUUAAGUUAUUUUUUUUUCAACUUAAAAACAUGAAAAUAUGUACUUUUACAUUUGUAUCCUUAUUAAAUUUGAAUGUCAAAUAAAUAAUAUAUUAAAUACCACAAUAUUUUAAGAUUUAUAAGUAAAAUUGUAUUCAAGUGAAUACAUAAUUAUUUUAAAAUUUUAAUAUAUAAAAUACCAUAAAUUUCAAAUUUUAUUGUAUAUAAAUAAGAAAGAAAAAACAGAGAUAUUUUUAUGUGGGGUAAAUAUCUAUGGGUGAGUUUUGGGAUAGACACGAAAAAUAAAUUAUAAAGCAGGGAUAUUUUUGACAUUAGUAAAUAAUUGACUUAAUUCAGAUUUCUCCAUUAAGUAAAAAGCCAAAAAAAUUGGCUUAUUUUAUUAAGUCAAAAUUAUCUAAAAAGUCUCAUUAAGUUAUAAAAACAAACAUCUCUAAUUAACUUAAUCAAUUAAGUUAAAUUACUUUAAGUUAUUAAGUUAAAAAACAAAAGCUACCUAAAUCUUACUCUUGACGUAAUAUUUAAUAACGAAUUUGAAGAACAAUUAAAAAUUAAAAGAAAAGAAAAAGUGCUUUCUUUUUUAACGAUGAUAAUUUGUUCGGAUGAUGAAAAUUCUUAGAGUGGUAUAAUAAGUAUUUUCGAGUGUUGCCAUCGCGAAUAAUAUUUAAUUUCCUUUAUAUAGUUAUAUCUCAAGUAACAUUUAAAUAGAAGCAAGUUGGAAAUUAAAAAAAAAAAAAGAACCAUUGAGAGAAUGAAAAACUAACCAAAAAAAAAAGUUAAAAAUUUGUAUCUCAAUAAAUUUACUUGAGAGCUACUCUACUAAUCCGUGAAGAGAAAACACAAAGAAUAAUGAUGUAUCUCAAUUAAUAGGACAAUUUUUGUAUUUUUCUUUUAUUCAAGAAUCAUGAAACUUCAUUUAAACUUAUUAUUUCAUUGAUAAUAUAUUAAUAUUGAACAAUUUAGGAGACAUUCCUUUCCAAUUAUGCCCAUGUAUUAAUUAAAAACCACAAAUACGUUCAGGGAUACUAUAGUAAUUUAAAUCAACAAUUUCUGUGCUUGAAAUCAUCCGAUUAGACUCACGUCAGAAUAAACUGAGAUAUCAAAAUCACAUUCUCCAAUUCUACGAUUUCAAUUCAUCUUCAUAACUUCAACUGAAGAAUUGAUUGUAUAUCGUUUUAAUUUUUUUUAUAUAAAGAUAAAUAUAAAAUAUAAAUGACGAGGAGACUGGAAAAGUAAAAUAAAAAAAAGAGCACGAGUUUUAUUGAAAAUUACUCUUUUUCAUCAUUUUGCCGAAGUGAAUGUAUCUACAUUUAAACGAAAGAAGCACAUUUGUUUGUAUUAGCUUUUUUAUUGUAUUUUUAAUAAUAAGUCAUUUUUCAAUGAACUUAUAUCAUUUUUUACGAAAAUAAUAGGUGUUAGUUAGUUGAUUCAAAUGGCAAGACCUCUUGGGAUAGAGUUUGUAAUUUAGUGGCUUAUCAAUUGUUUAAAUAGGUAUUAUUAGAGCCAAAUUAUUGUAUUUGGUUAAAAAAGCUCCUACUUAGCUUACAACUUUAUUAUCCUAUUAUGUUUAUUAAUAAAUAACAAUUUUAUUGAAAAAAAACAGGAUCUGUUGAAAUGGUACAAAAAAUUUGGGAUCUAAAUCUCACUCGAAUUUAGCUUGAGGUUGGCAUUGUUAGCAUAAUAUUUGAAGAUAGAUUUUUUAAAAUUAAAAAAAAAAAAUUGGGUUCACACUAGUUAGUUUUAACUCAUAGUGAGAUUUAAAAAAAAGCGGAAUAAUAAAUCUUGAUAUCCUAAUUCAUGGAUAACAUCUACAUAAAAUAGUAAAAUUUAUUGUGUCGAAAAUAAGGGGUUUGAAGUUUAAUUUCGCUCACAUAGGUAGCAAGAGAAUCAAAUUAUUAUUAGAUUAAAUUAAUUAAAAAAAUUAUCUGAUAUCCAAAACACAGCAUAUCAAAAAAAUUGAAAUAAAAGAAAAUUGAAAAGCAAAACGAUUGAGAGAACGAAAAACUAACACAAGAAAAUGCCGAUAAUUAAUUGCCUCAGCGGGCACCAACUUAAUUAUGCUUAUUAAAGCAUGGGUUAUUUCAUUUUCAUUGAUAAUCAUUUUGACACCGGUCAAAUUUAAAAGUUUAAAUAAUGGGGGCCAUUUUUCUUUCCAGCUAUGCCCAUUAGCUAAUAAAAGAACCGCCGAAAGGGUUCGGGGAUAAUAUAGUAAUAUGAUUGAUAAUCAUUUUGGAGCUGAGAGUUCCACAUUUUGGGUUUUGGUUGACCAUAUUUUAAUACUUUUUCUGGAAAACAAAUAUAUAUUUAUUGACUUGUAAUGGGUGCAACUCAUGUUUUUGAAACAUUAAGAUCUUUACUUACUUACACUAAUGCGGCAACUGCUGCUUUGCUUUUUUUUUUUGUCCUUUUGCUUUUGACUUUUAUUUUUACUUUUUGACUUUUGCUUUUGGUUAAUAAUAAUAAUAAUAAUAAUAAUAAUAAUAAUAAUAAUAAUAAUAAUAAUAACUUUUUAAUUUAAUAUAAUAUUAAAUAAUUUAUUUUUAUUUUUAUUUGAAUAAUAUUAAUUUAAAAUUAAUAAUAAUAUAAAUAAUAAUAUAAAAUAUUAAUACAAUUUAAAUAUAUUAAUAUAAUAUAAUAUUUAAUUUAAAUUAAUCACAAAAAAUUAAUACAAUACAUUGUAGCAUCAAAUAUUAUACAAUAUUAUUAAAAUACAGUAGUGAUACAAUUUGAGGGAGAGUGUCAGCUUUUUCGAAUUAAAAAUAAUAUAUACCGCUUACUCUUUAUUAUUUUUAUAAUGUUCAACAAUCCCCUUGAGAUAAAAAAAAAAUUAAAUGAAAAGAAGGAGUAAAUAGAUGAUUUGCUUGAUGUUGUAUCUUAGAAAUAUAAAAUAUAUAUUUAUUAUUAAAAAUAUUUAAAAAUAAUAAAGAGUACAUAAAAAAAUAUCUUAUCCUCAACAACAAGAUCAGACGACGUCAAUCCAGCAAAAUGACUUGAACAAUUUGAAAGUCCAGCAACGGUCACCUCUUGGCACAUAUAUGGCAACGAGGUCUCCCAAAAGGACGAUUAAGGAAAGAUUGCAAGACAGAAUCAUGAGUGUUAGAAAUCACAUCCCUGUACUAAUUUCCAGAAAUAUGUUUGUUCCAUAUUUGCCGUACAUGUAUGUAUUCUAUAUAAUGGGAAUAGAAAGAGCGUGUAAAAAAUUCUUCAUUCAUCAAUUAAAACUUAACUUAUGUACGAGGGUUAAGUGUAGAGUUUUUAAAUUUGAAAGGGAUAAGUAUUAUAGUCCAUUUCAAUUUAGAUACAAGUACUUCGAACUUAUAUUUGAGGCAAAAAUCUGUAUACCAUAGUACAUAUUAUAUAUCCAGUCAUGGGAUCCAUGCAUGGUUCCAUGUAAUUCGCAGAGUUGAACUGGAGACACUGAUUAGUUGGUUGUCUACUUACCAACUUAUGUACUACUAAGUAAUUUUUUGUAUUAUGGUUCAAAAGCAUAUUAUCAAACCAGAAUCAGAAGCAACUUAAGUUUUGAUUACGGUUCACCAGAAGUCACAGCUAGCAAGUGAUCCUUGCAUCAUUUUACUAAACAUACAAUGAAUUUAACCCUUGUAAUUUCGGCCUUUGCCAUAGUCGUUUUGUUUAUUAGGUUUAUGUUUAUCAACAUGAUAUAUUGUCAACCAUAAUCACAAUCAAGUUGUUAAUUAUUUUUUAAAUAAUGUGAAGGUACAAGAUUUUGGUCUUUGAGUGUGGGGUUAAAAAUAUCUCACCUCAAUAUACGGUGUUGUGCUCUCAUCAUCUUAACAUUAUUUGUUAAAAAUUAUGUCAAAGAGGAAAGCAGAUUCAAACAUUACUUCAAUUUUCUUUAAGAGCAUAAAAAAAUCGUUAAUAGGCUACUGUUAUUUGUUAGUACGAUUUCACAAAAGGAAGCUGGAGGAAGCUUUCAAGUCAUGUGUUCAUCAAAGUAAGAAACAGAGCUAAUGGGAAAUUUUCAUAAGAGUGCCAAUAUUUCAACUCUUUUUCAAAUGAAGUGAUGUCCUGGAAUAAAGGACUUGACUAGCUUACAGAUUCUGUAAGCUACAGACUGCAGCAUCAGCCGUUGGAUGUGGUUGGACGUGGAGUGAGAAACUAAACAAUAGAAAAUCGGAUGGUGGGAUGACGGGAGAUGUUUGUUACAGAAUCUGUACCAUAGACAGGUCCUGGAAUAAAAUCACUACUCUAUCAUUGCUAUUAGUUUGUCUUGUAAUUCAAUCAUUGCCGACAAGUAUUAAUUGUGAAUAUUAUUAUUUUAAAAAUAUUAUUAUUAUUAUCGUCGUUAUUCUUAACAGCAAUGACUAGAAUUAUAAUAAUAACAAUAACAUUAAUACAAUAAUAUUACAACAUAAUAAUAUUUUAAUUGAGAGGAUAAGAAUGAAAUUAUGAAAUUUAGGUUGGGUAAAAAUGGUGAGUAUGAGGAAAUUAAUUUACCAUUUUUUAAGCUAAACAAUUUAUAAAUUCCACAUAUUUCAUUUUUAUUUCUCUUAUAUUUUAACAAAUAAACAUUAUCAAUUGUUUUAAUAUUUUAAUUAAUAAACACGGCAUUAACUACGGAACUAAAAGAUCCCCCCCCAAAAAAAAAAACAGAGACGCGUGUAUGUAUUGCUUGUGACAAAUCUCACCCAUGGAAAACUUUGUGAAAGGCAUUUGAAUGUGUGGCCACAUUUAAUGAACGAAACGUUAACUUUAAAAGAAAGUAUGUACUGUGUUCAUUAUUAGGCUUUAGCCUGAUGAUUGCAAUUAGUUUGUCUUUUAAUUAAAUUAUUGCCGACAAACACUAUCACGACCCACGUCCGCUACUUGUGUGAAUGUGUGUAUAAAUAUCCGCAGCAUAUUAUCAAACCUGAAGCGCGAUCAUCUUUAAAUUUUGGUUAGGGUUCAUCAGACGUUGGAAGAUAUCUUUUCUAAUUUGAAGAAGAUGGAAACUCCUUAUGCAGGUUCUUAGGCCAUGUUCAGUUGAAUGUCAUUUAUAAUUUUUAUUUUAAUAUUAUGUAUUUAUGAAUAUAAUUAUUGUUAUGAUUUUUUCAAGUAAGAACGGAUGGUCUGAGGGUAAUUCAAUAACUAUGUACAGUAUUAUUAAUGAUGAGAGCGUGAAUGACAAUUUGGAUUUUAUUCUCGUCUCUAAAUACGGAAAAAAUCUCGACUAUAGUGGUUAAGUGCUAUGUAACUCUUUCGUAUUAUAUUUAAUUAAAUAAAAUGAUUUGUUAUUAUUACUUGUCAAUUAUGUGAGUGUCUCUGCUUGAUUUAAUUCAACUUAUAAAAUCUCUUGAGAUAUAUAAGAGAUUUUCUUUAUUCACUUUCAUGUACAUCAUCUUCUUGUAAAAAGAAAUUAAUAAAAAAAAUAUCAUUGUGUGCAAAGUAUUGACUAAGUUAGUGUAUUCAUGUUAGCUUAAUUGUGCUCUCUCUUCUUAAUUUUUUUGUUUUUUUUGGUUAAAACAAACUCCACAUAUUGUUGGUUAGCUAAUUCUUGCAGCUAGCAAGUGAUCAUUUUCUUUCCCCUACUGCAGUAGCAUCAAAUCCUUACAAUUACAUAUCAAGUGGUAUUCGAGCCGUCAAAUGAUCCAUGGAAACACACAACAAAUCAAAUGCUGAAUUUUGCGAAGAUAUUCACGAAAUCCUUGCUAUACAUGAGUCUAGUUUAUUUCAAACUACGCGUGCAAUGUUCCCGUUAUUGUUUAGUAUGUCUUUUGUUGUUUGCAAUGUAGUUAGGGAUGCUAGCGGGUAGGAUUUGGUACGGGUUUGACAUUACCAAAAGCCGCAUCUGUAAAAAAAUUUUAAUUAUCAAAUUCAUUGUGGGUUUUAUUUAUUCGUUUUUUUUCUUUUAACAAAGCCCAUCAGCUGUGGGUUUAAAUGGUACCUGAUGGAUAUUUUGUGAGUUCCUACAUAUAAAAUCACACUUGCAACAAAACCUAAAAACUUAAAUUACGCAAUUCAAAAUAUAAAUUUAUAAUCAUAGUCUAAAAAACCACAUAAAAUACUUAAUUCUAGAUUUUAUUAAUGUAAAUGAGAAAUGAAAAUUUUAAUAUUAAAAUAAAUACACAAAAUAUAUCAAUUUAACACAAAUUUUCAAAGUUAAUUAUCAAAUACAGAAGUCUAUCGCAACUCAAAGUGCUUUCAAUUGAAAACGAAAAAAGAGAAAGAGAAAAAAAACAAAGAACUACAAAUCAAAGUAGCACCCAUGACCCAUUUUGCAGUCUCAUUCAAUACCACUAGCACCCAUCCAACACGAUUUUUCUAAAGAAAGUAUAAAGUACAAAAUUACAAUAAGCAUAUCAUACUCCAUGCUUUAAGUUAAAGAUCCUUAUAUAUUUUUAUGAAUAAUUUUUUAAUGACAUUUUAUGAUUAAAAUUAAAAAUACAAACAUUCAAAUAAGAAUGUCGGACACUUGCGCAACUAUUUACCAAAUUUUUUCUCUAUAAAAAUCGACCUGCAACUUUCAAUAGGUAUAAAUUUAUAAUAUCAAACUUGAUUGCAGAUCGCAAAAAUUAUCCGUUGCGGCCAAGACUUUGGAUUUGCGAUGAUUUUACCACCCUAAGUGUAGUUAGUAUUGUAUAUCAUGUGGCUCUUAUAAAAAGCCUAGAAGAUGUUUGAAUAACGGGGGAGACACAUAUCUCCCAAAGAUUUUCUCUUUUUCAAAUUAUUAUUUUUUCUCUAUUAUUGUAACUUCGAAUCCUUAUAAAUUACAGAUUGGAGACAUGAACACAAUGUUUUGACAUAGUGGACUUUUGGCUUGUCCAGAGAAAUUUAGGAUAGAUUUUUACGCACUAAGGCUUUAUUUACUAUUGAGGUUUUAGAACUUUUAAGCCACACUAGAAAUUUGUAUUGUUUUGAUAGAGUUGUAGUCUUUGAUAUGUGAUUGGUAGUAAUCAAGUGUUAUGUUUACAAUAGUUAAAGGCAUAUUGAAUCAAAAUCCACUUCUAAGGGCUUGAUUGAGUGAUUGUAAAGCAGGUUUUUAGUUUGCUAGCCACUCAAGUUCAAAUAUUGGAACCACAUAGCUUUAUAGCCAAGUGAGAGAACUUGUGCCCUAAAAAUUGAGGGGUGCAUAUCGAGUUUUACCACCAAUAAAAAUUGGUGUUAAAACUUUAAUUUCCGUCCUAUCAAUGGAUAGGGGUAAUUAGGAGUUUACAUCCCCUCCUAUUUAUAGACAGGGGCUAUUAGGAAUAUUAAAAAAAAGUUCAAAUAUUGAAAAUAUAGGUAUGUUUUAUAAAAUUCAUAAUAUAAAGACACAAAAUCAAGAUAAAUAUUUAAAAAUUUAGAACCAUGAGAGCAUGACUUGUAAGUUUCAAAGAAGUAUGUGCAAAUAUAUGCAUUAUCGAUGCCCAAUUAAGGAUAAGCAUUGAGAUCGGGUUAACCCGAACCGAACCGAACUUAAAAUUGAUUUUGGAUUCAAUUUCGUUAUGGUUGAAGCUUUCAACUGAGUUCAAAACUUAAAAAUGAUUGGGUUGUAUUUCUGUUUGAAUUUAACCCCAAAAGACUAAUCAAUCCAAUCGAGUUAAGUAAGCAAAUUAAGACAAAAUAUCCCAAAAAAUUAAAACUAACCCUAACUAAAAUAUUCGACCGCGGCCUCCUCGUUUUCUUUUCUUCUUCCUCCCCUCGCUCACCCCUAAUGCCCUUCAUGGAAAUCCAACAGCGCCAAACGCGUUUCGGCCGCUCGCACGUGUGAGAAAUUUUCCUUCUCGUAGGAUUAUUCGUUUCCUUCGCUUGCAUGCCAGCAGAAUAUUCAGGCCGAGGAUUUUUCCGGGCCUAGCCCAACUAUAAGCUCGCCCGAAACCCAAUCAUAAGUUCAUAACGUUUAGCGUUUGCUAUUACUAUAAUUUUUUUUAACCAAUUUUCACAUUCAUCAACAUAGGCUGACAUAUUUUGUAGAAAAAAAAUUAAAUAAAAAUACAAGCUCACGAAAUUCCUUUUCCGAUGUGGGAAUCUAUCUACACCUUUCACGUGCUUUUUUUUUUGGUGGUGGGGGAUUCACUUGCUUUUGUUUGCAUUGCCUUAUUGGAUAAAAGUUUGUAGAACAUCGUCUGUUUGGUUAAAGCCGAGCAUGAGUGAAGAAGCGAUCUAAAGUUUAAAUCUUACUCACACUUAAUUUAGGGUUGGGGAUUAAUUGACGUAAUAUGUAUUAACGAAUUCGAAAGACAAUUAAAAAUUAAAAGAAAAUAAAAAAGUGCUUUAUUUUUUAUGAUGGUAAUUUGUUUAGAUGAUGAAAACUCUUAGAGUGGUAUUAUCAAUACAUAGUUUUGAGCGUUGCCAACGUGAAUAAUAUUUAAUUUCCUUUAUAUAGUUAUAUCUCAACUAACAUUUAAACAGAAGUAAGUUGUAAAAAAAAUGAACCAUUGAGAUUUGAGAGAACGAAAAACUAAAAAAAAAAAGUUAAAAAAUUAGAUCUCAAUAAAUUUACUUGAGAGCUACUUUACUGAUUAGUGAAGAGAAAACACAAAGAAUAAUGAUGUAUCUCAAUUAAUAGGACAGUUUUUGUAUUUUUCGUUUAUUCAAGAAUCACGAAACUUCAUUUAAACUUGUUAUGUCAUUGAUAAUAUAUUAAUAUUGAACAAUUAAUGUAGGAGACAUUCCUUUCCAAUUAUGCCCAUAUAUUAAUUAAAGACCACCAAAAAGUUCAGGAAUACUAUAGUAAUUUAAGUCAACAAUUUAUGUGCUUGAAAUCAGCAGAUCAAACUCACUUUAGAAUAAACUGAGAAAUCAAUAUCAUAUUCUCUGAUUCUACGAUUUCAAUUCAUCUUAUUCUUCAACUGAAAACUUGGUUGUAUUUCGUUUUAUUUUAUUUUUAUUUUUAUAUAAAGAUAAAUAUAAAAUAUAAAUGACGAGGAGACUAUAAAAGUAAAAUUAAAAGAAGAGCACGAGUUUUAUUAAACAUGACUCUUUUCAUCAUUUUGCCAAAGUGAAUGUAUCUACAUAUAAACUAAAGAAACACAUUUGUUUGUAUUGGCUUUUUUAUUAUAUUUUUAAUAAUAAGUCAUUUGUCAAUGAACUUAUAUCAAUUUUUACGAAAAUAAUAGGUGUUAGUUAGAUUAUUCAAAUGGCAAAACCUCUUGGGAUAGAGCUUGUAAUUUAGUGGCUCAUGAAUUGUCUAAAUUGACACUACCGAAUUAUUGUAUUUGGUUAAAAAAGCUCCUACUCUGCUUCAACUUUAUUAUCCUAUGAUGUUUAUUAAUAAAUAACAAUUUUAUUGAAAAAAAAGACCUCUUGAAAUGAUACAAAAGAUUUGGGAUAUGAAUCUCACUCGAAUUUAGCUUGAGGUUGGCAUUGUUACCAAAAUAUUUGAAGAUAGAAUUUUUUUUAAUUAAAAAUCAAAAGAUUUUUUUUUUGGGGUUCAUACUAGUUAGUUUUAACUCAUAGUGAGAUUUAAACAAAAACGGAAUAAUAAAUCUUGAUAUCCUGACUCAUGGAUAACGUAUAGAUAAGAUAGUAAAAUUUAUUGUGUCGAAAAUAAGAGGUUUGAAGUUUGAAUUUCGCUCACAUAGGUAGUAAGAGAAUCAAAUUAUUGAUAGAUUAAAUUAAUUAAAAAAAUUUCUGAUACCCAAAACAACAUAUCAACAAAAUUGAAAUAAAAGAAAAUUGAAGAGAAAAACCAUUGAGAGAACGAAAAAUUAACACAAAAAAAUUUCUAUAACUAAUUGUAUCAGUGUGCGCCAACUUCACUUAUUAAAACAUGGUUAUUUCAUUUUAAUGGAUAAUCAUUUUGACACCGGUCAAAUUUAAAAGUGUUAAAAAAUAUGGGCGAUUUUUCUUUCCACCUAUGCCCAUUAACUAAUAAAAGAACCGCCGGAAGGGUUCGGGGAUAAUAUAGUAAUUUAAACUAACAGUUUCUGUGCUUCAAAUCAUCAAAUCAAACUCACACCUCACAAAAGCAGAGAAAUCAAAUGGUUUCCGACUCUACGCUUUAAAUUCAGCUUCAUUUCUUCAACUGAAGAAUCGGUCGUCUCUCAUUUUUUAUUUAUUAUAUAAAGAUAAAUAUCUAAAUUUAAAUGGCGAGAAGAGCGGACGAGGAAUACGAUUACUUGUUCAAAGUGGUAUUAAUCGGCGAUUCGGGAGUCGGCAAAUCGAACUUACUCUCCCGAUUUACUCGUAACGAGUUCUGUUUGGAGUCCAAAUCCACUAUUGGCGUCGAAUUCGCCACCCGCACUCUUCAAGUAACUAACUUUUCCUCUUUCACUUCUCUUCAUUUUUAUUAGUUAAUUAAGAUCCAGUUAAUGUAAUUAAUUUUAUUUAAUCUUUCAAAUAAAGUUCUAGAUUAGGUUAACUUAGAUUCAUGUGAAGUUGAAGUGAUUUACUUUCGAUCUCUUUUUCGUCCUAUGUUUAUUUGUACUUACUAUUACUUUUUUUUGGGUUAAAAUUUUCGUUUUUGAAGUGUUUACUGAAUAAAUUUCUGAGCUUUAUUUGUGUAUGCUGAUUGAUUUGUGAUUUUAAUUUGUGAUUUUUUUUUUUGGAAUUUAAAUUUGAAUGCUUUUUAAGUUGAAUCUGAAUGUGUUGGGCUGCGAUUUAAUUAAGUCAUCUGUGAGCGCCAAAUUGUGAUAGACUGAUAGCUAUAUAUUGGGGUGAAAAUUUGGGAUUUAAAGUUAUGUAUUUAAGAUGCAGUUAAUUCGCAAGUGACAAUUAUGGGCCGGCAGAUUUUGUCAUUGGAAGACUGUUCUCCACAUGUUGAAGUUAGUGAUGCAAGUUGAAACCAAUCUGUUUAAGCUUGGGGUUUCAUGUCUUGAAUCAAGGCUGUGACUUGGGGUGGGUUGAAAGUAUUAUAGCUUUAGCUAUUCCUGAAGUGAUCUGUUUAGACUCACCGUGAUGAGACCGAGUGCUGUACAGUAAAAUUAAAGGAAGUUGGAAAAUAUUUACUUAGCAUUUCGCGUUACUAAUGUUGAACUAAUAAAACCUAGCCCCUAUCCUAGUGAAUUUAUGUUAAAAAGCUAUGCACGCAUUAAGUUAGUGCGAGAGUCUGCUGAAGCAUACGUCAGCUGUGUGUUUGGAGCUGAGUAUUCUUCAUUCCACAUUUUGGGUUUUGGUUGACCUCCAGCAUGACUCAACCCACUUGAGUUAAAAGCCCUAGAGUUACAUUCUACCCAUGAUGUCUUAGGUUUGGAAAAGAUGGGGCACAGGUUACAAAAUUUUUUUGAGUUUUGGAUUGAAGGAACAAAAUUGUUGAUGUCUAGCUCACAAUAUUUGAAGUCACUCUGUGCUUCAUCAUGUAAAAUGGAUUGAAUUGCUGUAAGAUCAGGUCAAAUUAAAAUGUUUAAACUCAUUUUUAAGAAACGAAUUCUCAAUUGGACCAGCCUUUCACAGAAGCUGAUAUCACAGAAGCUUUGAGUCAGAUGCAUCCAACCAAAGCCCCUAGCCCAGAUGGUCUCCCAGUAGUAUUUUUCCAAAAGCUUUAGAAUUCAGUAAGCGAAGGAGUUAUAGCCACUUGUCUGCAUAUCCUCAAUGAUGGAGGUAAUAUUGCUCCUUUGAAUCAUACAUACAUUGCUUUAAUCCCCAAGAUAGCAAAACCUAGGACUCUGAUGGAGUAUAGACCAAUCAGCAUAUGUAAUGUAAUUUAUAGGAUCAUUGCAAAGACUGUAGCGAAUAGGCUGAAGCUAAUCUUAGAUCAUGUUAUUUCGCCAACUCAGAGUGCUUUUAUGCCAAAUAGGCUCAUAACUCAUAAUAUAAUUAUUGGGCAUGAGUGUCUUCAUAAGUGGACAAAGCUAUGUUCCAGAGGUGAGAUAGGAAAUUCUCCCGCACGACACAGCAGAAACAAACUUUCCCUUUCAUUUUCUUUUCUCUUUCUCGCUCUCCAAACAGAGCAAAAGGACCGUCGCAAGAUUCUUCACUUCCAUCCAAAAUCAUGAGCAACGAAUAGUGAGCCUCCCUGUUUCCUUCCUUUUUUUGAUAUUAACAUUGUUAACAUAUACUCAUUUUAAUUUGACAAUACUUCAACUUUUUUUAUUUUUUUGCCUUUUCAUUUUUUUUGUGGAAGCAAUUAUCUGUUCAAGCUGUUGCUUAUCGGAGACUCGUCUGUCGGAAAUUCCUGCCUGCUGCUCUGAUUUGCUGUCUGUUGACUUUUCCUUUCCCUUCUUAUUUUCUUUUUUUAUAUUAAUUACUUUCUAUUUUAGCUUUUUGUUCUCUGAAUUUGUGUUAUUAAAAUGAUAAUUUAGAUGAUAAAUAAUUGUUAUUCUUGUAAAUUUAGGUUUUCAUUACGUUAAUUGUUAGUUUUUAGGUUUAUUAAUGUAAUUUUUUUUGUUUUUUUUUUUCAAUUUUUCAGGAUGAUUCUUAUGUCACCGCUACAUCAGUACCAUUGGAGUUGAUUUUGUGAGUCUCUCUUCUAUAUAUAUGUAUAUAUGUGUAUCAGUUAUAAUAUGAGUCUAUGUACGUGUAUGUAUGUAUGUGUAUGUAUAUAUGGAAAGAAAUGUUGGCAGACUUCAGCAUUUUACUCUUUUUUUUUUUUUUUUGGGCAGAAAAUAAGAACUGUGGAGCUGGAUGGGAAGACGAUCAAACUGCAGAUUGUGAGUCAAAAUUUCCUUUUAUCUUGUAUUGAGAGAAAUUCGAUUUGUCUUAUUUAGUGAAGGUUAUGUUCAAGAACCUUGUCUUAUUUUCUUUGUUUGAAGAGUGAUAUGUUGAAAUGAGUGUAUUUGUCUUAUAAACAUCAUUUAGGUAAUGUCUGAUGUUUGAUUGUUUUUCAUCUGUUUAGUGGGACACUGCUGGACAGGAGCGAUUCAGGACUAUAACUAGCAGUUAUUACCGAGGAGCCCAUGGAAUCAUAGUAAGGAGCCUUCCCGCUUCUUGGUUUAAAUCAGAAAGUUUGUGAUUUACAUGUGACAUCUUAACAACAUUGUACUUUUCAAAAAAAAAAAUAAACAACAUUGUAUGUGUUUAUUAACUUAUUUUUCAUCUUUCGUUAAGCAGUACAUUUUCCAAUAAAUCUGUAUACAAGAUGAUGUAGUCCAAGAAUGGGAGCGAUAAUAUGAUGCAAAUUGUCUAAUAAAUUCUUAUGACAUAUGAUGUUGUCGGAAGUAAAAGUCUUGCAAUGCUCUCUUUUAAGAAAGAAUAAGUGGUAAUUUUGUUUUUCCAAUUUUUUAAUUGAGCAACUGUGUGAGAUUAAUUAAAUGUGUUGGGAUUUCAACAGAUUGUCUAUGAUGUAACUGAGAUGGAGAGCUUCAAUAAUGUCAAGCAGUGGUUGAAUGAGAUUGACAGAUACGCAAAUGACAGUGUAUGCAAACUUCUAGUUGGGAACAAAUGCGAUUUAGUUGUGAACAAGGUUGUGGACACACAGACAGCCAAGGUAUAUUCAUGACUUUUGUCGCCUGAACUUUGAAUAUAAUUUUAAACUCUUCUCAAGUGCAUUUGCUUGGUAAGUUUCUGCAUACCCAGGACACUCAAACUUUGGACAGUCUGUAUCUUGAGUUGGAAUCUUUUCUGUCAAUACGACAUGUUAAAAUAAGGGUUAUUAUCGUUUGAAUCAUUCAAGAAUUGCAAUAAAUCUAAAGUCCAUAAAAAAAUAUGAUUCCAUCAUUUUACUAUUAUAUCUAGACAAAACCCAUUAUUUUACUACAUUUCAUUGGCACCGAUAGUUGACCUGUUGGCUGACUGAUAAAAUAUCAAUUUUGCACUUUAUAUUAAUUCUUUUUUGGUUAAAAAAUAACACACAAAGUAUUACAAUAUUAUAAAUUCAAAAUAUAAAGUAGUUACAAAUAAUUCCUAUUAGCCUAUGAAUAUAAUAUUUGAUACCUCUAUUUGUGUAAUUUUUUUCCAAUGGUGAAAUUGUUAUUUUUUUUGUACUAAUGGAAAUGUAGUAAAAUCAUAAGUUUUGUAAAGAUAUAGUAGUAAAAUGAUAGACUAAAAUACUUCUUGUAGUUGUUUGAUAUAUUGUAAUUCUUAAAGUAGUCAAUUGAUAAUAUCCCCUAAAAUAAAUGUUCGUAAUAUGUUCUCAUUUUAAUGCAACUGAUUGUUUAAUAAAAUUGUAUUUCUUUGUUAAUCUUUUAUCAUGUGCAUGCUCAGUGAGAAUUUGACUUACUAGAACACAAGUUUGACUCUUCAUUUAAAUGUCUCUUGUAUCAUAUCCUUCAAUGUUGAGUGUGAUUCCAAUAAAAUUGAGUAGGGAGAUCCUUAAAUACCUUUUCCUUUUUUCCAAGGGCCUGCCAAAUUGCUCUAAGUGGUUCUACCCUUUAUCAAUGAAUAAUGAAAAUAAAAUUUUUAUUAAAGCAUUUUGUUCCUUAAAUGGUGACUAAUAGUACCCCUUUUUUUUGGGGAGGAAAGCCAAACAUGCCCAAAGAGAAUCAUUUACUUUCCUCUAAUGUAUUUUCUAAUUCGUUUUGAGCCUUGAAUGUCUGUUUUGGUGCGUAUUCUCAUUCCAUGUUGAAUCUUAUCCACAUGGACAACCCCACUUACAAAAAAGUCUAAUGAAUCUAUUGAAGUUCAUAUGAGGUUUGUGCUUUAGAUUUAGACCUCUCUCUCUCUCUCUCUCUCUCCACUUACAUGUCUUUCACUUACCUGUUUGCAUGCAUGCCCAUGCACACACUUUCAAGAUAAUACACAGUCACUCGUACUUGUGUUUUGGUUGAAUUACUGGCUGCUAACCUCUGUAAUUCAGUUUGAAACUUGCCACCCUUAGUGCUUCACUCAAAUGGUUGGUUAGGGUGAGAUCUGUAUCGUUUUCCUGGUCUCUUUCCAGGGUUAUCUAAAGGGUUUUGGCAGUCUGAUUCUUUAGGGAAUAUCAUUGCAUAAGAUAUCUAUUGUUUGUUAAUGAAUAAUUUCUAUUUAACUAGUUAUCUAUAUAAAUUGGUAAAUUUUAACUGCAUAAUUUGCAUGCAAUAAGAUUUUAUAAGAAUCUUGUUUUCAACUCAUGACUUAGACUAAUGUGAUAUGUUGAGCAUUAAGCUACAAGAUCUGCACAUCAAAGUGCUUCACAAUGUUAAGGAGAAAGCAUCUUUUUCUGCUUCUUCAUGUGAUUUAAAGUUUCCAAGGUACUUAUUCUAUAAAAUAUCUUUCAAGACUUUGGAAAUGCUUUUAUGUAUGACUGAGAGAAACUUGUUGGGUUGGUUUUUAGCAACAGACGGAGUUAUGGACUUUGUGUUGACUUGUUAUUGAUUAAGACAGUACAUCGGCUGAUCUAUUGGCAUCAAGCAGCAGAUGCAGAAAUUAUGGGUGGCAUACCAUUGUAUCCAAAUAACAUACUACAUUGAUUUUUCUGACUUUCUGUUGGUCUCCGAGUGAAAUGCAGGCAUUUGCAGAUGAACUGGGGAUUCCUUUCCUGGAGACGAGUGCCAAAGAUGCAAUCAAUGUGGAGCAGGCUUUCUUGACCAUGGCUGGCGAGAUUAAGAAAAAGUAAAAUCACUUAACUCUUUCCUUCUUGCCGACUGUUCUUAUUUAACAAUCACUAUUAUUGCUGGUUAUAUGCAUUGUGAUGAAAAUUCUGCAAUGAGUAACUUUUUACCUAAUGUUUUCUGUUGGAACAAAUUACUCUGGUAGAAAAGCCCUACAGGGUUUGAGAAAUCCCAUGAUGUGAUGAUUGUGAGCAUUUUAGACACCGUCUAUGGGUUUAUUUUGUGACUAUAAAAUGUUAAGAUUGUUUCUAGUUUUGGUUUGUAGUGCAUAAAAGGAUUCAAAAUUUGACAUCUGUCUAAAUCAGAUUAAUAACAUGAUAAUGUACAUAUGCAAGAUGUGAGGAAUUGUUUUAUCUCACCCCUAAACUUUAAGAAAUUGAAACAUUAUUAUUCAAAAUAUUUAACAUUUCCAGAAUUGAUAGUUGUCUAUUUGAGCAGUGACUGGUGGUUAUCAUGAACUGAUGUGCGGUUGUGGCUUCAAAUCUUGGUGAAACCUGUUGUCAUAUGCUGAUUAACAUAGCUAGUCUCUGAAACAAUUUGUUGAUUCACUAAUUAUGAGUUCAAAUUUGAUGCAGAAUGGGCAACCAGCCUACUGCAAACAAAUCUUCUGGAACAGUUCAGAUGAAGGGACAGCCAAUCCAGCAAAACAGCGACUGCUGUGGUUAGCCGAGCUUCUUAUUUUACUUCUACAUGUUAGCUGACUGAUUGUAGACAGUUUUAACUAUGUUGACUGCAUUAUCUUAUGAAUCUUUUAAUCUGUCAAAUAUUUAUUUCCUGCUUUAAGUUCUUUCCCGUUUAUAACAAAUUUAAUUUCUUGCUCUAUUGCAUUCCAAAUUCCUGUUAAUUUACGAGGGAAAAAGAAAAGAGACGAAAUGGGAGAAAAUGGUCAAAUUUGUUAGGGGGAGAGAGCUGUUGAAGUAGUUUUUGUUCUCGUUUAUCGUCGUGACCCUCUUGUCGCUUAUCUACGACCUGGAAGUCUGGUCAUAUCGGAUGGGUAAAGUUACCGAAACGGCAUCAUUUUGGGUGAAAUAUCAUAUUUAUGUAACACUUUUGAUAAUAUUUUUAUGCAACAAAAAAAUGUUUGCAGUACCCUUUUCACAUUGUGAAGCGCAUGAUCGGAUGAGAGCAGUCUGGAUUCUGGCAUCACAAGCUAAUGCUUUUUUUUUUUUUUGAUUACAUGAGACUAUUGCUCAUAUUACAGCUCAUAUUACAUGAGAAUAUAACUGAUAUGUACAAAUCAGCUAUAACUGGGACCAACAUACAUCAAAGCUAAUGGAGCGCUGUCCAGAUUUUAACCCUCUCAAAUAUUCGAGGGAUGUCUACUCCUCGCACUGGGACAAGGAAGCAGACUGUCUUCACUCAAUUUUAUUUGAGGAAGGAAACACCCCCACAUGCAUUGUGGGGGUUCGAACUGCUGCUCUCCAACUGCUCUCCAACUUGGAGAGCAGCAGCUCUCACCACUCGGCCAAAGGCCGAGUGGCUCACAAGCUAAUGCUUUGAUUUGCUUAGUUUGUUUUUUGUUUCUGAUAUUUUCUCGGCAUCGGGUGGGAAAUUGUUUCUCUUUUGAGUUUCUCUUUUUUUUUUUUUUUUUUUGGUUAUGGAAUUUGGAGAUAGUGUAAAUGUACGCAGAUGAAAUUGUUGGGUUGGUUUUGUUAUGGAAUUUGGUUUACUUCACUAACCAUUAAUGCGCAAAACCUCCUAAUGACCCUCAAAAAUCCCGUACAUAAUUAAAGAAUUUCAAUUUUAUAUGUACAUAAAUAAAUAACUCUCAAAUAUAUUAUUUGAUAAUCCCAAAAACAACAAUUCACUCUAAUAAAUCUCGUAGUCAAUACAUGGUCUAUAUUGCAAGUGUUUUCGAGACUAAUUGAAAAAGAAAAUACGUUGAGUGAUGUAAUUGACCUUUACUAGUUAUAAAGAACUCUAAAUAAAUUCAUAUAGGCAUAGCAGCUAAUUACAGCCUUGAUACUUCAUUUGGUUUUUGUUAAUUUUCUAUAGAGUUGUGCUGUGCAUAAAAGUUUUGUUAAAUGAAAUCGGUAGGUGAGAAUUAAUUAAUCAAUUAAUUAAGAUCCAGUUAAUGUAAUUAAUUUUAUUUGAUUUUUUUAAUUCGAGUUCUAAAUUAAUCAAUGAAUUUAGAUUCAUGUGAAAUUGAAGUGAAUUAGUUUUGAUCUGUUUUUCGUCCUAUGUUUGUCUGUGUUUACUCUUACUUUGUUUUUUUGUUUAAAUUUUUGUUUUCUUAUUGUUUACUGAAUAAAUUUCUGAGCUUUAUUUGAGUAUGAUGAUUGAUUUGUGAUUUUAAUCUAAAUGUGUUGGGCUGCGAUUUAAUUGAGUGAUGUGUGAGCGCCAAAUAUUCAAUAACUGAUAAAUUAUAUUUAUAAAUAUUAAUAGCGAUGGCACAUAAACAAUUAAUUCAAGAACUUGCCCAUAGUGAUUAAUUUAAAGAGUAUAAGUAACAUUGCAAUGCAGUUAGCCCUUGCGUGUUUAAUUAGCAAUUGAAAACUAAUGUUGCUGAUGAGGUAGAACAUUAUAACACUGUUGCUGAUGAGGCAGCUGGUAAUUCUUCUGGUGAAGAUAUUAAGACUAUUAAAGCUGAAAUGUAAUUAGAGAAAUAUAAUGCAUUCCCUUAGUUUGCUUUUUGUUUUUUAUAUUUGUUUGGCUAAUGCUUUGCUUAGAUUACUUUUUGUUUUUGAGAUUUUAUUGGCUUAGUCAUGGGGUAUUGUUUUCUCUUCUAAUUUCUAUUUUUGUUGUUAUGGGAUUUGAUUGUAGUGUACAUAUACGAAAAUUAUGUAAUCAAAUGCUUUCAAUAAAUCAUGAUUGAUUUACUAUUAAUUAAUUAAAUUAAAUUUACUCAAAUUACUCAUGUACACAAUCAAAAUAAUUUUAAUUCCAUGAUAUAUAUACACGCGAGCACACAAACAAAAUGUAAUUAACUUUGAAAUAUAAAAUAUUUAAAAUAAUCACCGUACUAACAAUUCACAAAUCGGAUUUUAUAUAAAUAGACGAAAUAAUGUUAAUCUAGCGAAUCCAGUCAUAAUAAUUUGAUUUUCAUUUAUAUUAAUUAUGUCAAACCAUGCUAUUUUAAUAAAUAGCACUUGAGAAUAUAUAUAUCCAACAAGUAAAAUUUCAAAACAAUAUUUGCCAAAAUCUAAUGAAGAGAAUAUACACGCACGCACAUAUAUAACCGUACAGCAGAACGAUAAAUAAAAGAAAAUGAAGUUUCAACGGCUGAAUAAUGCAAAUUCAUUUUUUUUAACAAGCAUUUUAUUGUUUAAUUAAAAAAAUUUGAAAACCCAUUAAAUACAUGUAAGGACUCACUGAUGCCGAACCAUAUUAAUUUAAAUUAGUUUUCAAUUGAGAUUUGAAUUUUAAAAUUACACACACAAACACACCCGAUUUAAAAAUAAUAAUAAUAAUGCUAACAAUAAAAUAUUUCAGCCGUCCUAUGUGUUAAUCGCCAAAAACGGAUUUCCAAUCUAUUACAACAUGAGGUAUAUGAGUUAACAAGUCCCAAUAUUGUCCUCCAUCCUUUCUGCACUUCUCUGCUAUCAACGGACAUCCUGCGAUCUGUAAUUGCAAAAGUGAGGAAGGCAGGCCCUUCUCCGGAAAGUAUUUGAGCUUGGGACAAUUAUGGAGUCGCAAUGCAGUGAGGUUUUGAAGAUCAACAAUUGAAGAAGAUAGGCGUUCCAGAUUUGGAAAAUUGAAAAUCUCCAGAGACGUUAGAGAGGCAGGAAUAGGAAGCGCGGUCCCUAAUCUUUUGUCCUCUAGUGGAAAUGACACCAUGUCCUCAUCACAUCCACUGAUUAAAAGAUAUCGCAGAGAGGAGAAUCUGUGAAAUCCCCGUCCCCGCUCAAUCAUUGACUUCCAAAUCUCCAUAUUACCCCAAAUAUUAAGUGACUGAAGGUUGGUGGGAAGGCCAUCUUCUUCUUCAAGGCUUGGAAGCACACCUCCUUUUCCUGCUGUUAAUUCUUGAAGAGAGCUCAGAUUGUGCAUUCCCUUGGGUAAGGCCUCUAGUCUCUUACAAUUAGAUAUCGCCAGCCUCCUGAGUUUCGCACAAGGCAAUCCCCCUUCGGGAAAGGACACCAGAUUUCCACAACUAUCUAUACUGAUUGUUUCAAGAGAUGUGUUGUUGUCCAACCUUUCUGCUAUUGACUCCAGCUUUGAACAUCCCCAAACAACGAGGGACUUAAGAGACGAAGGUAGAUUGCCAACUUCAAGGGACUCAAGCGUGGCAGGUAACUCGUUUUUUGAAAAUAUACAUGUCAGAGAUGGACAACUAAUAAUUUCUACGUGCUCGAGAAGAGAUGAGGUGUACCUUCUGCUGCUGCUGCUGCUACACAGGAUACCCUCUUCCACUGUCAAAGUCCUUAUAUUAUCGCAAUCGCUGAUGCUCAGCUGCUUGAGGCUCGGUGGCAGCUGGACAGCAGCAAUAUAUGUCAACGAACGGCAACCAUGAAUACUCAAGAUCUCGAGAGACGAAUUGGUGUCGCACAUCCAUGCCUCUGGUAACGAUUUCAGUGCAUCACAAUGCCUAAUCUGAAUUUUCUUCAACUUGGAAGGCAGAGCAACCUCAGGAAAGGAAACAAGGGAACUGCACUUGCAGAUUUCUAUCUCUCUCAAGGAACUGAGGCUGAACGAUGAUUGUGGCAGCUUCACAAGGCCUUCGCAAUUACUCAAUCUUAGAUAUUCAAGUCUGCAUGACAACUCGCAGAGCUGCUGUUGUUGGUCUUUCUUUUCCUCCGCCACCAAGGAUUGAAGUUUGGGACAGCUGUCAAUCGUCAGUCUUUUGAGAGAGUAAAUGUCUUGCAGUAAUUCGUUAUGACUCUUCCAUAUAUGUGUUUCAUUUUUAAUAUUUUUUAUCUCCAAUUCUUCCAGUUUUGGUAUUCGCGGCUUCAAUGGCCCUGCGAGAAACACUUGAUUUGAUGUAUCUCUACAAACCACUGAAUUCUGUGAGCCGAGAUGAUCAGUUGCACUACUCCACACAAUCUUUUUACAUCCACCAAUUUCAAAUUUGCAAAGAGCUGGAAGACUUGCAACUGAAACUAGCAAUUCUUCACAUCCUUCAAUUACAAGCAUCUCCAAUGCAGGAAGGUGUUCUGGAAAUGUUCCUUGCAGCUUAGAACAGCUUAUAAUAUGAAGCUCUCUCAAUUUAGGAAACCCUUCAACUCCCUGACCAGAUCUAAGAGGAAUCCAGUCUUCCCAUUCUUGCAUGUCUUGAAAACGAAGAGUCUCCAAGCAUGGAAAAGGAAUCGGGGAAUCAUUCCCAUAGAACUCUGAACCCAAACUCUUUACUCUACUCAUUCCACGCACUUCAAGAUGCUUUAAAGAGGGUAGUUGCCCGACUGACGGCAGGGCAGUACACAUGCCGCAAUCUUCAAAUUUAAGUGUUACUAAAUUUGAGAAUGAGGAAUCUCCUAACCAUGUUGGAAAUUUUGUACCUCCAUAACCACAGAUACCAAAUUGUUCCAGAUUUUUAUGGGGUUUGAGCAUGUCAAGCACACCCAUUUCAGUUUCUGCCUCCCUUGAAGAUGAACCAUCGGUACUGCGUGUCCAUCGAAGCAAUAAUUCUCUAAGAUUCUCCUUUACAUCCAAUUGAGCCUCCUUCGCAUUACCAACGUCUUUUACGUUCUCCAAUUUUGAAAUUUCAAGUGCCCCACGAAGAUGCAUCAACAACUUUAGCUCUGAUAACCCCGAACCACUGUCUUUUCCCACAACAAAAUUACACAACGUCUGAAGACUAGUCAAUCUACCAAUUCCUACUGGCAUUUCCUCCAACGACUUCGUAUUUGAAUUCUUAAGAUGAUGCAAUUUGGUGAGGUUUCCCAUGUCUGCACACAACUUCUUCAGCCGAUCACAAUCUUCCAAGAAAAGACUAUGCAAAUUGUAAAGCUUGUUGACUGAUUCAGGCAGAGUUCUAAUCAUAGUUCCAGAUAGGUUGAGGUACCUUAAAUACCUCAAAUCACCAAUUGAAUCCGUUAGCUCAUACAGGCAAUAUCCACGCAAAGAGAAGACCCUCAACCGUUGGAGUUUGAACAACUUGGGGAGAAUGCUACGAGCCAAGUAUCCAUGCCACCUAUUUGACAAUGCUACUGGUAAAAAAGUUCGCAAAUGGUGGAUAUCAUGCAAGUCCUCAAACCUUUGAACGCCAUCACAAUAUCCACGAAUGUAUGACAGGUGACGAAAAUUUUUGGAAAAACUUUGUUGCUUGUUAACCUCUGAGUUAUACUCCAUUGUGAAGUAUAUCUCCCCCGCAGCCCAUUGAGCAAGGUCGUUGACAAGGUCGUGCAUCACAAAUCGUGAUUUAUUGUUGCUUGAUUGCUGGAAAAAAGAUCUUGAACGUAGCUCUUGAAAGAACUUUCGACCUAGAUCUUCAUUAGGAUUCCCACUCUCUUUGUGAUCCAAGAAACCCGAGGCACACCAUAAUAAAAUCAUCUCCUCCUCUUCAAAUUCAUAAUCCUUUGGAAACAAUGAGCAGUAUGCAAAGCAUUGUUUCAAAGGUGCCGAAAGAUAAUAGUAGCUCACUGCAAGGGCUGGUAUAAUACCACAUCUCUCUUCUGGUAAUUCCCAUAUCUUGCUACUGAGCACAUCUUCCCACUCACUUCUGUCAUGAUUCCCACGUAAAAGUCCUCCAAGCGUUUGUGCUGCCAAGGGCAAGCCAUCGCAUUUGGUCACUAUCUUCUUGCCGAUUUCCUCCAGUGACUUAUGUGAACUGAAAUCUCUCGUCCCCAAUGAAUGUUGAACGAACACAGCUAGACAAUCAUUAUCUGACAACUUCUUUAAUUGAUAAGCCGGAACAGUACCCAUAAUUUUAGCAACCUCUUGAUUGCGAGUAGUGACAAUAAUUUUACUUCCCGGUGCGCCAAGUUCAAAGGGACGUCUGAGUUGAUCCCAAUCAUGGUAAUUCCGGUUCCACACGUCAUCUAAAAGAAGUAAAAACUUCUUUCCAGAUAGUUGCUUAUUCAGUUUCUCUUGAAGUGAAUUCAAGUUGAGAUUAUCUACGUUCUGGUCAGCAACAAUGGAUGUUAAGAUUGUUUUUGUUAGCCUGAUAACGUCGAAAUCAUCAGAGACACAAGUCCAUGCCUUGAGAUCAAAAUGAUCCACCACUUGCUUAUCAUUGUAGACAAGCUGAGCAAGAGUGGUUUUGCCCAGCCCACCCAUACCUACAAUAGGUAUAACGGAGAAUCCACCAUCGUUGCUUAAAUCAUCCCUCAACAGCAGUUCAACAACAUCCUUCUUUUCGAUUUCCCUGCCAUAUACUUUGGCUUCCUUCACCAAAGAGGUUGUCUCUCGCCUUUUCCUGUCUUUUGUGGUCCUCCCACCCGAACUUACAUUCAAACCCAGCGAGUCCUUCUGUGUUACAAUAUCUUGAAAUCUGCCAUUGAUCUCUUUGAUUUUGGACAUCAUGGCGUAAUCGAACUGAAUCGAUUGUGGAGUAAAAGUGGUGCAGCAAGUAGGAAUGAGCUUCCGAAACUUACUUGUUCUUGUACGACUGCAACUGGGUUGAUCAUGAGCCGCAGCUGGAUCUCCAUUUCCAAGCAGCAACUUCCUCCGGAAAGCCUCAGUUUGAAACUCAUCCAGCAAGUCUUCAACAUCAAAAGCCAAGUUCUGAAGCUCGCCAAGCCACAACUUUACAGACUGAUCAGUCUUCUUCUCCUCAGCAUCAGCAAGCACCGCCUUGAUUAUCAUCAACAUAUUCUUCCACUUCUUUAGGUCGGCUUGGAUUUGCUCUUGGCGUGCAAACAGCCGAAUCCCCUCCGAAGCUAACUUAUUGACCAGCAAAUCAACGGACGCCGUAAGAAUUGCCUCUCCGAUGAAUGACAUUUUUUUCUUCUUUUUCUUUUUUUUUGGUUUUGCAAAGAAAGAAAGGAGCAGAAUUAUGGGUUAUGGAAAGCAGAAUGAGAAAAUGGAUAAUUAAGCAGAAUGAGUUUGUGAUUGUGAAGGGUCUGGCCCAGCAAGCUUAGUAGAAAUCACGCGUUGAUACUUUAUUGACCAAUGACUAAUAAUUUGGCAAUUCACUCAUCACCACCACUUGGUAAGCAAAAUGAAAAUGCUUAGUAAUUAAGUGUCAAGGGUCAAGCAAAAUACGACGUAAAAUGUGUCAAGGGUCUCCCCACUUGUUGUUCCUUGCAGCUUAGAAAAGAAAAACAGAGCCCACGACCCAUUAAUAUUUAGCCGCCCACCAAUCAUCACCACUUGUUACGAAACCAUCUCAUAAACCAAGUUCGUAGGUCGAGCAGUUAAUCCAGUGUCUAUGUCCUAGAACCUUCAUCUCAUAAACCAAGUUCAAUCAAAACGUUCCUCUCUAUAUAUUUUUUUUUUCAAAACUCCUAAAACGUUUCUUUUUAGAGACAUUUUACUUUAUUCAUCUCAUAUGUUAUCUAACAAAUAGACACAAUUGAAAUCACUCUAAAGUGAAGAUGAAAGGGGAAACAAAUAACCUUCCGACCACCAGUAAUUUAGCAAGCUUCACUUUAUUCCACCAAAGUGUAAAUAAAGCCAGCCCCCACCACCAUCAAUAAUUUUGCAAGCUUCACACGCUUGUUGUCUUCUCCUUGACGAACUGGACAUGAGUGCACCAAGAAUCAAUGACAGAAUUUUAAAAAUAAUAAUAAGAGAAAAACCUACACAUUUUCGACUUAGAGUAGAACCUUAAUUAAUGCUAAAAUCUACUCAGCUAACAUUUUCAAAAUAUUGUUCUUUAUGAUUUUCAAAACUGUGAUUAAGGUUCAUCUCAAAUGUUUGAAGAGAGUCUAUCAGUUCUUCAAAUGUUGAAUAAUAAAAAAAAAAGUUGAAUAUGGAGGAAAAUAGAAUGCAUCCAUCUUCGCUGCUGUAGAAGUCUUCUACUUAUAAAAGUAAGUUAGAAUAAACAAUUUUAAUCUCUCUUUUUAUUCCUACAAGUGCACUACAUUUUUUUUUUAAUCUCAAUGCAAAGUCGUAUCGAAAUGUUAUAUUCCUAUUGUAAAACAAAAUUUUAGAUAAAACAAAUUCGACUCAUUUUUUAAAGAUAUAUAUUUAGUAGGUUACCAACAUAACUAACAAAACGUGAUUAUUACACUAAAUGAAAUAAAUGACAGUACUAUCACCAAUAAUUUAGCAAGUUUCGCAUGCAUGUGUUUCUAAACACAUUAUAUGGAAUCAAACAACAGUGAUACAAAGAGAAAAGUAGAAAUCCUCUGAUUAUAUUUUUUUUUUCUUUUUCAAAAGAAAUGGUGGGGUUGGUUUGUUUGCAAAGUUAUUAGCGAGGGUCUAUUUGUUUUUGUUUUAACUUUAUUAAUCAAUAAGCAAACAUGUAAUUAUUUGUAUAUAUCACUAGCAUCACAUUAUUGUGAGGUAUUGCGCUUAAUAUUCACAAUUUUUGUAAGAUGAAUUUGUAAGACUAAUUAAUUUUGAUGAAAAUGUAUCGUUACUAAGAUAUUAUUUAAUUCAUUAAGUUAACUUGAGGUAUUAAUAUUUACUAAUUGUGGUGCUGAUUAAUUUAUUUAACUUGUCACUAUUUGCAAUUAAGAAUGAAGUUCAAUCAAUUUAUUGAGUAAAAAAAAAACAAAGAUGCAUUUUUUUCUUUAGAUUUUAAUUCUUAGGAUUUGAUUUCACGCUCUUUUGUUUUUUUACGUUGCUAAAGAGGCAGUAAAAAGUUUGCUGAAUGUCAUCAAAUACUUGUAUCUCAUCUCACAAAUUGGUAAUAUUUGUUUGGUAUUUCAUCUCAACAGACGCAGUAAGGAUUACCUCUCCAAUGACUGACAUUUUUUUUUUUUUUGGGGACAAAGAAAGAAACAGAAUUUUGAGUUUCGAAAAGCAAAAUAAGAAAAUUGAGCAGUAAGUGUGAAGGGUCAAGCAAAAUGCAUGUAGCAAGUCUUCGACUUGUUGUUUAUCCCACUAAAGUGAAAAUAAAAACAGAGCCCACGACCCCUUAAUAAUUGAGCAAUUCACCAAUCACCAGUCACCACCACUCGUUACCAUGAAUAUAAUAAAUUGCACCUUGAUAUUUGCAGGGUCCAGCAACAUUGACCUAGUGUCCGGGUAAAUGCUGAAUAAAGAGGAAAAUGGAAUGUAUCCACUCCGAACCUUCGCUUUACAACAAUUUUUAAGAAUCACAAUGGUAAUUCCUACUAUCAUGUUAUCUUAAUGUCGUGUUAAAAUAAAUUAUAAUAUAUUUUUUAUAUGAACACUCUUUUCAUUUAUAAAUUUUUAAGUUUCUAAUAUUUUUCUCACUUUUUUAAUCUUAAUAUUUAUAUUCCUCUCUUCAAAUUUUUUUAUUAUUUAAUUUUUAAAGAAAAAUAUGAAAAAAAUAAGAAAAACAUUAUACUUAGAAAAUAAUUAAUAUUUUAUGGGUCUAAUGCAAUUUUGUCUCACCUAUAAAUUUUUUUGUUUAGCAAUUAGUUUGAGAAUCUUAAAAAAUUAUUUGCAGUAGGAUAAAAUUUUAUUUAAUUUAUUUUUUUACUGUAUUGUAUCUUAAUUAAUUAAGUUGUUAUGUUUAUUACAAGAAUUUUGUUUUGGCUUAGAGGAUUGCUUCUUAAAUUCAUAUUAUUUUAAUGAUAAUAAAAGAUAUUUAUAUUGUGCAAGCAAAAUAAAAUGAAGAGAGAAAGAAAAUAUAAAUGAUUUAAUUCUAUUUAUAUUUGUCCUCAAAUGUAAUUGUAGUAUAAUAGGAGUUUUAUAAGAUUAAUGAAGGGGUGCCAAUAGUCGUACUCUUAUAGAAAAUGACUGUAAUAAUAGUGGAAAUUUAGUGUAAUAAAAAGGAUAAACCGUAAGAAAUUAAUGUUUACUUCAAGAUACGUUAUAAAUAUUGUUUUUCUUAAGAUGUUAUUUGCCUCCACCAAUCGAAUGAUGCACAUGAAUUAAGCAAAUAUGCUUCCAUGAUACAAUAAAGCGCUUAUUUAUUUGUUUACGUUGUAUGUCGACGAAGCAAACUUAAAUACUUUUGAAUGUUGUAAACCUACCAAGAAUCAAUAUAUUAUUUCUACAAAAAGAAACAAUAUAUUAGAUAUUUAAAGCAUAAAAAAUAGACGUUAAUUGAUUAAAUUUGAUUUAGCAAAGACACCUAAGAAAAGAGGGGGGUAACGCCAUUUUUUUGGUGUUUAAAUAGUCUAAAUAUGCCCCCUUUUUGUCCAUCCCCUUUUCCCCUUUUAUUGGGAUUAUUUUUUUUUUUAUAAUCUCCACCCCUUCAUGGUUAUUAGACCAACCAAUUAAAUCCCUCCUAAAGCUACUUAACUUUUUGCCCCCCAACUUAAAGGAUCCCAUAGGGAUUGCUUUUCGGAUGUUUGCCUUUUUUUUUUUCACUUUUUUAUAUUUUUUUUGGGGGUGUUGGGGGGGGGGGGGGGGGGGGGAGUUUAUGAAAAUUAAAGCAAAUAAGAAAGUCAAUUACAGCAGAAUGAGUUUGUGAUUGUGAAAGGUCGAGCAAGUCUACAAAUCAAUUAGACAAAACCCACCACGAGAGUUAAAAUGGAAAAAUAGCGCCCACCACAAAUAUAAAAUUGGAGGAGCUCAAGAUCCUGCCUUUGCUUUACAUAUUAAAUUAAAUAAAAGCCAAACCAAUAACCUUGCCUUUGCUUAACAUGAUUAAUUAAGCACUACUUCAGAAAGAAUACAAAAGUAAUGAACCUUGUAUUAAUCUUAAAUUUUAGGAAUAAAGCUACAUUUUCUCCUCUUACCAUCUUUUCAUGUUCAUUUCAAAAGUUUGAAGAGAGUUUAUCCAUUCUUCUUCUAAACUAAGAAAAUCAACAUUCUUACUUUCUUCAAAUGUUGAAUAAAGAAAAAUAAAUUAUUGAAUAAGGAGGAAAUUAGAAUGUAUUUACCUUCGCUAACCUAAAAUAAAAAAAAUUAAUCUCUCUUUUAUUACUAAAGUACACUAUUUUUUUAAUAAUUGUAUUGAUAAUGACAAUAUAUAUCAUCGAUUAUAUUCUUGUUGUGUUGAAAUAAGGUAUAAAAAUUUUUGGAUCAACAGGAAUUCGACUCAUUUGUUAAAAGUACAUAUUUAAUAUACUAAAAACAAAAAUUAACAUAAACAUGAUUAUUACACUAAAGUGAAAUGAAAGCCAGUACCCGCCGGUUCACCAACAGUAAUUUAGCAAACUUUGCAUUCUAGGAAAUGGACAUUGGUGAAUUAACCAAAGAAGACUUCCUUUGAUAAUGCGGGUAACGCCGGUCUGUCAUGGAAUGGACAUUGGUGAAUUCGACUUCCUUUGACGUUUAGUUGACUAUUUUCACAUCUAGCAGCCCUUGGCGUUUUGUUUUCGUUCGCUCUGUCGUCUUCAUCGCUCUGUCGUCUUCGAUCUUUAUGGCGACAUGGGUAUAUGUGUAUGGUAAACUGUGCGGGUGAAGAGUGUCGACAUGAUGCUGUCACCUUGCUUUAAUUAAUUGCAGUGACGUUAUAAAGUAAGCCUCAAAAAUUUAAAAUCGUGGGUCAAGCCCUGGUGUACAAAUCAGAAGUUGUAACAAAGAAGAAUUUAAAAUUUUUCUUCUUUGUUUCUUUCAUGCAUUAGGCUCGUUAACAAUUCAACAUACCAGGGAUGAGGGAUGCAAGGAAACAAUUAUUUGGUUUGAGUGUUUGGUAUUUUCUCGAUUCGUUCAGAAUUUGAUGAGUUUUUCUGUUUAAAUUGUGCGUAUAAUUUUUAUUUUUAAUUUUCUGACGUCGAUAUCUUUAGCAUAGAUUUUGUCUAUGAUACAUUAAAAAAGUUUGAAUCGCACAUGAUUCACUGUGUUGUAAGAGUAAAAUUUCUUCUUAUUAUUUAGAAUUCAUAUUUUUCAACUAAACUUUUAAUACAAUAUAUCGAGACAGAUCCUCGUGAUGCACAUACAUUUUCGCUUUUAGCCGUGCUGCCUGCUCUCAAAUGUACACUUAUAAAUUCCAAAUGAAAAGAAAUUUUGAAAUUGCGCAGCUCUGGCCAGGGAUCACCUUUUUGCCUUGCUAUUAUCUACAAUAUUUAUUUUUGCAAUCCGCAUGCAUGCUCGGUUAUGAUCACCCACGUGAUCGGCAUUAAGUUGUUUUUUAUCUUCUUAUUAACAAAUUAUUUAGUGUGCGGACUCCAUUCAUGCUCCCACGUUAAUCUUUCCAAAUUUUGUGCAAUAAAAGUUCAGCCGAUCCGCUAUUCACUUUGCCACAGUCUGCUACUUCAUUCUAUUUGUUUACUGCAUAUGAUCAUUANNNNNNNNNNNNNNNNNNNNNNNNNNNNNNNNNNNNNNNNNNNNNNNNNNNNNNNNNNNNNNNNNNNNNNNNNNNNNNNNNNNNNNNNNNNNNNNNNNNNAGAAUUUAUGAUUUUCUAUUAAGAUCUGUAAUAACCCUUUCUUAAUUUUCAAUUGUCCUUAUGAGUAUAUGUCAAUUUGGAUUAUUAUUCCACAUAUACAUAAUGUAUAAAGAAAAGAGUAAUGAUACUGCCACAAACUCUUGUACAAAUUUAUUUUGUACAAACUGACGUGUCAUUAAUUCACUGGUUGAAUGAAAAUAUAAAUUAAUAAAAACAAAUUAUGUGGGCUAAGUGAUAUUUAAUUCAACCAAUCUUAUCAUGCCUCAUCAAUUUGUACAAAAUAAGUUUAUACAAGAGUUUGUGACUGUAUCAUUACUCUAAAGAAAAUUAUUGGCAUAGAAAUUUUUUGCACAAAAAAAAAAAUCCAAGAUGUUUUUGACUGUUGGCGGCACAAUACAUAAAGGUGAAAUUAGGUUAUCGUUUGGAUUUUUUCAUGAGACACCCUAAGGUUUGUUUAGUUUAUGCUUUUGGCCAAAGUUUAUAAUUUUGUUUCAUUUAAGUCCAAUUGAAUUUGCAACGGCCAUCACAUGCUGUCUUCAAGCCGAAAUUUAGGAGCAAUUGCAUGUGAAAUUGCAGUGUAGUCCCUGGUAUUCUAUUUUAUUAAAUUAAAGAUAUGAUUAAUUGGAUUUACUAUGAUAAAGCCGCCAACUUUAUGUGCAUCAAGCCUUAUAAGUUUUGUUCUCGUAAUUUUGAAGCCUCCGCUCAUUAAUUAAUGAUCUCCAAAAUUUCUUAAUGUUCCAAUUUUAAUGUUUGAAAUUUGAAUUGAUGUUUGUGGUUUUAUUUACUUUAUUAAAGAAAUUACUUUGUUAUAAAUGUUCAAUUUGACAUUCAUAUUAUGAUAAUUUGUUAGUUACUAAAGUAGCCAAAUUAGAAAGUUUUCAUAGAUGUCAAAUUAAAUUCAAUUUCAAGUUCUCAUAAUUAUUGUGAUGCGUAUUAUUUAAUGACAUGAUGAUCUUGUUGUAUGAGUAUAUUGAAAUUCACAGAUUAUAAAAUAUUUAGGAAUUGGUCAAAGGUUGAUUAAUUAAUUUUAUAAUAUAUGAUCAUGAUUUGUGGAUAAUUAAUAUGCUUGAUUAGAUAUGUUUAGUAUAUCCAAAGAUAGCAAGCGUGUCUAGUUUAUGUAUAGUUGAUUACUAAUUAUGUGAAAUUAAAGUUAAGCAUCAAUUAUGUUUAUUGCAGUGUAUUGUUGUAUCACCAAAUAAAUUAAGCUUCUUAAUUUUAUGUCAGUAAGUAUUAAUAAAUUAAUAUAGGUAACAUUAAAUAAUUUAAAUUAGCUGUAGAAAAUUUUAAAAUAUUUUAUUCAUAAUAAAAAAUUAGCGAUAUUAUAUCAUGAAUUAAUUAAUAUGUAAAUUAUUUAUUUAUCAAAAUCAUUUUCAUUUAAUUAAAUAUUAAUUGAGGUUUAAUUAUUAGUUAUCAAUAAAAAUUAACAUGGUAUUGUCUUUUUUAUGGUCCUGGCCCCCAUCUCCAAAUUAGAAGCAAUUCUCAAACCCGCCCCAUACCUAAAAGUUCACAUUUGGGGAGCAUCCCCAAUUUUGUGUAUGUAUAUAUGAUUUGGUGAGUUACAAGAAGCAUUACCAGCAAAAGCACAGAAAUGGUUUCGUUUCAGAAGCAAAUAUGAUGCUAAGGAAAGUUUCGUCUUCAGCAUAAUAACUAUAUAAUAUCAUAAUGAAUUGGUGUGCAUUAACCAUGCUCCAGGUUGAUUUGGAAAGUCAUGAUGCUGUUUCCAUUUCAAUUUAGACUCCUUGCUUAUCAGCCAAAUGAUUUAUAAGUAAUAGCCAGUAGAAGUUUUUCUCAAAAUGGAAAUAAGUUGUCUUACUGGGAGAGUCCACAUAUGGUAUCUAAUUUGUGGUGUUAUUAUUUCAAUUGUAAGUUCCCUAAUUCUGGCCAAUGCACAGAUUCAGAAAGUUAUAUUUGGUGAGUUUUUUUUUUUUUAAAGGUUUUGGAUACAACGGCAAGAGAUAGGGAAAAACAACAAAGGGAGAGUCAAAACUCCACAUUAAGCUAACAUUUGAAUUUCCAUUUAUACUUUGCUCCACUCAUUCUAAUGUUUACUGGCUAAUUGUAGUUUAUGGUGUAGCAUCCAAAAAAGAUGACUCAUAGAAUUUAUUCUUUCGGACCACUAAGUAGCUUAAACACACACACACACACACACACACACAAACACAUGUACAUAUGAAUGUGUGUGUAUGUAUAUGUAUAUAUAUAUGUAUGUGCGUAUAUAUAAUCCUUCCCUAAUAUAGACAUCUCUUUUCUUUUUUUUUCUACAUAGACACACUAUCACUAGUAGAAAAAUAGCCUUCUAUGAUACUAUUUUGGUAUCGGCAGCUUGUUUUAUUAACACCGAGUUUAGUGUCAUUAAUCACGGUGCAAGAAAUUUACUGACACAAAUUUUUUGUGUCAACAAUUCUGUGUUACCUUAGAAUCAAAGAAAUGCUGAUUCCAUAGUAUCAAAAUAAUUGCAAUUCUAUACAAUCAUGUAGAUAGUGAUUCUAUGGUAUGAAGCAAGUUUUGAUGCUCUAAUGUCAUUUAUGUUCUGAUUCAAUAAUAUUGGUAUUUACCAAUGCUAUAUUGGUGUCAGCAGUUUUAAAAGUAUUUAAAAAAAAUAAUGAAAUGGUCAUUAUUACAAUUGUCAAUAAGCUGGAAUCAAAACUUAAUAAUCAACAGUUUUGAACAAUGAUUAUGAAACAAAUGUUGGUAUCAAAAUCCAAUAAACUCCAUUUAACAAUUGCCAAUAGGCUCCAUUCAGUAUUCAAUAUUCAACUUUCAACAUUGAAUAACCAAAUUGGUUCUAUCCAAUAUUCAGUAACCAAAUUCAUCAACCACAGUUUCAAUAGCACAACAAUGCUAAAAACCACAGCUAGUUUCUAAUCUAAAAAAACUACAACUUAUUUGUCAUUACGGCAACCUGAGUGGCAGUACUAAACAAUAAAGGCAAAUGGAAUUGGUGUGCUACCGCUAUCAUUCUCCAUGAUCUUCAAUGGCGUGAAUAAUAGUACCAACAACAAGCAACGACAAUACUCAAUUCCAACAAAAUCCACCCAACAAAGGAAAAUGGUUCAUCAAAGUUUGAAAACCACAAAUUUGUUUUACUACACCACUGAGACUAUUCUUGAAACCUGGAAGUAGUUCCUACAUAUAAAACGAAAUCAAGAGUAGGCUCCAACUAAAAAAGGCUUCAACAACAGAGAAAGAAGUUCACUAUACAUACAGAUCAAAGUUAGAACUUUAGCCAACCUGUGGCUUCCUUGCAGUAAUAGAGCAAUCAUGAUCAAAAUGAUUCAAAUGGCCUUUGACAGCUGAGCACCCAUUUAAAGGCAGCAGUGGUUUCUUACGGGAUUUUGAAAGUUUUUGAGUUGUUUCUUCCAUGGGUGUUACAUUUUCAGUGGAAUUAUCCAGUUUCUCUCCUUCAGAAUUCGUACAUGAUGAAUACAUCCGCACAAUGUUAUAUACAUAUGACCACAUGUAGAUGGCUUCAAUCUGAAAUAUCAAUAAUAAUGAAAAAUCAAAAUAUUGAAAAAGAUCCCAAAUUAGUUUGCCUGAGAUGACUAAGGAACAUUCUUAAUAUGAUCCAUCCAAAUACACCAUAAAAAUUAUCCAAAACUAUUCAUAGAAGUAAAGCAAAGAAUUGAAUUGAGUUUAUUCUUAAUCCAUUUCAUUAAAAAAUACUGCUACUUCAGCAAGCAAACCAUUGGUUAAGAUUAUAAGGCAACAAAGGAACAUUUAUAACAUUUUUGCUCACCUAUCUUCAUUUGACUCAAAUAGAAAGAAGGAGAGCGAGAGAGGGAAAAGAACCUGCAGCACAGCAUCCUAAAACAAGGCCCCACAAAUCAUAAGGAGCUUUUGUAGUUUUUAGAACUAUCCAUCCAAGUGCUGAGCCAACGAUGAAUGUAACAAGGAUAUUUAACGGCAUAAACCACCUACAUAGUUUUAUUUUAUUUAUGAAAGCUACUUUCAAUGAAUUGACGGAAGAAAACGAGAAAACAUGGUAAGAAGACCAAAAGAAUAAUUAAAAAAAUAGAAGAAACUGCACAGGUUUCGUAAAGAAUGCAAACUCACAACAUGCCCAUGCCUUCAGCUGUCAUGUGCUCUGCAAGACUGCUACCAAUAAGUGCUGGAUUGCAGAAGUAAAACACAACCUGUACAACAUUAAAAGAACCAAAUCCUUUAACAGCUUGGCAGGCUUUAGUAAAUUUUUUUUUGAAGAAAAAAUAUAACAUCAUUUGAAUUUUUUUUACAGUUAAAUUGCAGUGAAAAUUACCUUGUUCAAAUGCUGGCGUACAAGUCCCCCAAUAUAUCUAUCCGAUCUAGUGCAAGAAAUAAGCCAAGAGCAGUAAGCAGAAGUACCUUUAAAACUGGUAUAAAUGCAGCAAUAAAGAGGUCCAGAAUCUUCAUAGUGGGGUCUUUAAGUCCUCAGAUUAUCUAUAGUACUUGCUGCAGAGGAAAAGGCAUGAUAUGCUACCACAUGAGCAAUAGCUUUUAUAGAAACAAGCCUAAAAUUACUUUAAAAAUCAAUUUAACAUUGUUCGUAAUAGCAAUUUUACCCAUUAAAAACCGAUCUUCAAGCAAGUUUGUAUUUUUCACCACAAAAAUUAAAUCUAGACAAAUGACCUAAAAUAAAAUUUUUCUAAAGCACAUUUCAUAUUUCAUUAAAUUACAAAAAAGGAUUGCGUAUGACUUGAGAGGAAAUUCUGAUUGAUUCACAGUUUUAGCAUAAUAAGAAUACAGAUCACAAAUUAAAAUCCCAGACAACAUACGUGCAAAAUCUUUUUCUUUUUCUUUAUUGGGAAAUUAUCAUUCGUAUACCCUAUAUUUGCUUUGUUAUAAAAAAUACUACAACACUUUGAGGGUGUAUCAAUCCUCCACCCUUAGUUGACAAAAUGUAUUAGCUGACCACCAAACCGUUAGUUGAUGUUUAAAAGUUAACGGAAUUACAAUGAAUUGACGAUUUUACCCUUGAAAAUUAUCACUUGUAUACCCUUAAAUUCUAUAUUUAUCACUUGUAUACCCUUAAAUUAUCACUUGUAUCAUAUGAAAAGACUAAAUUACCCUUCUGACAUCAUCAUACUUAAACGGCAACUAACAGUUUGGUGGUCAGCUGAUACAUUUUGUCAACUUAGGGUGGACGAUUGAUACACCCUCAAAGUGUUGUAGUAUUUUUGAUAAUUGAGUAAACUAAGGGUAUAUAAAUGAUAAUUUCUCUUCUUUAUUAAAAAAAAUACCAGCCAAAAGGAAAGAAAAGGAAAAAAAAAAAAAACAAAUAUAGUUAGGUGGAUAGAUAACGAGGAAGGAGUAAAUAAAUUAUUGCUUGGUUAGAUAUCAUCUCAUAGUAACGAAUGAAAAGCAGAGAUAAGAACAGAUGAACCUCGUCUCUCCACCAGUGGCUUGGGGUCUUGGGGCCCAUCACGCGUGGGAGAGGAUUUCAGUUGGAGGAAGAAGGCGGAGCAUCGGGUGGCAACCUGAAAAGCUGGUGGAGGUAAAGGGAGUGAAGGAGACGGGAGCCACCGACACCGAGAGCUAGAACCACGGAUCUGAGCUCUUGGGUAGCACACCCAAAGUUAGCGAAUUGGUGGAUGCAUGUCUACUCUCAAAGGCGCUCGUCUUGAGCCGUCUUGUGCCAUAUCUUGUUGACGCAGGCUGCCCGUGCCAAGGUCCCGCCGUCCGUGUGUUUCAACUUUCAACACCUCGAACAGGAAGUUCUCAUCUAGAUUUGUAAGGCCAGUUUCUUUGGGAGGCUGAGAGUUUCUGUUUUGUUAAGACUUAAGAGGCUGAGAUAGCAAGAUAAAAACAAAUAAGAUUAUAAUUAAAUUAAACGUGAGAAAUUACUUUUCUAGCAAAAGCUUAAUCCAACGCCUCCAUUACUUCUUUUUUAUGGAUAUAUUCUUUAAUUAUUUUUCGUUAUUUUACUUCCUGUUCAUCAAGUUUGCGAUGUUUACAACAAUUAUUCAUUUGAAAAGUUAUCCAAUAAUGUUAAUACGUGAAAAUUGAGAAUAUGUAUAGCGAAAAAAAUUUCUUCAAAAAUGAAUUAUAUAAUCUUGACUUUGGAAAAUGUGGCCAGAACUGCAAAAAUGAAGAUUAAUUAACCUUGGAUGACAAUGAUUAAUACCCGUCCAUUUCUCCUAAGCUCUGUUUCUUACUUUGAUGCGCACAUGACUUGACAGCUUCAUCUUCCUCUAGCUUCCUUUCGUGAAACGUACUAACAAUUAACAGUAGUCUACUAACAAAUUAAGAUAUAAUCCAAUAUCUUUAGUACAAAUUCAAAUAGUCUCAUUUUGACUUUGAGCAAGCUUUUUAAUUCCACACUCAGAAACAAAAUUUUGUGAAUUCACAUUAUUUAGCAAAAUAAUUAACAAAUUAAUUGUGAUUAUGGUUGACGAUCAUGUUGAUAAGCAUCAUAUACACUAUCGUUGCAUAUUUAGUGAAAUGAUGCAAGGACGAAGUAUCACUUGGCUGUAAGAAUUAGUUACCCAACAAUUUGUGGAGUUUGUUUUAGAUAAAAUAAAUAAAUAAAUAAUAGAGAGCAUAAUUAAGCCGACAUGGAUAGACUAACUUAAACAAUAUAUUGAACACAAUUAUUAUUUUUAUUAACUUCCUUUUUCAAGAAGACACUGUACACAAAAGUAAAUUAAAACAAAAAUCUCUUGUACAGUUCAAGAGAUUUUAUAAGUUGAACUGAGCCAAAUAAAGACAUUCACACAAUUGAUAGAUAAUGAUUGAAAAAAUAUUAUGCUCAAAAUAUUUUCUUUGUAUGUCAAAGAACGAGAGAGUUACAAGCUUAUAUACAACUAUUAAGGUCAGCCAAAUCUCUUAGAGUAAUGGCUAGACAGGCUGUCCUAUUUAUGACUACAUACAUUAAGGAAUGAAAUCAUUUGUACAUAAGGAAUAUUAAUAUUAUCAAGUGAUACUUGCUCAAAAUAAAGAUUGUGUCUAGAAUAAGGGAUUGCCGAUGCCAAAUCUUGCCGCUAAUAAUAUUCGGUGAGCUGUAGCUACUGAUUGUAUGGUUUAUCAAUGAUAACCCAUCAUUUUAUUUAAUUAAUAUAAUACGGAAAGAGUAACUCGCACUUAAGUAGUGUAGUUGAGAUUUCUUCCGUGUUGAGGGACAAUAAAGAGAUCCAGAUUGUCGCUCAUGCUCUCAUCAUUAACAAUACUUAUAAGAGAUAUUGGAUAACCCGCAGACCACUCGACCUUCCCUAAAAAUUCACAACAACAAUUGUAUUCAUUAAUACAUAUAUUAAAAUAAAAAUUAUAAAUGACAUUCAACUGAACAUGGCCUGAGAACCUGGAUAAGGAGCUUCCAUGUUCUUCAAAUUAGAAAAGAUAUCUUCUAACUUCUGGUGAACCGUAAUCGAAAUUGAAGUUGCUUUUGUUUCUGGUUUGAUAAUAUGAUGUUGAUGUAUUUAUAUACGAGUCUUCGUAUAGUAUAGUGCUGUAUGCAAUACAGCCCCUUCAACAGUAAAAAGGAAACUUGAACAACUAGUAUUUUACCAGUUGUACAUUUAAUAAAUUUUUAAAAAUUAUUUUUAAUGCAGAAAAAAUAAAAUAAAACUGAAAAAAUUAAGGAAAUUUUGUAAAUAUUUAACACAAACAAUAUUUGAGAGAGAAAAAUAUUUUUAAUUUCAACAAAAGUUAAAAAAAUUAAAAUAAGCAUGUCUCUACUCUUUUGUUUUAAUGUCAAUAUAUUAGGUGACAUUCCAAGUUAAUUUCACAUAUACCUAAUUUUGAUUAAACUUUUUCACUAAUUGGUUUGCUUAUCUCCACUUUCGGAUCCACUAGUUUUAUGUUUAAUAUUCCUACUAAACUCGUUAAAUAUUAAUAUUUUGGGUCAAAUUCCAAUUAAAUUUAUUUCUCGUUAGACAAGUAUCAAAAUUCCGUUAAACUUUCUCCACAUUUGGUUCAUGUGUUUCAACUAUUAUUCUACUAGUUUUUCAUUUAAUAUUUCAACUCGUUUAUCAACAUUCCAAUUAUAUGGGUUAGAUAUUGAUAUUACUUUUUUUGGUUUGAUCAGUUCUAAAUUUUGGUAAUGUUUUUCCAUCCAUAGGUUCACAUGUUUCAACUUAUUGGUCCACUAAUUUUACGUUUGAUAUUUCUACUAAAUUUGUCAAGUACCAAGAUUUAUUGUUAGCUAGCUUCCAAGUAAUUAACAUUAUUCGUUGGAUAAGUUUCAAGUUUUGGUUGUUCUUUCUCUCUUAAUGGUUCACGUGUUUCCUCUAAUUUUUUCCCUAAUUUUGCGUUGAAAAUUGCCAUUAAUUGGUUGAGAUUCCAAUUACUAAGGUUAGGUACUAGGUUUGUUUUCUAUAACUUUAUUUUUUAUUUUGUAGAUCUCUAAUUUUAGUUGUGCUUUCCCCAUUUUUGGUUGACGUAUUUCAAUUGUAAUUCCACAGGUUUUGUGUUCGUUAUUCCAACUAACUUGGUAAAAUUCUAAUUAUAUGGGUUAAAUAUCAAUAUCACUUUUGCUUGGUUUGAUUAGUCUCAAGUUUUGGUUAUACUUUUUUAUCUUUUGGUUCACAUGUUUCAACUUAUUGGUCCACUGGUUUUGCGUUUCAUAUUCCUAUAAAGUUCGUUAGGUACAGUAUUAUGGGUUAGAUUCCAAGUAAAUAUCAUUUUUCGUUAAAUGAGUUUCUAAUUUUCGUCAAACUUUUUCUCUUAAUGGUUCACGUGUUUCAUCUAAUUUUUUCCCUAAUUUUGUGUUGAAUAUUCCCAUUAGCUAGUUGAGAUUCCCAUUACUGAGGUUAGGUACCAAGUUUGUUUUCUAUAACUUUAUUUUUGGUUUUGUAGUUCUCUAAUUUUGGUUGUGCUUUCUCUAUUUUUUGUUGACGUAUUUCAAUUGUAAUUCCACAAGUUUUGUGUUCGUUAUUCCAACUAACUCCACAUGUUUUGCGUUCAUUAUUAGAAUAAAAGCAACAAGUUCUAUCAAAAUUUAAGAAUGAUUACUAGCGCUUUCAUGCUCGUGGAGGUGAGAAUGGGAGACGCUUGUUGUCUUAAGUGACUAUUCUUACCCCACUAAAUUUAUAAAUUUAAUCAUUCCUUCUCUAUAUGGUGUUUCCACUCCUAACAAUAAUUUUCUUAAUAUUAAAAUUGUCAAUAAUAAUAAUUACAAUUAUUAUAACAAAUAGUAAUAAUGAUAAUAAUUGAUUGAGGAUAAAUUAAUAAUUUAUAAUAACUCAUUCUAAUUUAUGUUCACAAAGUAAACAUAUUAAUAGCAAUAUAGAAUAUUCCAAUUGUGUUUCAUUCAUCCAACAAAUAUCAUAUUUUGUUUGUUAUUCUUCAUUUUUAUUGUAGCCCAUUCUAAUUUUUUUUUAAUUUUUGUAAAUUUCAAUUAUUUAUUAGUGAGCACAUAAAAAAUUUAAUAAAAAUUAAAUUUCACAUUAGAAAGAGCAUGCAAGGUAGACUUUUGUAGGGUUUGCAAAUCAUAUUGUAGGUAUUUGGAAGUUCACAAAAAGUAAAUAAUGUUAUGUACAGAAAUAAGUUCUUGUUUAUAACGUUUUGCUGUAUUUCAGUGACACUUUGUUAUAUAAGGUGUUGGAUGCUAGGAUUAAGUAUGGGAUUGAACUAAUUUUGGAAUUAAAUAUUUAUCCAAUGUUUGUCAAGCUUAGUUGGAUUGUAUUAAGGGGGUAGUAAUUUAAAUUUAAUUCUAAAAUCAUGGGAUUAAUAAUGGUAAUUUACGCAUGGGUUUAGUUGGGAUAAGAUUAAUGAAAAAAGUUGUCCAUUUAUGAGAUUUUUAUUUAUAUCAUUUUUUAUUUGCACCUAAUAUUAAUUAAUUUUUAUUAUGAUUUACUUAAAACUUAUUUAUAUUUAUUAUCUAUGAUCUAAUUAAAUUAAUAUAUUUACUUGUAUUAACUCCGGAGAUUAAAUGUUCACCACUAGUAUAUUUAGUAAUUUAUCGAUAAAAUUAAAUGUUUAAUUAUUUAUUUCGCAAACACACCAAUAUUACAUUAUUUCCCUAUUAUUGCCAUCGGUUCCCAAACAUCCAAGAGCUGGUUGGCAACAAGAGAAAAAAUAGGGGUGACUAAUAACGACGACUAUGUAAUCGUGGCCAAUAAAUUAUUUCACAGUACCUAAUUAUAGCAACGAUUAAAUGCAACCUGAAACAUGCUGUUGAAGUCAUAGUUAUGGAAAAUUUUACAAACUUCAAAUAAGACCAAAAAAUUACAAAGAGUAAUGUUAAAUAUCCCAAUUAAAAUUGUGCCACUAUUCAAUCACAAAUGUAGGAUAGGUGACUAUAAUUUUUCUAUAAGUAAUGCUUCGGUACUUUUAACAGUGUGAUGAGUAAACGUUAAUUUUUAUAUUUUAACUCAUGAUCGUUAAGAGAAAUUAAAUUUGGAGUGUGUUUUUCAAAUAAUGUGACACUUCAAAAAUAUAUAUCUCAUCCUUCUCCCCGUUCCUCAUCAAAAACCACUUUUUCCAAUUUUCUCCCACAGGAUGCAGGAAUGAAGAAUGCAUGGAAGGAGAAAUUACCUAUCCAAACAUCCAUACUUGGAAAUCAUCAACACAAACCACAAAAUUAAGCUAUCUUAUGAAAAAUGUCCAUAAUGCAUAAUCAAAACAUAACAAGUAUUGACAAAUUUGAAAACAAAAUACAUAAUAAUCAUAAUUUCUGGGCAUAAAACCAUGGGAUAAUCACUGAGGAGGUGGCGGAGAUGAAGAUGAGGAUGGCGGCGAAAUCCCGAGAGUCCGGCAGAUGAGCUGCUGGUCAUCUAGAAUCUGCUGCUGCUGUGAAAAAAGACGUUGCUGCUCAGAAUGGAAGUGAUAGUGGAACGCUGCAAACCGUGUCUGAAGCUCGUUCUGUUGUAUAGAUAUGGAACAAAUUAAAACUGUCCAUUUAUAUGGGUAAUGAGUAACUACCUUAUCUUUUUAAUAAUUAAAAGAAAAGUAUUCCUUUAAUUAUUGGUAGAAUUUAUUUUCCAAUUCACUAUAAAAAAUAAAUACUCCUAGGGUGAAGAAUAUAAGUAUAAAUUGAAAUACAAAUUUUUUUUCACUUAAAGUGUUUUCUCAAAUUUUUUUCCAUAAGAAACUCAAAAAUGUAUUAAUGAAUAAGUUGUAAAAUAGAAAGUGGACAAGCCGUCCACUUAAAAAACAAAGCCUAGCACUAUUUGUGCUAUACGAAAGUGUACCCAAUCACCCCUAAAGUAUUUUUCCAACUUUUUCUCGUAUUUUUUUAAAGAAUACUUAAUAGAUUAGAUAUUGUAAUAUAAAAAUUGAAGACAAACAAACAUGAAUGAUGUAUCAAUAAAUUAAUGGAGAUCUAUUACUAUAUUUGGAGUAAAAUUAUGAAUAAAUUAACAUAGAUAAUGAAUUUAUACCUUUACUCUAUAAUGCAAAUGGUAUUAUGUUUUUAAUUCAAUUUAGCACCGUACAAGAAAAGAUUACCUUAUCGCUUCCAAUCCCUCCUUUAGAUCUAAGCCACUUCAUGAACUUCUUGAUCCUUGAUUUGCUCCAGAAUGUGAUAGGAAGUAUAAUCCUAUAAGGCUGAAUGUUGUCAUAUGCAACAUUAUGGAGAUAAAAGAUCUGCAUGAGCAACUUAUAAUUAAGAAGAAUAAUAUUAUUCAUGGUAAGCAUAUGCUCAGCUUUAGUUGCAGAAACUAUGUCACCUGUAGGAAGUGCUAACAAAUUCCAAUGUAUGCUGCUUGUUGUUUCCACUAUUUCAUUGUCACCAGAAUGUGAGUUUGAAUUACCCAUCCUUUUAUCUCUCUUUUUGUACCUUGCCUUUUGUUCGGGAGGAAGGUCUUUGUAGGUUUUCCCAAUAUGUUUUUGUAACUGUCAAAAUGAUAAUGAAUAUGUCUUAAAACAUAAAAAACCCACAAAAUAAUAUCUAUACAUGCUACAUUUAAUGAAUAUAUACUAACCCCAAUCGUAACGGACAAAUCUAAAUUUUCACUUCUCAAACGCUUAACUUCUUCAUUGCUGCAAAAGCAUAACAUCUAAUUACUGUUAUUUGGUAUGGGCGUGUUUCUUUCCCGAUAGGUAAAUCACAACGACUACUUACAAGUAAGAGACAAAUCCAUAAGUUGAAGACAUUGGAAUUGCAUCCUGACCAUUUGCUUUUAGAAUAGGAGCACUUUUUUCUGUAAGCCCCCUGGUAGUUGUUUACGCUUUCGUCGGUGACUGUCCAAGAAAAAUUUUAAAUAAUUAAGUGAAGGAUAAUUAUUCCAUCAAUAUGUAUUAAUUUUUUUUUAAAAGAUGAGUUCCCCCACCUGCUAUUCAAAGUCACUGUGUACUCCUUACUUUUUAAUCUAUUAAACAUUCCAUAUAUGGUGGAAUUCAAGCACAAAUUAUAAUUUUAUUUUAUUUUUUUCCUCAUUUAUACCAAUGAAGAAAAAGAUGACAAGAAUAACAAAGGAAAGAUCUUUAUUUUUGCCCAAGACUAUGACCUCUCACAAACUCACAAUAAAUGAAUGACAGAGUGAAAAAAAAUUGUAUAUAAUAAAGGGAUGGGAUCAAGAGCUCUCAUUUCUUACUACAAAAUUUACGAAAUCUAAAUAUUUCAACAACAUAAAAUUUAAUGGAUAAUGAUCUUUGCUGCAUACAUUAAAAUCAUGACUAUUACCGUGCCCUCAACUUUGCGUCAUACAAACAAAUUUCAUCAUAAAACAAAGUACAGUGCUUUUUUUUUAAUAAAAAAAUACAUUAAAGGCUGCUGGGAAUGAGUAGGGGAUGAUGGGUUGUAACCAAGAUCAAAAUUAAUGCAUUGAAACCAAUAUGACAAAAUCCAUACUAUGAAUUAUUAUAAACACCUAAUAAAGGGUUAGUAUAUCAGAGGGAUUGAUACCUGGAAUGUACUUCAGCAAAACAGGACCCCUGAAAAUAAGAAAGAAAAGUUUUGCUCAACAUUCCAAAAAAAAAAGAAGGCCUGCUCUUUUUAAAAAAUUAUAUCGUUGUAACUUACACAAAAUUCCACUUAGCACAAUCGUAAGGACCAAUCGUAAGAUUAAGAUGAAGGCCUGCUUGCUGCACCAGCUUGAUAAACUUCAGCAGAUCAGAAUUCCCCUCCAAGUAAUACUAAAACUAAUUAAAACAAAAACAAAAAACAAAAAUAGCAAAACAUUUACUGAAGAACUUAUUUAAAAUAUUACCCUAGAUUUGAGACUACAAGCAAACAGUGCCUUCUGAUAAAAACAAAUUACAUGCCAUAAAUAAAAUUAUUACGAGCCCACCAAAGAAAUUGUCAGGGUUAUAGUGAUUACAAACCUUCCCUAACUUUAUUUAUCUUCACCAAUGAAAAUAGGUCAACAUUUAACAUUCUUUUACAACCAAGUACACCAAGUCUUACAAUUAAAGGUUUAAGGUUACAAAGCAUAGUUACUUAAGACUCUUAGCUUUAUCGUAAGGCACCUUAGACAAUUCUAUUACCACACAAAGACCUGGGCCUAUUUCUUAUAAACACGGCAAGAAUCACAUCCAAGGUCAAGCAAAUUCAACAACAAGGUCAUACGGCAUAUACCCAGCACAUACCCAACUCAUUGGCCGAUUUGAGGCACAAAACAAUAGAAUAUUAUCAUAAAACCACCACAAUAUCACUGGAUUCGAAUAUAAGAAUAAUAUAAAUAUAAUUGUUCAAUUCAAUCAUUACCCCAAAUCACGAAUACUAGCGAGACUAUAUUAAUUCAUGCCACUGGCAGCAGCACAUUCUUUAAUAAAAUCCUUCAAAUAUAAAAAAUCAGCUACAUGCGAAUCUAGAAUUUAAAAGGAAAUAUACAAUAAUUUUUUGGAGAGAAGAAAUCCCUUUCCACUUAUAUUGAAGAUAAUUCAAGAAAAUGACAGGCCCCAAUUCGCAGAUCAUCAAAACAAACCCCAUUACUUGCAGUUGCUUGAUGCUCGAUAACGUUACCUCUUUUUUUUUUUCAAUUUAUAAUUUUUUCCUUUUUGUGAAUAACAGAAUCUCAAGAUAAAAUAUUGCAGUAUGACUUAAUUGUAACUCUAUCGGUUCAAAAACAAAAAAUGACAAGCCCUAUCAAUUAUCAUUCAAUUAUCAAUCCCUAGAAAUCAUCUCAAUAUUUCAAGUAAUAAUUUCUCAAUUGCAAAAUCAAAUUAUUGAAACUGAAAUUUCAAGUAAUAUUCAUAAACUAAACUGAAACGUCCUGCAUAUUUAAAUGACAUGAUAAGAUUUUUAAUCAUAUAUUAAAUUAGAGAGAGAGAGCUCACCGAAAUUAUUGGAAGACAUAAGAGAGAGAUACAGCAAGAGUGAUAGAUUGAAGCUGACGAAUUGAAGCUAUGAGUGACGAACUGAAGCUGAGAGUGAUAGAUUGAAGCUGACGAAUUGAAGCGAGAGUAACAGAUCGAGUAAGCCUGAGUAAAUGGCACUCUUUCGACUACAUCUUUGCUCUUUGCUGUGAUGGGUGGUGAAUAUUCUUGAAUACCAAUUUCAUUGAUCCAAAAUUCUAGAUGUAGGAGAAAACAAUAGCAGAGAGAAUAUGAAGGCUGUUACUUUGAGGGAGAGAGAGGCAUCACAAUCCAACGGCUGUGAUUUUUUAGAUAAGUCAAGUGAUGACAUAAUGACUGGCAUAUCUGGUCGCCAAAAUGAGUAAUCAAACAUAUUAACCAUUGGAUGUUUCUACUUCUAUAUAACGGUUGCCCUUUCUUUUAAAGUUAUUGUUACGUUCGGAAAACGUGACCACACAAUCAAAUGUUCUUCUAUUGUCAAAAACAAUAAAUACAUGAGUUUCUUUUUUUAGGUUAUGUCAAUUCAGCAGUUAAGCAGUUAGUGGUUUGUUUACUUAUGAGACCGAAUAAUUAAAAUAUAAAACAAAAAUGAUUAAUAACGUUUACUUGUUAAAAUAUAAGAGAAAUAAAAAUGAAAUAUAUAAAUUCACAUACUAUUUAAAUUAAAGAAUAAUAAUAGAGUCAUAACUUUUUUUCCAGUCAUCACUUUAUUUAAAAAAGAGUUGAACUAUAGGCACUCCUCUGAAAUUCUUAAAAAAAACCCUCUCAUGUUAUAAUUACAUUAAAGGAUAAAUUAAUCUAAUUAUACCGCUAUAUUUGUCUCGCUAAAUCUUUACAUCCACACAACUAUAUCAAAGUGUUUUACAUUUUUUUUUGUUUUCUUUUGCAUUCUAUUUUUUUAAUUUAAAAAAAUUACAUAAUAGCUAUUUGAGUCACUUCUUAAUUCAUACAUAUACAAGAAAUUUAAUAAUUCAAAAAUUUGUAUAAAAAAAAAUUUAGUUGGAGUUGUUUGGAAGAAACUAAAUUUUCUUUUGAAAUCAGAAAGAAACAGAAAAAAAAAAACAAAACAAAAAAAAGAAGACAUUUUGGGAAUUAAAGUAGGUAGAAAAGCAGCUUGAAACGUAAAUUACAAGGGUGCUAAUAGUCUUACUCUUUGAAAAAUGCGGCCUGAACUGACAAAAUGCCGACCUAACCAAUUUUUUAUGACGAUGAUUAAUACUUGUUCGUUUCUCCUUAGCUCUGUUUCUUACAUUGAUGCAUACAUGACUUAAAAGCUUCAUCUUCCUCUAGCUUCCUUUCGUGAAAUCCAAUAUCUUCUGUAGAAAUUCGAAUAAUCUCAUUUUGACUUUGAGUAAGCUUUUCAGUUCAAUUAUCUUGCUGUAGUUUAUUUUUGUAUUUGCACAAAAUAAUGCAGUCAGAACAAAAUAAUUAUGUAACCCGAAGCAAUUCCUUCCAUCUCUACGAUAUUAACAAAAGCCAAAAUUUUCAACCAUAAUUACAAUUAAUUUGCUACUUAAACAACGUGAAGUUACAAAAUUUUGGUUUCUAAAUGCGGAGCUAAAAACCUCUAGCAUCAAUAUAUUGGGAAUUGCGCCCUCAUCGUCUUAAGAUUAUUUGUUAAUAAUUAUGUAGAAAGGAAAAAAGAUGGAUGAUUUCAAUUUCCACCAAUCGAUAUGCAUGCACGAGUCUGAACUGAGACUGAGAAGACUAUUAGUACAGUGACGGAGGAAAAUAAUCUACUGAAGCACCGAGUUGCCCAUUUGGAUUUUUCGGAGAAGGUUGAUCUUUAAAGUUCAUUGUUUAUUCAACCAACCACAAAAAAAUUUAUUAUUUAUUCAACCAAUCAUAAACAAUCUUUUGUAUAUUAAAUUUUUUUUUAAAAGUUCCAGAUGAAAUGAUAUUUUGAAUAUUAUCUGCAAUAUUCACGUGAUUGGUACCACAUUUUUUAUUUUCUUAUUAACAAAAUUAUUUAUUUCGUAGGGACCGUAUUCACGCUUCCAAGUUUCUCAUACAUAUGCAAUUUAACCAUUGCGGUUGAUUAGCAUUUGAGUUUUGACAUGGGAAGCGGUAGGGAUGGGAAUAAAAUCCGGAUCCGCAUGUUAAAUAAUGCAGAUUUACAUGUAAGAAAUUAAAAUCUGCACGGAUCCGAAUCCAAAUUUAAAUAUAAGUGCAUUCAAAAAAUCAGAUAUUCUGCUAAUUUUUAUAUUAAAUUAAAAAAAUAUAUAUUAACUUUAACUUAAAAACAAAUUUAACCCAACUCUCACAUUCACACGCGCUCACAACACUUUUCCAGCAGCCACAACCCACAAACCCCUAACACCCAAAUCCCCCUAAUUCCGUAGGAUGUCGCCGUCUGCCUCACGGCCUCGCCUAAGCCUUGUGUCCAAGCCUCGAUCUAAGUCGGUCGCUGUCGUUGCGCGCUGCACGCCUCGAUCUGAGUCGGUCGCUGCCGCUGCACGCUGCACGCCUCGAUCUGAGUAAGUUGCUGCCGCUACACGCUCGAUCUGAGUCAGUUGCUGUCGAAUCCUCGCCAUCGAAGAAGCCUCUCGCUGUCGAAUCCUCGCCCUCGGAGAAGCCUCGUCUAAGCACUUUAAUUAAAAUGGUCUUGGCAAGCCUUGUUGAAUCCUUUGGCCUUUGUUGAUUCAAUUUAGUUUAAUUUUGAAUAAAUUUCUUUGCUGAUUCGUUUCAUCACUUUAAUUAAAUGCAUUAAUUUUCAAUAUAAUGUAAAUGUUUAAUAGGUUUUGGGAUUAGGUUUUAAUUUGGAAAAUUGUUGAAUUUUUAAAUUAAAAAUUUAAAUGAAAUCUUGGUGAAACCUGUUGUCAUCUGCCGGUUAACAUAGCUAGUCUCUGAAAUAAUUUCUUGAUUCACUAAUUAUGAGUUCAAAUUUGAUGCAGAAUGGGCAACCAGCCUACUGCAAACAAAUCUUCUGGAACAGUUCAGAUGAAGGGACAGCCAAUCCAGCAAAACAGUUAUAAACAACUCUAAAUAAAUUCAUAUACGCAUAGCAGCUAAUUACAGUCUUGAUACUUCAUUAGGUUUUUGUUAAUUUUCUAUACAGUUGUGCUGUGCAUUAAAGUUUUGUUAAAUGAAAUCGGUAGGUGAGGAUUAAUUAAUCAAUUAAUUAAGAUCCAGUUAAUGUAAUUAAUUUUAUUUGAUUUUUUUAAUUCGAGUUCUAAAUUAAUCAAUUAAUUUAGAUUCAUGUGAAAUUGAAGUGAAUUAGUUUCGAUCUGUUUUUCGUCCUAUGUUUGUCUGUGUUUACUCUUACUUUUUUUUUGUUUAAAUUUUCGUUUUCUUAUUGUUUACUGAAUAAAUUUCUGAGCUGUAUUUGAGUAUGAUUGAUUUGUGAUUUUAAUUUGUGACUUUUUUUUUUGGAAUUUAAAUCUGAAUGCUUUUUAAGUUGAAUCUGAUUGUGUUGGGCUGCGAUUUAAUUGAGUGAUGAGGGAGCGCCAAAUUGUGAGAGCCAAAUAUUCAAUAACCGAUAAAUUAUAUUUAUAAAUAUUAAUAGCGAUGGCACAUAAACAAUUAAUUCAAGAACUUGCCCAUAGUGAUUAAUUUAAAGAGUAUAAGUAACAUUGCAGUACAGUUAGCCCUUGCGUGUUUAAUUAGCAAUUGAAAACUAAUGUUGCUGAUGAGGUAGAACAUUAUAACACUGUUGCUGAUGAGGCAGCUGGUAAUUCUUCUGGUGAAGAUAUUAAGACUAUUAAAGCUGAAAUGUAAUUAGAGAAAUAUAAUGCAUUCCCUUAGUUUGCUUUUUGUUUUUGAUAUUUGUUUGGCUAAUGCUUUGCUUAGAUUACUUUUUGUUUUUGAGAUUUUAUUGGCUUAGUCAUGGGGUAUUGUUUUCUCUUCUAAUUUCUAUUUUUGUUGUUAUGGGAUUUUAUUGGCUUACUUUUUGUUUUUGAGAUUUAUCCAGUGCUUUCAAUAAAUCAUGGUCGAUUUACUGUUAAUUAAUCAAAUUUAAUUUACCCAAAUUACUCAUGUACACGAUCAAAAUAAUUAUAAUUCCAUGAUAUAUAUACACGCGCGCACACAAACAAAAUGUAAUUAACUUUGAAAUAUAAAAUAUUUAAAAUAAUCACCGUACUAACAAUUCACAAAUCAGAUUUUAUAUAAAUAGACGCAAUAAUGUUAAUCUAGCGAAUCCAGUCAUAAUAAUUUGAUUUUCAUUUAUAUUAAUUAUGUCAAACCAUGCUAUUUUAAUAAAUAGCACUUGAGAAUAUAUAUAUCCAACAUGUAAAAUUUCAAAACAAUAUUUGCCAAAAUCUGAUGAAGAGAAUAUACACGCACGCACAUAUAUAAUCGUACAGCAGAAGGAUAAAUAAAAGAAAAUGAAGUUUCAACAGUUGAAUAAUGCAAAUUCAUUUUUUUUUAACAAGCAUUUUAUUGUUUAAUUAAAAAAUUCGAAAACCGAUUGGUCUUAUAUACAUGAUAAAAACUCACCGACGCCGAACCAUAUUCAUUUAAAUUAGUUUUCAACUGAGAUUUGAAUUUUAAAAUUAUAUAAACAAGCACGCCCAAUUUUUUUUUUUAAAAAGUAGUAAUUAUAAAAUAUUUAUGUCGUCCUCUAAAAAACCAAUUUACAAUCUAUAAAACCAAUUUACAAUCUAUUUCAACAUAAGGUAUAUGGGUUAACAAGUCCCAAUAUUGUCCUCCAUCCUUUCUGCACUUCUCUUCUAUCAACCGACAUCUCCAGAUGUCUAAUUGCAAAAGUGAGGAAGGCAGGCCCUUCUCCGGAAAGUAUUUGAGCUUGGGACAUUCCCAGAGAUACAAUUCAGUGAGGUUUUGAAGAUCAACAAUUGAAGAAGAUAGGCGUUCCAGAUUUGGAAAUUUAUAAAUGCUCAGAGAUGUUAGAGAGGCAGGAAGAGGAAGCGCGGUCCCUAAUCUUUUGUCCUCUAGUGGAAAUGACGCCAUGUCGUCAUCGCAUCCUCUGAUUUCAAGACGUCGCAGAGAGGAGAAUCUGUGAAAUCCCCGUCCCCGCUCAAUCAUUGACUUCCAAAUCUCCAUAUUACCCCAAAUAUCAAGUGACUGAAGGUUGGUGGGGAGGCCAUCUUCUUCUUCAAGGCUUGGAAGCGCACCUCCUUUUCCUAUUGUUAAUUCUUGAAGAGAGCUCAGAUUGUGCAUUCCCUUGGGUAAGGCCUCUAGUCUCUUACAAUUAGAUAUCGCCAGCCUCCUGAGUUUCGCACAAGGCAAUCCCCCUUCGGGAAAGGACACCAGAUUUUUACAACUAUCUAUGCUGAUUGUUUCAAGAGAUGUGUUGUUGUCCAACCUUUCUGCUAUUGACUUCAACUUUGAACAACUCCAAACAACGAGGGACUUAAGAGACGAAGGUGGAUUGCCAACUUCAAGGGACUCAAGCGUGGCAGGUAACUCGUUUUUUGAAAAUAUACAUGUCAGAGAUGGACAACUAAUAAUUUCUAAGUGCUCGAGAAGAGAUGAGGUGUACCUUCUGCUGCUGCUGCUACACUGGAUGCCCUCUUCCACUGUCAAAGUCCUUAUAUUAUCACAAUCUCUGAUGCUCAACUUCUUAAGGCUCGGUGGCAGCUGGACAGCAGCAACAUAUGUCAACGAAUGGCAAUUCAGAAUAUUCAAGAUCUCGAGAGACGAAUUGGUGUCGCACAUCCAUGCCUCUGGUAACGAUUUCAGUGCACCACAAUACCUAAUCUCAAUUUCCUUCAACUUGGAAGGCAGAGCAACCUCAGGAAAGGAAACAAGGGAACUGCACUUCCAGAUUUCUAUCUCUCUCAAGGAACUGAGGCUGAACGAUGAUUGUGGCAGCUUCACAAGGCCUUCGCAAUUACUCAAUCUUAGAUAUUCAAGUCUGCAUGACAACUCGCAGAGCUGCUGUUGUUGGUCUUUCUUUUCCUCCGCCACCAAGGAUUGAAGUUUGGGACAGCUUGUAAUCGUCAGUCUUUUGAGAGAGCAAAUGUCUUGCAGUAAUUCGUUAUGACUCUUCCAUAUAUGUGUUUCAUUUUUAAUAUUUUUUAUCUCCAAUUCUUCCAGUUUUGGUAUUCGCGGCUUCAAUGGCCCUGCGAGAAACACUUGAUUUGAUGUAUCUCUACAAACCACUGCAUUCUGUGAGCCGAGAUGAUCAAUUGCACUUCUCCACACAACCUUUUUACAUCCACGAAUUACCAAUUUGCAAAGAGCUGGAAGACUCCUAAUUGAAAUUGACAAUUCUUCGCAUUGUUCAAUAACAAGCAUCUCCAAUGCAGGAAGCUGCUCUGGAAAUGUUCCUUGCAGUUUAGAACAUCUUAAAAUGUGAAGCUCUCUCAAUUUAGGAAACCCUUCAACUCCCUGACUGGAUCCAUGAGGAAACCACUCUUCCCACUCUUGCAGGUCUUCAAAAUGAAGAGUCUCCAAGCAUGUAAAUGGAAUUUGAGAGUCAUCCCCAUAGAACUCUGAACCCAAUCUCUUUACUCUACUCAUUCCACGCACUGUAAGAUGCUUCAGAGAGGGCAGUUGGCCGACUGACGGCAGGGCAGUACACAUGCCGCAAUCUUCAAAUUUAAGUGUUACUAAAUUUAAGAAUGAGGAAUCUCCUAACCAUGUUGGAAAUUUUGUACCUCCAUAGCCACAGAUGCCAAAUUGUUCCAGAUUUUUAUGGGGUUUGAGCAUGUCAAGCACACCCAUUUCAGUUUCUGCCUCCCUUGAAGAUGAACCAUCGGUGCUGCAAGUCCAAUUAAGCGAUAAUUCUCUAAGAUUCUUCUUUCCAUCCAACCGAGCCUCCUUUGCAUCACCAAUGUCUUUUACAUUCUCUAAUUUUGAAAUUUUAAGUGUCCCCUGAAGAUGUAUCAAUGACUUUAGCUCUCGUAACCCAGAACCAUUGUCUUUUCCCACAGCAAAAUUACCCAGCGUUUGAAGACAAGUCAGCUUACCAAUUCCUAGUGGCAUUUCCUCCAAGGAAUCUGUAUUUGAAUUAUUGAGAUGAUGCAAUUUGAUGAGAUUUCCCAUGUCUGCACACAACUUCUUCAGUCGUCGACAGCCCUCCAAAAGAAGGGUGUGCAAGUUGUAAAGCUUGCUGACUGAUUCAGGCAGAGUUUUAAUCUCAGUUCCAGACAGGUUAAGGUGCCUUAAAUACCUCAAAUCACCAACUGAAUCCGGCAGCUCGGCGAUGCAAUAUCCACGCAGAGAGAAGACCCUUAAGCUUUGGAGUUUGAACAACUUAGGAAGAAUGCUAUGAGCCAAGUAUCCAUGCCGACUAUUUAACAUCACUGGUAAAAAAGUUCUCAAAUGUUGGAUAUCAUACAAUUUCUCAAACCUUUGAACGCCAUCAUAAUCUCCACGAAUGUACGACAGAUAACGAAGAUUUCUAGAAAAACAUUGUUGCUUGUUAACCUCCGAGGUAUACUCCAGUGUGAAGUAUGUCUCCCCUGCAGCCCAACGGGCAAGGUCGUUGAUAAGAUCGUGCAUAACAAAUCGUGAUAUACUGUUGCUCGAUUGCUGGAAAAAAGAUCUUCCACGUAGCUCUUGAAAGAACUUUCGACCGAGAUCUUCACUAGGAUUCCCACUCUCUCCGUGAUUCAAGAAACCCACAGCACUCCAUAAUAAAAUUAUCUCCCCCUCUUCAAAUUCAUAAUCCUUUGGAAACAAUGAGCAAUACGCAAAGCAUUGUUUCAAAGGUGCCGAAAGAUAAUAGUAGCUCACUCUAAGCGCCGGCAUAAUGUCACAUCUCUCUUCUUGCAAUUCCCAUAUCUUGGUACUGAGCACUCUCUCCCAAUCACAUCUGUCAUCUUUUCCUCGCAAAAGUCCUCCAAGUGUUUGCGCUGCCAAGGGCAAGCCAUCGCAUUUGGCCACUAUCUUCUUGCCAAUUUCCUCCAAUAACUUAUCUGACCCCAAAGAGUGUUGAGCGAACACAGACAGACAAUCAUCAUUUGACAACUUUUUCAAUUGAUAAGCCCGAACAGUCCCCAUGAUGGCUGCAACCUCUUGAUUACGAGCUGUGACAAUAAUCUUACUUCCCGGUGCGCCAGCUUCAAAUGGAGGUCUGAGUCGAUCCCAAUCAUUGUAAUUCUCAUUCCAAACGUCAUCUAAAACAAGCAAAAAUUUUUUUCCAGAUAACUUCUUCUUCAGCUCCUCUUGAAGCUUAUUCAAGUUGUGAUUAUCCACGUUCUGGUCAGGAACAAUGGAUAUCAAGAUUGUUUUUGUUAGCCUGAAAACAUCGAAAUCAUCAGAGACACAAGUCCAUGCCUUGAGAUCAAAAUGAUCCUGCACUUGCUUAUCAUUGUAGACAAGCUGAGCAAGAGUGGUUUUGCCCAGCCCGCCCAUACCUAUGAUAGGAAUAACAGAGAAUUCACCAUCGUUGCUUAAAUCAUCCCUCAAAAGCAGUUCUACAACAUCCUUCUUUUCUGUUUCUCUGCCAUAUGCUUUGGCUUCCUUCACCAAAGAAGUUGUCUCUCGCCUUUGCCUGUCUUUUAUGGUCCUCCCACCUGAACUUACGUUCAAACCCAGCGAAUCCUUCUGAGUUACAAUUUCUUGAAAUCUGCCGUUGAUCUCUUUGAUUUUGGACAUUAUGGCGUAAUCGAACUGAAUCGAUUGUGGAGCAAAAGUGGUGCAGCAAGUGGGAAUGAGCUUCCGAAACUUACUUGUUCUUGUACGACUGCUACUGGGUUGAUCAAGAGCAGCAGCAGGUUCUCCAUUUCCAAGCAGCAACUUCCUCCGGAAAACCUCAGUUUGAAACUCAUCCAACAGGUCCUCAACAUCAUAAGCCAAGUUCUGAAGCUCGCCAAGCCACAACUUCACAGACUGAUCAGUCGUUUUCUUCUCCUCAGCAUCAGCAAGCACCGCCUUGAUCAUCACCAACAUAUUCUUCCACUUCUUUAGGUCGGCCUGGAUUUGCUCUUGGCGUGCAAACAACCGAAUCCCCUCUGAAGCUAACUUAUUGACCAGCAAAUCAACGGAAGCCGUAAGGAUUGCCUCUCCGAUGAUUGACAUUUUUUUUUUGUUUUUGUUUUGCAAAGAAAGAAACAGAAUUUUGAGUUUUGAAAAGCAAAAUGAGAAAAUUGAACAGUAAGUGUGGAGGGUCAAGCAAAAUGCGCGUAACAAGUCUUCCGCUUGUUGUUUAUUCCAGUAAAGCUAGAAUAAAAACAGAGCCCACCACCCAUUAAUAAUAAUUGAGCAAUUCACCAACCACCAAUCACCAGUCACCACUACUCGUUACCAUGAAUAUAAUAAAUUGCAACUUGAUAUUUGCAGGGUCCAGCAACAUUGACCCAGUGUCCGGGUAAAUGCUGAUAAAUCAAAACGUUUAUCUCUCUCUCUCUUUUCCAUAAAAUUACUUUAUUUAUUGAAUUAAUUUCCAUGCUAAAACGAAGACUUAAAAGUGCACUACAAUUUUUUAUAAUCACAAUGAUAAUUCUUACUAUCAUGUUAUCUUAAUGUCGUGUCAAAAUAAAUUAUAACAAAGUUUUUUCUAUAUGAAUACUCUUUUCAUUUAUAAAUUUUUCAGUUUUUAAUAUUUUUCUCACUCUUUUAGUCUUAAUAUUUGUAUUCCUCUCUUCAAACUUUCUUAAUUAUUUAAUUUUUAAAGAAAAAUCUAAAAAAAAGUAAGAAAAACAUUAUACUUAGAAAAUAAUGAAUAUUUUAUGGGUAUAAUACAAUUUUGUCUCACCUAUAAAUUUGUUGUUUAGCAAUUAGUUUGAGAAUUUUAAAAAAUUAUUUACAGUAGGAUAAAUUUUUAUUUAAUUUAUUUUUUCACAAUAUUGUAUCUUAAUUAAUUAAGUUGUUAUGUUUAUUACAAAAAUUUUGUUUUGGCUUAGAGGAUUACUUCUUAAAUUCAAAUUAUUUUAAUGAUAAUAAAAGAUAUUUAUAUUGUGUAAACAAAAUAAAAUUGAAGAGAGAAAGAAAAUAUAAAUGACUUAAUUCUAUUUAUAUUUGUCCUUAAAAUGUAAUUGUAAUAGAAUAAGGGUUUUAUAAGAUUAAUGAAGGGAUACCGAUAGUCCUACUCUUAUGGAAAAUGGCAGUAAAAAUGGAAUGUAUCCACUACAAACCUUCGCUUUACAAGUCUUCAAUCAAACAUGUAUUGAUUUGUAAAAGGAUCACUAGCAUCCGAUUAUUGGGAGGUAUUAUGGAGAAGUCACGCUUAGUAUUUACAAUUCAUGUAAGAUGAAUUUGUAAGACUUAUUAAUUUCGAUGAAAAUAUAGAUUUAUUAAGUUACUAAUUCAUUAAGUUAACAUGAGAUAUUAAUAUUUACUAAUUGUGGCGAUUAAUUUAUUUAACUUGUCAUGAUUUUCAAUUAAGAAGGAAGUUCAGUCAAUUUAUGGAAAGAAGGAUAAUUUUUUUUUUCAGAAUUUUAAUUUCUAGGAUUUUAUUUCACUUUGUUUCGAUUGUUGAUGUUGCUAAAGAGGCAGUGAAAGUUUGCUGAAUGCCAUCAGAUGCUUGUAUCUUAUCUCACAAAAUGUCAAUAUCGGUUUGUUUCCCUAUAGGCGCAGCCAUCAUGAAUUGAAAGUAACAACGUGAUGAGCAUAUAACAUAUACAUAUUUUACCAUUAAUUAUAUAAUUGUUAGUUAUUUUUAUUUGUUAUUUUUAAUUAAUUAAAUUAUUUUGUUGAAUAAAAAAUUAAUUAGAGAUUCUAGAUAAAAAGGGCAUGAAGAAGUUUAAUUUGGGAAGCAAAAAAAAAUAAAUUGAAAGAUAAAAAUACAGACAAGGAUUAAUGGAAUCCAAGCCGAAAAAAUCAAAGCACAAGGAUUUUCUUAAUGUCAUUAUUUAGGCAAGGGUUUUGAUGCAGCGGAAGUUUAAGAGAAUCAAAUCUGAAGAAUUUAUUAAGAGAAUCAAAUUGGAAGUUUUGAUGCAGCAAAAAAAAACUGAAGUUUGAAUUUCACUCACAUAGGUAAUAAGAGAAUUAAAUUAUUGUUAGAUUAAAUUGAUUAAAAAAAAUUAUCUGAUAUCCAAAACAGCAUAUCAACAAAAUUGAAAUAAAAGAAAAUUGAAGAGAAAAACCAUCGAGAGAACGAAAAUUAACACACGAAAAUUUCGAUAACUUCACUUAUUAAAACUUGGUUAUUUCAUUUUCAUUGAUAAUCAUUUUGACACCGGUCAAAUUUAAAAGUUUAAAUAAUGGGGGCGCUAUUUCUUUCCAGCUAUGCCCAUCGACUAAUUAAAAUACCGCCGAAACAGUUCAGGGAUAGUAUAGUAAUUUCAUUUAACAGUUUUCGUGCUUCAAAUCAUCAAAUCAAACUCACGGUUUCCGACUUGUAAUGGGUGCAACUCAUGUUUUUCAAACAUUAAGAUCUUUUGCCAUUCUGUUACUAUCCCAUGGUUAUUUAAGUUACAAGAGACAGUAAAAAACAUCAUCAUAUUUUAACGUCCUUUGAAUAUUUGAAGAGGUUAAAAUUUAGGCAGUGUUAUAUAAAAUAUAAUGUAAAUUAGUCUCAGUAAUUGUGUAGUUGUAUGUGAGAAAACAUACAAUGUAAAAGUGUGUGUGAGAAAACAAAAAAUAUGAAUCACCUUUGAUGUAGUUGUAUGGUUGUAAAGAAUUAGAUGGAGAAAUAUAGUAUAUAAUUAAAUUUAUUUUGUUCUUUAAAACGGAUAGGUUUUAUGCAAAUUUUUCAGAGGAGUGCCAAUAUUUCAACUCUAUCAUUGCUAUUAGUUUGUCUUGUAAUUCAAUCAUUGCCGACAAGUAUUAAUUGUGACUAUUAUUAUUUUAAAAAUAUUAUUAUUAUUAUCGUCGUUAUUCUUAACAGCAAUGACUAGAAUUAUAAUAAUAACAAUAACGUCAAUACAAUAAUAUAACAACAUAAUAAUAUUUUAAUUGGGGUCUUCCACCUGGGUAUGCAUGAUUCCUUGUGACAUGAUAUAGGGUGCGUUUGGGAUUGAGGUUAGGCAGCUGUAGCUUAAAAGCUACAGCACUAAAGUGUUUGAUAAACACUAACUGCUGUAGCUUUUAAGCUAUAUUGAUAUGAUUUUUCACUUGUAUAAUACAAAAUCUAUUAUAUCUUUAAAAAUUUUAUCAAAAUUAUUAUUUAAAAUUUAUAUUUACUAUAUAUUAUUAAAUUUUGUUUCAUAAUUACAGUUUUUUUUUCACAGCAGCUGUAGCUUAAAAGCUACAACACCUCAAUCCCAAACGCACCCAUAGAGCCAAUUAAAUUCUGAAAUGCGUGCAAUAAAGACUGUAAAGUGACCAGUUAUUCCGGUUGAAUUCACAAGAGCUCUUGUUUGUGUGUUUAUGUUUCAAGUUGUGUACUCUGUGUUACGAGUUCUCUAAUUAGUCUGAUAUUAUCGCAAUUAUUGCUCAAUAAUGUUACAAGUAUUAUAAUAUAUGUCACUAGUACGGUCGUUGUCUCGAGUGGUACACAUUAAGGCACAAAUUUAGAACGAAAAGCUUCCCAGUAAAAUAAGUUAUUUAAUUAAUUAAAUAAGAAUAAAAUGAAUUUGUGAAAGAAAUUUAAAUUUUAUUUUGAAUUAUUUUGACCAAAAUUUAAGUUUUUUUUUUUUAAAUUUGUUUAAGAAAAUGCAUUGUAAUUGUCUUGUUUUAAUUGGAAAAUCAAUAAAAAAAAUUAUGUAACAGAAAAAAAAAAAAAAAAAAGCAAAACGGUUUGUUUUGGAUGGAGUCCAUAGAUUCCAAUAUUUCCUUCACGAAAACUACAAAAAAUUAUCAAAGCCAUCAAUUUCUACACUCUCACCGAGCAAAUACUCUCAACCUAGAUGAAAGUGUAUAAAUCAACCCCAAUCAGUCCAUCAAUGUCGUCAACCUCAUACAGCAUAAAAAAAUCUGUGUCCAUUAAACCGCCAUCUUGCCAUCUCGUUGUAGUAUUUUACUGUUCAAAUCUAGUUAUCAAUUGGGCAAAAUGGGGACCAAUCUGCAAGUCUUUAAAAUAGAAAGAAACUUUAAUUGAGCACUAUGUUCACGGUGGUGGACCCGGCGGCAGUAAUCUUUAGGGUGGAGUUAUUUAUAUUUUAAAAAUUAUUUUAAACACUCUAAUUUUAAUAAGAAUAUGUAUUACAAAAAUAUUUAUCAUAUAAGUUACUAUUAAGAAUAAUAUAAUAUAUUAUAAGUCAACAUUAUAUAAUUAUUGUGAACACUUGUAUAGCACAAUCCUUAUUUAUUUUAUUAUUCUCAUGACUUAAAUAUAAAAAUUUUUAUUUCCAACAUCUUAAUUAAUAUGUAGAUGAAUAAUAAGGAAAUUAACUUUGAGAAAAAAUUAAAUACAAAAUAUGUGUAAUACUUUUAAAAAAUAAAAUAAAACAAAAGUAUUGCACAAGAUUUUUUUUUGGGAGGGAUUUUGCCAUUCUUCUUCUUCUUCUUCUCCUUCUCUCUCUCUCUCUCUCUCUCUCUCUCUCUCUCUCUCUCUCUCUUUUGGUAGUAUUUAUGGAACAUUUUCUCUUGUUAUGUUCUCAUUGCAAGUUAUUUUGGGUGCAAAAGUCAAUAUUAAAAAUAAAUUAAAUAAAAAAUUAGUAACUAAAAUUAUGUUAAAUUAUUUUUUUACAACUUAAUUUUUAAUUAUAUUUUGUGAGUAUAUGCUAAAUCUCUUAAAAAUAGAGUGUUGAAUAAUUUUAUUAGUUUUUUUAAAUAAAUGAAGCUAAGUAACUUAAAAAGUUUAGUAAGGAUAUUUUUGAAUUUUAAAUAAUGUACAAAGUAAAAUUUAAUUUUUUUAUAAUUAAGCUACGAGCGUGCAAAGUAAUAUUUAGAGUGCUAAUAGUCCUACCCUAAUCUUUAUCAUCACAUUAUUUUCCAUAAAAAGUUUACAAUUAUCUCUUUAUUGGAUAAUUUUGUUCCCUCUCUUACCGUUAUGUUCCCCUACAUUCUCAUAUCUGCAUCACCAUUUAAAUUGUAAUCAUAACGUUAAUCUUUAUCAUUUCACAUAUUUUGCCAAAUUUAUACGCACUGCAAAGCUCUUUCCUUUUUUUUUUUUUUCCCGUUAAGUUUGCUAUAAUGUACAUGAAGAAUAGUUAAAGAGCUCUUUCGAGUCCUUAUCCUUUCUUUCGAGUUUACUUUUGCUUUUUUUUUUUUUUAACGUUUCUCUGGAAUUCACUUCAACAUCACUGGCGCGUUUUCUUCUUUCUCACUGCAACAUCAACUGGGCCACCACCUCUUGCCUCUCCCGGUUCCCCUCAAUUUUCGUAUUCAAUGUCCACCGUUGAUUGUACAUUUAUUAAAAUUCUGUGGUUAUUAUUUUUUGCAUAUAUUUAAUUCCACACGGUCUAGAUCGUAGUUGUGUCCUUUUAAUUGAGGAUGAGAAUGAAAUUAUGAAAUUUAAGUUGGGUAAAAAUGGUGAGUAUGAGGAAAUUAAAUUACAAUUCUUUAAGAUAAAUAAUUUGUAAAUCCCACAUAUUUCAUUUUUAUUUCUCUAGUUAAAUUAUAUUUUAAUAAAUAAAUAUAAUCAAUUAUUUUAAUAUUUUAAUUAAUAAACACGACAUUAACUACGGAACUAAAAAAUCCAAAAAAAAAAAAACAGAGGCGUGUGUGUAUUGCUUGUGACAAAUGUCACCCAUGGAAAACCUUGUGAAAGGCAUUUGAAUGUGUGGCCACAUUUAAUGAACGAAACGAUAACUUUAAAAGAAAGUAUGUACUGUGUUAAUUAUUAGGCUUUAGCUUAAUGAUUUCAAUUAGUUUGUCUUUUAAUUAAAUUAUUGCCGACAAACACUAUCACGACCCACGUCCGCUACUUGUGUGAAUGUGUGUAUAAAUAUCCGCAGCAUAUUAUCAAACUUGAUGCGUGAUCAUCUUUAAGUUUUGGUUACGGUUCAUCAGACGUUAGAAGACAUCUUUUUUAAUUUGAAGAAGAUGGAAACUCCGCAGGUUCUUAUGCCAUGUUCAAUUGAAUGUCAUUUAUAAUUUUUAUUUUAAUAUUAUGUAUUUAUGAAUAUAAUUAUUAUUAUGAUUUUUUCAAAUAAAAACGGAUGGUCUAAGGGUAAUUCAAUAACUAUGUACAGUAUUAUUAAUGAUGAGAGCGUGAAUGAUAAUUUAGAUUUUAUUCUCUUCUCUCAAUACAGAAGAAAUCUCGACUGUAGUAGUUAAGUGUUAUGUAACUCUUUCGUAUUAUGUUCAAUUAAUAAUAAAAUGAUGAGUUAUUAUUACCUGUCAAUUAUGUGAGUGUCUUUGUUUGAUUUAGUUCAACUUAUAAAAUCUCUUGAGAUAUAUAAGAGAUUUUCUUUGUUUACUUUCAUGUACCGCGUCUUCUUGUAAAAAGUAAUUAAUAAAAAAAAUAUCAUUGUGUGCCAUGUAUUGACUAAGUUAGUGUAUUCAUGUUAGGUUAAUUGUGCUCUCUCUUCUUGAUUUUUUUUUAUUAAAAAAAACUCCACGUAUUCUUGGUUAGCUAAUUCUUGCAGGUAGCAAGUGAUCGAUCCUUUUCUUUCCCCUACUGCUGUACCACCAAAUCCUUACAAUUACAUAUCAAGUGGUAUUCGAGCCGUCAAAGGAUCCAUGGAAACACGCAACAAAUCAAAUGCUGAAUUUUGCGAAGAGAUUCACGAAAUCCUUGCUAUACAUGAGUCUAGUUUUGACCAAGUUCACGUCACGCAUCAGCUGCGGGUUUGAAUGGUACCUAGUGGAUAUUUUGUGAGUUCCCACUAAUAAAAUCACACUUGCACAAAACUUAAAAAUUUAAAUUACGUAAUUCAAAUUAUAAAUUUAUAAUGGUAGCCUAAAAAAUCACAUAAAAUACUUAAUUCUAGAUUUUAUCAAUGUAAAUGAGAAAUGACAGUUUUAACAUUAAAAUAAAUACACAAAAUAUAUCAAUUUAACAUAAAUUUUUAAAUUUAAUUACCAAAUACAUAAGUCUAUCGCAACUCAAAGUGCUUUCAAUUGAAAACGAAAAAAGAGAAAGAAAAAAAAAACAAAGAACUACAAAUCAAAAUAGCAGCCAUGACCCAUUUUACAGUCUCAUUCAAUACCACUAGCACCCAUCAAACACGAUUUUUCUAAACAAAGUAUAAAGUACAAAAUUACAAUAAGCAUAUCAUACUCCAUGCUUUAAGUUAAAGAUCCUUAUAUCUUUUUAUGAAUAAUUUUUUAAUGAAAUUUUAUGAUUAAAAUUAAAAAUACAAACAUUCAAAUAAGAAUGUCGGACACUUGCGCAACUAUUCACCAAAUUUUUUCUCUAUAAAAAUCGACCUGCAACUUUCAAUAGGUUUAAAUUUAUAAUAUCAAACCUGAUUGCAGCUCGCAAAAAUUAUCCGUUGCGGCCAAGACUUUGGAUUUGCGAUGAUUUUGCCACCCUAAGUGUAGUUAGUAUUGUAUAUCAUGUGGCUCUUAUAAAAAGCCUAGAAGUUGUUUGAAUAACGGGGUAGACACAUAUCUCCCAAAGAUUUUCUCUUUUUCAAAUUAUUAUUUUUUCUCUAUUAUUGUAACUUCGAAUCCUUAUAAAUUACAGAUUGGAGACAUGAACACAAUGUUUUGACAUAGUGGACUUUUGGCUUGUCCAAAGAAAUUUAGGAUAGAUUUUUACGCACUAAGGUUCUAUUUACUAUUGAAGUUUUAGAACUUUUAAGCCACACCAGAAAUUUUUAUUGUUUUGAUAGAGUUGUAGUCUUUGAUAUGUGAUUAGUAUUAAUUAAGUGUUAUGUUUACAAUAGUUAAAGGCAUAUUGAAUCAAAAUCCACUUCUAAGGGCUUGAUUGAGUGAUUGUAAAGUAGGUUUUUAGUUUGCUAGCCACUCAAGUUCAAAUAUUGGAACCACAUAGCUUUAUAGCCAAGUGAGAGAACUUGUGCCCUAAAAAUUGAGGGGUGCAUAUCGAGUUUUACCACCAAUAAAAGUUGGUGUUAAAACUUUAAUUUCCCUCCUAUUAAUGGAUAUGGGUGAUUAGGAGUUUACAUCCCCUCCUAUUAAUAGACAGGGAUUAUUAGGAAUAUUAAAAAAAAGUUCAAAUAUUGAAAAUGUAGGUAUGGGUUAUAAAAUUCAUAAUAUAAAGACACAAAAUCAAGAUAAAGAUUUAAAAAUUUAGAACCAUGAGAGCGUGACUUGUAAGUUUCAAAGAAGCAUGUGCAAAUAUAUGCAUUAUCGAUGCCCAAUUAAGGGUGGGCAUUAAGAUCGGGUUAACCCGAACCGAACCGAAUCAAACUUAAAAUUUAUUUUGGAUUUAAUUUGGUUAUAGUUGAAGCUUUCAACUGAGUUCAAAACUUAAAAAUGAUUGGGUUGUAUUUCUGUUCGAAUUUAACUCCAGAAGACUAAUCAAUCCAAUCGAGUUAAGUAAGCAAAUUAAGAAAAAAAAUCCCAAAAAAUUAAAACUAACCCUAACUAAAAUAUUCGACCGGGGCCUCCUCGUUUUCUUUUCUUCUUCCUCCUCUCGCUCACCCCUAAUGCCCAUUCAUGGAAAUCCAACAGCUCCAAACGCGUUUCAGCCGCUCGCACGUGUGAGAAAUUUUCCUUCUCAUAGGAUUAUUCGUUUCCUUCGCUUGCAUGCCAGCAGAAUAUUCAGGCCGAGGAUUUUUCCGGGCCUAGCCCAACUAUAAGCUCUCCCAAAACCCAAUCAUAAGUUCAUAACGUUUAGCGUUUGCUAUUACUAUAAUAUUUUUUAACGAAUUUUCACAUUCAUCAACAUAGGCUGACAGAUUUUGUAGAAAAUAAAAUUAAAUAAAAAUACAAGCUCACGAAAUUCCUUUUCCGAUGUGGGAAUCUAUCUACACCUUUCACGUGCUUUUUUUUUUUUGGUGGUGGGGGAUUCCCUUGCUUUUGUUUGCAUUGCCUUAUUGGAUAAAAGUUUGUACAACAUCGUCUGUUUGGUUAAAGCCGAGCAUGAGUGAAGAAAUUUUUUUUAAAAAAAAUUUCCCAUUAAUUUGCAACAAGUAUUAAUAAAGUGCAUGAGAAAAGACACCGGGAUAUGCCUUUUUUAAAAUGAAAAUAAAUGUGUUAAUUAGUCAAUUUAAAUGGUAUGACAUUUUGAAAUGAUAGAAGUGAUCUAAAGUUUAAAUCUUACACUUAAUUUAGGGGUGGGGAUUAAUUGAUGUAAUAUAUAAUAACGAAUUCGAAAGAUAAUUAAAAAUUAAAAGAAAAUAAAAAAGUGCUUUCUUUUUUAUGAUGGUAAUUUGUUUAGAUGAUGAAAACUCUUAGAGUGGUAUUAUCAAUACAUAGUAUUUAUUUUAUUAUAUUUUUAAAUUAAUAAUAAUUAUUAAUAUUCUUAACUAUGUAAAUCACAAUUAUUUUAUUAAUUUUAAUUUAAAUUAUAUAAAUAAAAAAUUAAUAACAACAACACAAAUGAAACAUUAUUAUUGAUAAUAUAGUACAAAUUAAUUUUUUUAGAAUAAAAUAUUUAUUAUUAUUAAUUACUAAUAUUAAAUAAAUAUAAUAGUAUUAUUUUUAAAUAAGUAUAAUAAUAUUAUAUUUUCAAAUAAAAAUAGAAUAUAGUAAUAUUAUUAAUUCUUUAUGAAUAUAAUAAUAUUAUUUUUAAGUAAUUUUAACUUAGAAUCAAUAUAAAUUAUUAUUUUUAACCAAAAAAUUAAUAUUAUUUUAAAUAUGUUUAAUAUUAUUAUUUUUAAUAAAUUUAAUUUAUAAAAUAAUAAAAUAUUAUUAUUUAAAUAAAUAGGAUUUUACUUAUUUUAUUAAAUUUAAUAAAAUAAAUAUGUUUAAUAUUAUUAUUUUUAAUAAAUGUAAUUUAUAAAAUAAUAUAAUAAUAUAAUUUAAAUAAAUAUGAUAUUAUUUAUUUUAUUUUAUUAAAUAUAAGGGUAAAAAAUGAAGAGAGGCGAGUGAAUUCCCACUCCCACCUUCCUCCAUGGGAGUGGGAAUCCUACUCCCCACUCCAAAAUUAGGUGGGAUCCACACAGUGGAAUUCUCACUCCUCCUUUGAAAAUUAUAAGUAAACAUUGGAGUAAAAGUAAUCCACACUCCUCACUCUCACUCCUUAAAAUAAACACUACAUUAAAGAAGCCACUGACUCAUAAGAAAACCAUGAUUAAGUACACGACGAAACAUGUGAGCUCGUUUUUCAAUUUCUUUGAUCACUCAUAAGCUUUUCUAUACCACUCACUAUAUCAUCCUUUUAAGUCAAUUUUGACUGAUCAUAAGAGAUUAUGCACCCCACCUUGAGAUGAUUGAUCACCAAUUUGGCAUUGUAACGUUGAUCACCUCUAAUUGGCCAUGCUAAAAUUGGGACCCCAUUGCCAAUUACUUCUACAGUUAAAUUUUAUCUACAGUGAGAUAAAAAUCCACCUAUUAAUUGAUAACUUAGUAUCAAUAAUUAUGGCGCCGUUCCAUCUAUUAUCAAACCCUUUUUACCGGCUCUACUAUCUAAACCACUACGAAAAUAAGCUGGUUAAAAAUAAAAAAUCCCCAGUUACUCUGCUCAAACUCGUUAAUAUUUGUUUCCACCACCAAAGCAGCCACUCGUAUCUUUUAUUAAGCAUAAUGUUUUUAAACAAAUAUGAUGAAAACUCUUAGGGCCAGUUUGGUAAUGCUGCAGCUUUUAAAAUAAUUGCUGUUAGCUGUGCUGUAGAAAUAAUCAGCUGUGAAGAGAAUCAGUUAAGUGUUUGGUAAAUUUUAUUUUCAAAAGUACUGUGAAUUUUGAAAGCAGUUAUGGGUGUUUGGUAAAUUUUAUUGUUAAACUGCUGUAAGAAAAUAAAUGACCAAAAUGUACAUAAUGUAAGAUGAAAUUUACCUAUACAUAUAAAAAUGUUGUAAGAAAAUAAAUUUACUUGCACUAGAGAAGUUUUGAUAGAACACAAAAUAUGAAGAAAUAGGGUAAACGAAAGGUGUGCGUUAAUUAUAAUAAAAAUUUAUUAAAAUAUUGAUUUUAUUUCUAAUUUAACUAAGGAUAAUUUCGGGUUUAAGUAAUAAUUGUAAGGAUAUUUAUGAAAUUAUAUUAAAGGAUAAAAUUGAUUCUCAAAAUCAGAAUCUAAAAGUUACUAUUUCCCUGCUUUUCAAAAUCAGUUGUAGGAGGAGCUGAUUCUGGCAAAAGUGAUUUUGAUUUUCUUUUACCAAACACCAAAAUUAGCUUUUAGAUUUUUAAAAUCACUUUUAACCCUCCCAAAAGCAAUCCCAAACGGGGCCUUAGAGUGGUAUUAUCCCAUGUUUACUCCAAUGAUUUGGUAUACGCACAUGUAUUUUGGUAUACGCACAUGCACGCUAUAAAUUUAGUCAAGAAAAGUGAAUGUAUCUACAUACAAAUACUUAUCCCAUAUAACUUCAUUUCUUCAACUGAAGAAUCGGUCGUCUCUCAUUUUUUAUUUAUUAUAUAAAGAUAAAUAUAUAAAUUUAAAUGGCGAGAAGAGCGGACGAGGAAUACGAUUACUUGUUCAAAGUGGUAUUAAUCGGCGAUUCGGGAGUCGGCAAAUCGAACUUACUCUCCCGAUUUACUCGUAACGAGUUCUGUUUGGAGUCCAAAUCCACUAUUGGCGUCGAAUUCACCACCCGCACUCUUCAAGUAACUAACUUUUCCUCUUUCACUUCUCUUCAUUUUUAUUAGUUAAUUAAGAUCCAGUUAAUGUAAUUAAUUUUAUUUAAUCUUUUAAAUAAAGUUCUAGAUUAGGCUAACUUAGAUUCAUGUCAAGUUGAAGUGAUUUACUUUCGAUCUCUUUUUCGUCCUAUGUUUAUUUGUACUUACUAUUACUUUUUUUUUGGGUAUUUUCGUUUUUGAAGUGUUUACUGAAUAAAUUUCUGAGCUUUAUUUGUGUAUGCUGAUUGAUUUGUGAUUUUAAUUUGUGAUUUUUUUUUUGGCAUUUAAAUUUGAAUGCUUUUUAAUUUGAAUCUGAAUGUGUUGGGCUGCGAUUUAAUUAAGUCAUGUGUGAGCACCAAAUUGUGAUAGCUAUAUAUUGGGGUGAAAAUUUGGGAUUUAAAGCUAUGUAUUUAAGAUGCAGUUAAUUGGCAAGUGAAAAUUAUGGGCCGGCAGAUUUUGUCAUUGGAAGACUGUUCUCCACAUGUUGAAGUUAGUGAUGCAAGUUGAAACCAAUCUGUUUAAGCUUGGGGUUUCAUGUCUUGAAUCAAGGCUGUGACUUGGGGUGGGUUGAAAGUAUUAUAGCUUUAGCUAUUCCUGAAGUGAUCUGUUUAGACUCACCGUGAUGAGACCGAGUGCUGUACAGUAAAAUGAAAGGAAGUUGGAAAAUAUUUACUUAGCAUUUCGCGUUACUAAUGUUGAACUAAUAAAACCUAGCCCCUAUCCUAGUGAAUUUAUGUUAAAAAGCUAUGCACGCAUUAAGUUAGUGCGAGAGUCUGCUGAAGCAUAUGUCAGCUGUGUGUUUGGAGCUGAGUAUUCUUCAUUCCACAUUUUGGGUUUUGGUUGACCUCCAGCAUGACUCAACCCACUUGAGUUAAAAGCCCUAGAGUUACAUUCUACCCAUGAUAUUUGAGUUUAUCAAGUCACCUUAUUUUAAUACUUCUCUGGAAAACAAAUAUAUAUGUUAAAUCAGGUAGGAAAAAUAAAAAGUUAAUUAUUUUAAUACUAAGGUUUUGAAACAUUAAGAUCUUUAGCCAUUAUGUUACUAUCCCGUAGUUAUUUAAGUUACAAGAGAUAGUAAAAAAUAACAUCAUAUUUUAAUUACUUACACUAAUCCUACAAGUGCUGAUGGUCUAAAGUUGCUGCUGCUUGCACUGAAUCAGUGGUCAUGGGCCAGCCAAGGUUAGGUGAGGCCAACUCAUUAGCUUGUGAAACUUAAAGAAGUCUUAGGUUUGGAAAAGAUGGGGCACAGGUUACAAAAAUUUUUUGAGUUUUGGAUUGAAGGAACAAAAUUGUUGAUGUCUAGCUCACAAUAUUUGAAGUCACUCUGUGCUUCAUCAUGUCAAAUGGAUUGAAUUGCUGUAAGAUCAGGUCAAAUUAAAAUGUUUAAACUCAUUUUUAAGAAACGAAUUCUCAAUUGGACCAGCCUUUCACAGAAGCUGAUAUCACAGAAGCUUUGAGUCAGAUGCAUCCAACCAAAGCCCUUGGCCCAGAUGGUCUCCCAGUAGUAUUUUUCCAAAAGCUUUAGAAUUCAGUAAGCGAAGGAGUUAUAGCCACUUGUCUGCAUAUCCUCAAUGAUGGAGGUAAUAUUGCUCCUUUGAAUCAUACAUACAUUGCUUUAAUCCCCAAGAUAGCAAAACCUAGGACUCUGAUGGAGUAUAGACCAAUCAGCAUAUGUAAUGUAAUUUAUAGGAUCAUUGCAAAGACUAUAGGGAAUAGGCUGAAGCUAAUCUUAGAUCAUGUUAUUUCGCCAACUCAGAGUGCUUUUAUGCCAAAUAGGUUCAUAACUGAUAAUAUAAUUAUUGGGCAUGAGUGUCUUCAUAAGUGGACAAAGCUAUGUUCCAGAGGUGAGAUAGGAAAUUCUCCCGCACGACACAGCAGAAACAAACUUUCCCUUUCAUUUUCUUUUCUCUUUCUCGCUCUCCAAACAGAGCAAAAGGACCGUCGGAAGAUUCUUCACUUCCAUCCAAAAUCAUGAGCAACGAAUAGUGAGCCUCCCUGUUUCCUUCCUUUUUUUGAUAUUAACAUUGUUAACAUAUACUCAUUUUAAUUUGACAAUACUUCAACUUUUUUUAUUUUUUUGCCUUUUCAUUUUUUUUGUUGAAGCAAUUAUCUGUUCAAGCUGUUGCUUAUCGAAGACUCGUCCUUCGGAAAGUCCUGCCUGCUGCUCCGAUUUGCUGUCUGUUGACUUUUCCUUUCCCUUCUUAUUUUCUUUUUUUAUAUUAAUUACUUUCUAUUUUAGCUUUUUGUUCUCUGAAUUUGUGUUAUUAAAAUGAUAAUUUAGAUGACAAAUAAUUGUUAUUCUUGUAAAUUUAGGUUUUCAUUACGUUAAUUGUUAGUUUUUAGGUUUAUUAAUGUAAUUUUUUUUGUUUUUUUUUUUUCAAUUUUUCAGGAUGAUUCUUAUGUCACCGCUACAUCAGUACCAUUGGAGUUGAUUUUGUGAGUCUCUCUUCUAUAUAUAUGUAUAUAUGUGUAUAAGUUAUAAUAUGAGUCUAUGUACGUGUAUGUAUGUAUGUGCAUGUAUAUGUGGAAAGAAAUGUUGGCAGACUUCAGCAUUUUACUCUUUUUUUUUUUUUUUUUUUGGGAGAAAAUAAGAACUGUGGAGUUGGAUGGGAAGACGAUCAAACUGCAGAUUGUGAGUCAAAAUUUCCUUUUAUCUUGUAUUGAGAGAAAUUCGAUUUGUCUUAUUUAGUGAAGGUUAUGUUCAAGAACCUUGUCUUAUUUUCUUUGUUUGAAGAGUGAUAUGUUGAAAUGAGUGUAUUUGUCUUAUAAACAUCAUUUAGGUAAUGUCUUAUGUGUGAUUGUUUUGCAUCUGUUGAGUGGGACACUGCUGGACAGGAGCGAUUCAGGACUAUAACUAGCAGUUAUUACCGAGGAGCCCAUGGAAUCAUAGUAAGGAGCCUUUCCGGUUCUUGGUUUAAAUCAGAAAGUUUGUGAUUUACAUGUGACAUCUUAACAGCAUUGUAUGUGUUUAUUAACUUAUUUUUCAUCUUUCGUUAAGCAGUACAUUUUCCAAUAAAUCUGUAUACAAGAUGAUGUAGUCCAAGAAUGGGAGCGAUAAUAUGAUGCAAAUUGUCUAAUAAAUUCUUAUGACAUAUGAUGUUGUCGGAAGUAAAAGUCUUGCAAUGCUGUAUUCUCUUUUAAGAAAGAAUAAGUGGUAAUCUUAUUUUUCCAAUUUUUUAAUUGAGCAACUGUGUGAGAUUAAUUAAAUGUGUUGGGAUUUCAACAGAUUGUCUAUGAUGUAACUGAGAUGGAGAGCUUCAAUAAUGUCAAGCAGUGGUUGAAUGAGAUUGACAGAUACGCAAAUGACAGUGUAUGCAAGCUUCUAGUGGGGAACAAAUGCGAUUUAGUUGAGAACAAGGUUGUGGACACACAGACAGCCAAGGUAUAUUCGUGACUUCUGUCGCCUGAACUUUGAAUAUAAUUUUAAACUCUUCUCAAGUGCAUUUGCUUGAUAAGUUUCUGCAUACCCAGGACACUCAAACUUUGGACAGUUUGUAUCUCAAGCUGGAAUCUUUUUUGUCAAUACGACUUGUUAAAAUAAGGGUUAUUAUCGUUUGAAUCCUUCAAGAAUUGCAAUAAAUCUAAAGUCCAUAAAAAAAUAUGAUUCCAUCUUUUUACUAUUAUAUCUAGACAAAACCCAUUAUUUUACUACAUUUCAUUGGCACGGAUAGUUGACCUGUUGGCUGACUGAUAAAAUAUCAAUUUUGCACUUUAUAUUAAUUCUUUUUUGGUUAAAAAAUAACACACAAAGUAUUACAAUAUUAUAAAUUCAAAAUAUAAAGUAGUUACAAAUAAUUCCUAUUAGCCUAUGAAUAUAAUAUUUGAUACCUCUAUUUGUGUAAUUUUUUUCCAAUGGUGAAAUUGUUAUUUUUUUUUGUACUAACGGAAAUGUAGUAAAAUCAUAAGUUUUGUAAAGAUAUAGUAGUAAAAUGAUAGACUAAAAUACUUCUUGUAGUUGUUUGAUAUAUUGUAAUUCUUAAAGUAGUCAAUUGAUAAUAUCCCCUAAAAUAAAUGUUCGUAAUAUGUUCUCAUUUUAAUGCAACUGAUUGUUUAAUAAAAUUGUAUUUCUUUGUUAAUCUUUUAUCAUGUGCAUGCUCAGUGAGAAUUUGACUUACUAGAACACAAGUUUGACUCUUCAUUUAAAUGUCUCUUGUAUCAUAUCCUUUAAUGUUGAGUGUGAUUCCAAUAAAAUUGAGUAGGGAGAUCCUUAAAUACCUUUUCCUUUUUUCCAAGGGCCUGCCAAAUUGCUCUAAGUGGUUCUACCCUUUAUCAAUGAAUAAUGAAAAUAAAAUUUUUAUUAAAGCAUUUUGUUCCUUAAAUGGUGACUAAUAGUACCCCUUUUUUUUGGAGAGGAAAGCCAAACAUGCCCAAAGAGAAUCAUUUACUUUCCUCUAAUGUAUUUUCUAAUUCGUUUUGAGCCUUGAAUGUCUGUUUUGGUGCGUAUUCUCAUUCCAUGUUGAAUCUUAUCCAUAUGGACAACCCCACUUACAAAAAAGUCUAAUGAAUCUAUUGAAGUUCAUAUGAGGUUUGUGCUUUAGAUUUAGACCUCUCUCUCUCUCUCUCUCUCUCCACUUACAUGUCUUUCACUUACCUGUCUUUCACUUACCUGUUUGCAUGCAUGCCCAUGCACACACUUUCACGAUAAUACUGUAGGGGAAAAAUCAUGUUUUUAAAUUUUAUAAAACCUUUUGAAGAUCGCUCUCAUAUAAUAUAUAAGAAUUCGUAUUCUAGAAAUCGUACCUUGAAAAUCCGAGUUGGCUUUUCCACUGAAGUGAUUUAGGCUCCUAGAUCACGAUCUGCCACCACCACUCCUGUUAGAUCACGAUCCGUCAUCACCACGCUUGUUAGAUCACGAACUGUCGCCAAUGAUCUUCCAGGUUAUGACUCAGGUUCGAUCUGCACUUGACGUGUGGGCGCCUUUAUCACUGCCAAAGCAACUAGCACGAGAAAAUUUUUCUCUCAAUCAUGGAGAGAAAAAUCUUAUUCUCUGAUUUGUAUAAAGUGGCUUCUUCCUUUUUCUUUUGAGAAAAUAAGCCUUAUAUAUCUCCCUUUAGUGAAAACCCUAGGCUCCAAAUAAUGCCCUAAAUAAAACUCACGUUAUUUUCUUUUUCAAUAGGGAACCCACCUUGUAAAAUAACAUAAGGCCCCUUAUACAAAAGCUAAUUAAAUGGAGCCUCCCACUAAAUGAUAUAUUUAGGCUUUUGACCCAAAUAGCUAGUUAUCUUACUUAUUAGUCCAGUGGUGGUGCAGUCAAUUAAAUGAGCUAACCCGGGGAUCAUUUGGGAACAUACAAUAGUGGCUACAAUAAUUAGGCCUGUAAUUAAACUAGCCUAAUUAUUUAAUUCCAAAUCUACUCCACUAAAAGAUUGGAACUGACUUCCAUAAUUGUAUGCUCGAAUAAUAAUUCGUCCCAAGCCACAUUGAUUUCUUUAGUGCACAAUCCUUUGUACCACAUCGUUAAUUAAAUUGAUAUCUCAACUGUCCAAUCAAUUUAAUAACAUCUUAUUCCUUGAUCCUUACUGGUUUUCUCUAAUGAUCAUUUUCAACAUACUAAAUAUGUUGACACACUCUGGCCAGAGAAUUCUAUGAUCAAGUGCCGAAAACCCAUCAAGAGAUGUGUUGUACAAAUUCUAUAUUGUUAAUCCAUAACUCCAAUACUCAUAAUUGCUCCCACCAAGAUACCGGGUAAUCUUGACCACAAGUAUGUGUUGUGUCCAUUGGUAACUCAAAUGGAAUAACAAUUACAAUCAUGAAAUCAUAAUUAACUCAAGAUUAAGAUUACAGUAAAAUCAACGCCUAUGAGAUUUAAUAAGUCUGACAGUUAUUACAAAGUUAAUUAAAUCUCACAUGUGAUCCUGUUCAAUGUAGUCGUACUACAUCAAUAAAUUCAUACAUGAUUAAGACAAAUCAUUCAAUGAAUUUAUUACAGUCUAUACCUAAAUAAAGUGCCCAACUUUAUUUAUCAACUGCGAACUAAAUUUAUUUAAUCAUAAGAUAACUUGUAUUUAUGUCUUCUGUGAAUCCACAUGGUGAUCACAUAAAUACAUAUAAUAUGAUUAAAUGGACUUUAAUACAAAUAUUAAUGCAAUUAAGAUAUUUGAAUAAAAUACCUCAUUUAUUUUAUUAAUCAGAAAAACUGUUUAUUACAAUUAAAUAAACACAUAUGCUUUUAAAGAGCAUAUUUUCCCAACAAAUACACGGUCACUCGUACUUGUGUUUUGGUUGAAUUACUGGCUGCUAACCUCUGUAAUUCAGUUUGAAACUUGCCACCCUUAGUGCUUCACUCAAAUGGUUGGUUAGGGUGAGAUCUGUAUCGUUUUCUUGGUCUCUUUCCAAGGUUAUCUAAAGGGAUUUGGCAGUCUGAUUCUUUAGGGAAUAUCAUUGCAUAAGAUAUCUAUUGUUUGUUAAUGAAUAAUUUCUAUUUAACUAGUUAUCUAUAUAAAUUGGUAAAUUUUAACUGCAUAAUUUGCAUGCAAUAAGAUUUUAUAAGAAUCUUGUUUUCAACUCAUGACUUAGACUAAUGUGAUAUGUUGAGCAUUAAGCUACAAGAUCUGCACAUCAAAGUGCUUCACAAUGUUAAGGAGAAAGCAUCUUUUUCUGCUUCUUCAUGUGAUUUAAAGUUUCCAAGGUACUUAUCCAAUAAAAUAUCUUUCAAGACUUUGGAAAUGCUUUUAUAUAUGACUGAGAGAAACUUGUUGGGUUGGUUUUUAGCAACAGACGGAGUUAUGGACUUUGUGUUGACUUGUUAUUGAUUAAGACAGUACAUCGGCUGAUCUAUUGGCAUCAAGCAGCAGAUGCAGAAAUUAUGGGUGGCAUACCAUUGUAUCCAAAUAACAUACUACAUUGAUUUUUCUGACUUUCUGUUGGUCUCCGAGUG